Molecule: long non-coding RNA, 170270 nt
Filed under: Triticum aestivum (bread wheat)
Lineage: Eukaryota; Viridiplantae; Streptophyta; Magnoliopsida; Poales; Poaceae
Description: long non-coding RNA (TAES_LNC021807)
Rfam family: MIR1120/MIR1122 microRNA precursor family (bases 116857-116991)
Source: RNAcentral
GACAUAGGCAUCAGGGUACUCCUUCUUGACCUCCUCCACCUCGUUGAGCACUUGCGUGGCGUCGGUGCACCCGAACAUAGGCAGCUUCCACAUUGUCCAGUAUCGACCGUCGUAGUACCCGGGAGAGCUGUUGUGCUCACGGAAGACGAAGCCAACCUUGCUAAACUCGAGGCAGGGCACCCACUUGGAGCGGAUCAGGUAGUCUACCUGCUUUAGGAGGGCCUCUGUGGAGAGGGGUGGCAAGUAAGACAGGGUCUCGAACUUCUUGAUACCCUCAAUCGGCCACACCUGAAUGGAUGGAAAUUAUGGAAUGCACACAACUGCUUAACACUUGGUGCUAGUAAAUUGUACGUACUGAGGAAGAAACUCAUAUCAGUUUUGUGCCUCUGACAUACCUGCAUGCACCUGAUCCUUCCGCCAUUGCUGACGCGGCCGAGGCUGCCGCUGGAGCGGCGGCUGACGGGCAGACCGGCUGUGGACUUGAGCCCCUGGAAGGGUGCGACGGUGGUAGCCGACGAAGCCAUCACGGCGGGGGCCAUGGUAUUGUAUUAUCGGAGGAGAGGAGGAUGCCGGCUACAGGUGAGGCCCCCAUUGCCGGGUCACUACGGUAUAUAUAGCCAGACACUUAGCGCCGUUUCUUUGGUACAGAUGUGGUUGGGGUGGCUGACGUUCUCUGGUUGCCUCGUUUCCUUAUCUUCUCCGGAUCAGUGGAAGAAGCAUGGCCGUCGGAUGCAUUGUGUGUGCUGGAAAUUUCAGUCCUUCAUGUCAUUGGGUGGCUGCCACACAACCUUUUUCCAGCUUUUCUUGUUUUUGGUUUCAUUUGAAGCCAAAAGUUUCUUGAGUACAAAUUUUCUGAGAUGCGACUUGAGUGGUGGUGUGGGCAAAAUAUUUUACAUUUUAUCAUAAGAUCUGAUGGCUCACUCCCUUGAAAGUAUGCCUAUAGGCAUAGAGUGUGCGUGUGUGCAUUUAUAGGGGGUGUUAUACAUGCGGGUAUGCGAAUGUCUACUUUUGUACACCGUUUCUCAAAAUAAAAUAUAUGUUUUGUUGGUACAAUUAAUUGACCUAGCAUAGUAACCUCCACACGUAGAACAAGUUCUUUCCCCUCCCGCAAGGUAACUAUUGAAAGCUUUCCACCCCUCUAUAUCCGCCAGUGAGCCUAUGGAUCCGCCUCCCCUCUGCGGGAAGGGGGAUUCCUGGUGCCUCAGCUCUGGCUAAUAGACAAGUAGGAUUUUAGUCCUCAUGGGUGAGGUGCUUGGACGGACGGCGGUCUUUCUUCUUCGAGCCAAUCUUUCGGGAUCCGAUCCUCUUUAAGUUCCUCUGUCUGGGGAGCUCCGACGUAGACUCCUGCCAGUUCCACAGGCGAUGAGGUUAGGAUUUCUCAUCAUGCGUACGCACAAUGAGAUUUGGUGUCAGGUUCUUUAGAUCGAUUCACGGAUUCAACAGCGAUGACUGCGGCUCCAGAGCACUGGUCCUUAGGGGCAUGUGCAUGAAGACUUCCUGACUGUCAUCGACAAAGUCAAUGUAGCUCUAGAGUGGGAGCAUCGACAAUGGUGCGUUAGUGGCUCAUCUCUGUGCGUAGGAACGAAAAGAAAGGCCUAUAUCUCAAAUUUUUGACAACUCUCCGGCCGUGACAAUGGGCAUAACUUGUUUUAAACAUCAAUGGGUAGGAACGAAAAGCUCUAUAUGUCAACUAUUAACACGUAUGGCUAAAUAUGUACCUUGCAUUAUAGGAUAUAUGGCAAUCGAUCAAAAAGUUAGGCAGUCUCUCACAUAACAUUGUCUCUCAAGUACGGCUGCAAAUGAGUCGAGUUCGAGCGAGUUGGACUUGCCUCAGCUCAACUCAUAUUAAAAUUCAAGCGAGCUCAAACUGAGUGAAGCUCAAAAUCAAGUUGUAGAACAUGACUCAUUUUUAGUUUGUAACAAUCUUGAGCUAGUUUCAAGCUAAAUAAGACGAUAAAAAUUACAAAAUUUAUGACUAUUAUUCCAACUAGAUAAGGCAUAACACGACAUAAAAAGCACAAAAAAAUUUAUUCCAAACAGAAUGAUAAUAAUACUUUUUUUCGAAAUGAUACAAAUUUUGUUAGAAGUAGCUUGACUUAUUCUCUUACAACCGAAAGUCUAGUAUCAANNNNNNNNNNNNNNNNNNNNNNNNNNNNNNNNNNNNNNNNNNNNNNNNNNNNNNNNNNNNNNNNNNNNNNNNNNNNNNNNNNNNNNNNNNNNNNNNNNNNNNNNNNNNNNNNNNNNNNNNNNNNNNNNNNNNNNNNNNNNNNNNNNNNNNNNNNNNNNNNNNNNNNNNNNNNNNNNNNNNNNNNNNNNNNNNNNNNNNNNNNNNNNNNNNNNNNNNNNNNNNNNNNNNNNNNNNNNNNNNNNNNNNNNNNNNNNNNNNNNNNNNNNNNNNNNNNNNNNNNNNNNNNNNNNNNNNNNNNNNNNNNNNNNNNNNNNNNNNNNNNNNNNNNNNNNNNNNNNNNNNNNNNNNNNNNNNNNNNNNNNNNNNNNNNNNNNNNNNNNNNNNNNNNNNNNNNNNNNNNNNNNNNNNNNNNNNNNNNNNNNNNNNNNNNNNNNNNNNNNNNNNNNNNNNNNNNNNNNNNNNNNNNNNNNNNNNNNNNCCAGAAACAACAUAAUAUUUAAGACACGUCCGACCACGUACCAUAAUAAGGCCUAAAUUUUAUCAACAACUAAUUAAGUUUCCAUGUUUGUUUGUAAAUAAAAUGGAGAAAAAUCCUGGAUGACAUAUGUGGCACUAAAUUAUCUUAUUAUUAUUUAAUAUAUGGCAUUAUCAUUUAACAUAAUUAUAUUAUGCCGAGCUAUCGAGCUAAAAUCAAGCGAGUUAAUAUCGGCUCAAGAUCGGCUCGUUUCUUGACCGAGCUACAGGAAGUGUUUGUACUCAACUCGGUUCUUUUCGAGUUGAGUCAAAAAACGAGUCGAUCUCGAGCGGCUCACAAGCCUCAAACUUUUCUUCCAGCCCUACUCUCAAGCAGCAUCAUAUUGAGACAACUUAAUCGGCCUACUUCCAAUCACAUAUCAGCGGCGGAUAACGGAAAGACAUUAAUAUCACAAGGCCUGGACCGAAGGCAAUAAGUUCUAUGGACAACCGUGAUCCCUAGAAUAACAAUGUUCCCCUCAAGAUAUCGACAACCGUGAUCCCUAGAAUAACGGUGUUCCCCUCAAGGAAAUUUAAAGAAAAGAUAUAAGCAAUAGCAGCAGCGCAUUUUCACGGAAGCACUAUAGCUACUUUAGCUAUAGCGCGUGUUCGCGAACAAGCGCUAUAGCUAACUUAUCUAUAGCAGUAGCGCGUUCCGUCAGAAAGCGCUAUAGUUAAGUAGCUAUAGCGCUUGUGUGGAAAAAGCGCUACUACUAAGUUUGACUUGCCACUGCGCAGGCGUUCCUCCUUCCUGCAAUUCCCCAUUCUUCUCGCGUCUCCCCUACCUCUCCCUUGCCACCCCUACUCCCUCGCCGUCCCUGCCUUCGGAGCCGCCAUCGGAGCUGCGCGCCAUCGCCGCCACCGGAGCCACACGCCAUCGACGCCACCAAAGUCAUCCUCGUCUGCUCCUCGCUGCCCCUGCCUCCCUUGACGCCCCUGCCUCCCUCGACACCCCUGCCUCCCUUGCCAUCACCGAAGCCGCCGUAGACACAACCGGAGCCACCCUCGGCGCCCUUUGCACCAUCGUCUCCCCCGAGCACCUCCCGGCAACUGUUCCCGCGAGCACCCACCCCUCCUCUCUAGGUUAAUUUAUUUAGGUGAAUUUAGUUAUGAACCCUAGGAAUUAGCUAGGUUAAGUAGGUUAACUAGGUAGGUUAAGUAACUAAGUGAACUAACUAGGUUAAUUUGGUUCAUUAGGUUAACUUGUUAGGUAAACUAGGUUGGCUAGGUUAGAACAAAAAAUUAGUUUAGAGCAAAAAUAUAGUUGGGGCAGUAGGGUUUAACUAGGGCAGUAGGGUUUAGAACAAAAUUUUAGUUAGGGAAGUAGGGUUUAAUUAUAGUUUUUGUUUUCAUAGAUGUUUUUCUAAAAGAACAAAAUGAAGGAAAUGUUACAGCAGUGCUGCUAGUAGUAUAUAUAGUGGUACUAGUAGAUGUUAAUUAGGUUAGGGCAGUAGUGGUACCUGUAGAUGUUAAUUAGUUGUCUUUUAGUUAGGGCAGUAGGGUUUUACUAGGUUAAUUAGGUUAGUAGUGCUGCUGGUAGUAGUGGUACAGUAGGUUAAUUAGGUGAAGUUAAAUGAAUGGCCUAAAUAAAUGAAAUUAGUAGUUAAUUGAAUUUUUAGGACAAAUUUGUAUAUGCUUAAGUACUUAACUAAAUAGUAUUUUUAGGACAAACUUGUAUAUGCUUAACUAGUUAACUAAAUAUAUUAUAGGGUUGUAAAUAUAGUUGCUUAAGUACUUGUAUAGUUGUUCUCCCAAUGUAUGCUUAAGUAGUUGUAUAAUCCCUAGGGUUCAUCAAUGGGUGCUUAAGUAGUUGUAGAUGCUUAAGUAGCUAGCUAGGGUUCAUCUAAUUAGUUAGUACUUGUAGAUGCUUAAGUACUAGGGUAUUAGGGUUAGGGCAGUAGGGUUUAAUUAAAUGUUAAUUAGGGCAGUAGGUAUUCAGUAUAAAAAUAUAUAUUUCUAUCAGUGCUGCAAGCGUACUAGGUUAUUACUUUUUACAGAAUUUUUAUUAUGUCAGAAAUUUAGGACAUAAUUUAAAUUGAGUUCUAGGGUUCAUAAUUUGAAAUUUGUGUAGAUUUUCUUGAAGUGUCAAACACUAGGAGAUGCAAAUUUGAAGUGGUCAUGUUAUAUGCAAAUUCCCCAAUAGUGUUUGCUCAUGUUUAUCUACUGUUGUAGUUGCUCAUGUACAUGUUCUUAAGUGUUUGAGCUGUGCGUUGAGGCAAAAAAGGCUAUCAAGUCCCAAGCAAUCGCAGACUUUCUUGCCGGAUUGAGCAGCAGUUGCCGACUCAAGUUCACACGGAACAUUGGACUAUGUUCUUUGAUGGCUCCAAGAUGCUGAAUGGUUCAGGUGCUGGGGUAGUAUUGGUAUCCCCCCAUGGAGACAAGCUUAGUUAUGUUCUCCAGAUUCAUUUUGAUUCCUCUAAUAAUGAAGCCGAAUAUGAAGCACUUUUAUACGGGUUGCGUAUGGCCAUUUCACUCGGCCUCCGUCGCCUUAUGGUCUACGGCGACUAAGAUUUGGUGGUUAAUCAAGUGAUGAAGGAAUGGGAUGUCAGGAGCCCAGCCAUGAAUGGUUAUUGCAAUGUAGUAAGAAAGCUGGAAAAGAGGUUUGAAGGUUUGGAGCUUCACCAUAUACCCUGACUGAAAAAUCAAGCUGCAGAUGAGUUGGCAAAGAUAGGCUCAAAGAGAGAGGCCAUUCCCCGAAAUGUGUUUUUGGAACAUAUUAAUUCACCUUCAGUUCAGGAAGAUUGUCGGUGUCAAAACCGGCGGAUCUCGGGUAGGGGGUCCCGAACUGUGCGUCUAGGCGGAUGGUAACAGGAGACACGGGACACGAUGUUUUUACCCAGGUUCGGGCCCUCUCGAUGGAGGUAAAACCCUACUCCUGCUUGAUUAAUAUUGAUGAUAUGGAUAGUACAAGAGUAGAUCUACCACAAUAUCAGAGAGGCUAAACCCUAGAAGCUAGCCUAUGGUAUGAUUGUUGUUCGUCCUACAGACUAAAACCCUCUGGUUUAUAUAGACACCGGAGAGGGCUAGGGUUACACAGAGUCGGUUACAAUGGGAGGAGAUCUACACAUCCGUAUCGCCAAGCUUGCCUUCCACGCCAAGGAAAGUCCCAUCCGGACACGGGACGAAGUCUUCAAUCUUGUAUCUUCAUAUUCCAGGAGUCCGGCCAAAGGUCAUAGUCCGGUCAUCCAGACACCCCCUAGUCCGGGACUCCCUCAGUAGCCCCUGAACCAGGCUUCAAUGAUGAUGAGUCCGGCGCGCAAAUUGUCUUCGGCAUUGCAUGGCGGGUUCCUCCUCCGAAUACUUCAUAGAAGAUGUUUGAACACAAGGAUAGUGUCCGGCUCUGCAAAAUAAGUUCCACAUACCACCGUAGAGAGAAUAAUAUUUGUACAAAUCUAAUCUGCUGACGUAUCCCGCAGCGUGACAUCAUGCCACGGCCAAGCCUUUAUUUGAAUCAUUUUACUAUCCCACCUCAGCGCGUUUAGUGAGGCGGUUUCCUUGGCACGUCUUGUCAAAGCAGAGAUCGUGUCCCCUUAUUCCGGGAUUCUCGUCAAUACGGGCGUGGGUAUGUUGGGGAACGUAGCAAUAAUUCAAAAUUUUCCUACGUGUCACCAAGAUCUAUCUAUGGAGAAACCAACAACGAGGGAAAGGAGAGUGCAUCUACAUACCCUUGUAGAUCGCUAAGCGGAAGCGUUCAAGAGAACGGGGUUGAAGGAGUCGUACUCGUCGUGAUCCAAAUCACCGGAGAUCCUAGUGCCGAACGGACGGCACCUCCGCGUUCAACACACGUGCAGCCCGGUGACGUCUCCCAUGCCUUGAUCCAGCAAGGAGAGAGGGAGAGGUUGGGGAAGACUCCGUCCAGUAGCAGCACGAUGGCGUGGUGGUGGUGGAGGAGCGUGGCAACCCUGCAGGGCUUCGCCAAGCACCGCGGGAGAGAGGAGUACUUGGGAGAGGGGGAGGGCUGCGCCAGAACUUGGGGUGCGGCUGCCCUCCCACCCCUCCACUAUUUAUAGGUGGGGAGAGAAGGGGGCCGGCCCCCUAGAUCCCAUCUAGGGUUGGGGCGGCGGCCAAGGGGGGGAGGAGUGCCUCCCAAGUCAAGUGGAGGCCCUCCACCUUAGGGUUUCCCCUCUCCCAUGCGCAUGGGCCUUGGGGGGGCUGGUGCCCCAGGCCCAUUAAGGCUAGGGCGCCCCCUUACAGCCCAUGCUGCUGUAUUGGACGUGGUGGAACAAUUUCUGGACCUCCGGACCCCUCCGGAAUCCUCCGGAACCUUCUGGAAGCUUCCUGGUACAAUACCAGAAAAAUCCAAACUUUUCCCGGAACCCAAACAACAACUUUCCAUAUAUAAAUCUUUACCUCCGGACCAUUCCGGAACUCCUCGUGAUGUCCGGGAUCUCAUCCGGGACUCCGAACAACAUUCGUUAACCACAUACAAACUUCCUUUAUAACCCUAGCGUCAUCGAACCUUAAGUGUGUAGACCCUACGGGUUCGGGAACCGUGCAGACAUGACUGAGAUGUUCUCCGGUCAAUAACCAACAGCGGGAUCUGGAUACCCAUGUUGGCUCCCACAUGUUCCAUGAUGAUCUCAUCGGAUGAACAACAAUGUCGAGGAUUCGACCAAUCCCGUAUACAAUUCCCUUUGUCUAGCGGUAUUGUACUUGCCCAAGAUUCGAUCGUCGGUAUGCUGAUACCUUGUUCAAUCUCGUUACCGGCAAGUCUCUUUACUCGUUUCGUAACACAUCAUCCCGUGAUCAACCCCUUGGUCACAUUGUGCACAUUAUGAUGAUGUCCUACCGAGUGGGCUCAGAGAUACCUCUCCGUUUACACGGAGUGACAAAUCUCAAUCUCGAUUCGUGCCAACCCAACAGACACUUUCGGGAAUACCCGUAGUGCACCUUUAUAGCCACCCAAUUACGUUGUGACCUUUGGUACACCCAAAGCAUUCCUACGGUAUCCGGGAGUUGCACAAUCUCAUGGUCUAAGGAAAUGAUACUUGACAUUAGAAAAGCUUUAGCAUACAAACUAGAUGAUCUUUGUGCUAGGCUUAGGAUUGGGUCUUGUCCAUCACAUCAUUCUCCUAAUGAUGUGAUCCCGUUAUCAAUGACAUCCAAUGUCCAUGGUCAAGAAACCGUAACCAUCUAUUGAUCAACGAGCUAGUCAACUAGAGGCUUACUAGGGACAUGGUGUUGUCUAUGUACCCACACAUGUAUCUGAGUUUCCUAUCAAUACAAUUAUAGCAUGGAUAAUAAACGAUUAUCAUGAACAAGGAAAUAUAAUAAUAAUAACCAUUUUAUUAUUGCCUCUAGGGCAUAUUUCCAACAGUCUCCCACUUGCACUAGAGUCAAUAAUCUAGUUCACAUCGCCAUGUGAUUAACACUGAUAGGUCACAUCGCCAUGUGACCAAUAUCCAAAGAGUUUACUAGUGUCACUAAACUAGUUCACAUCACCAUGUGAUUAAGACUCAAUGAGUUCUGGGGUUUGAUCAUGUUUUGCUUGUGAGAGAGGUUUUAGUCAACGGGUCUGCAACAUUCAGAUAUGUAUGUAUUUCACAAAUCUCUAGGUCAUAUUGUAAAUGUUGUUUCCACGCUCCAUUUGGAGCUAUUCCAAAUGGUCGCUCCACUAUACGUAUCCGGUUUGCUACUCAGAGUCAUUCGAAUAGGUUUUAAAGCUUGCAUCGACGUAACCCUUUAUGCCGAACUCUUUAUCACCUCCAUAAUUGAGAAAUAUGUCGUUAUUUACUCCAAGGACAAUUUUGACCGCUGUCCAAUGAUCCCCACUCCUGGAUCAUUCUUGUACCCCUUGACUGACUCAUGGCGAGGCACACUUCCGGUGCGGUACACAUCAUAGCAUACUAUAGAGCCUACGUCUGAAGCAUAGGGGACGACCUUCAUCCUUUCUCUCUCUUCUGCCGGGGUCGAGCUUUAACUCUUAACUUCAUACCUUACAACUCAGGCAAGAACUCCUUCUUUGACUGAUCCAUCUUGAACACCUUCAAGAUCAUGUCAAGGUAUGUGCUCAUUUGAAAGUACAAUUGAGCGGUUUUUGAUCUAUCCUCAUAGAUCUUGAUGCUCAAUGUUCAAGCAGCUUAAUCCAGGUUCUCUAUUGAAAAACACCUUUCAAACAACCCUAUAUGCUUUCCAGAAAUUCUACAUCAUUUCCGAUCAACAAUAUGUCAACAACAUAUACUCAUCAGAAAUGCUAUAGUGCUCCCACUCACUUCUUUGGAAAUACAAGUUUCUCAUAAACUUUGUAUAAACCCAAAAUCUUUGAUCAUCUCAUCAAAGCGUACAUUCCAACUCCGAGAUGCUUACUCUAGUCCUUAGAAGGAUUGCUGGAGCUUUGCAUACUUUAUUAGCAUCUUUCAAGAUUGACAAAACCUUCUGGUUGUAUCACAUACAACCUUUCCUCAAGGAUAAACUGGUAAGGGAACUUGUUUUGACAUCCAUCUUCCAGAUUUCAUAAAUGCAGCUUAUGCUAACAUGAUUCCAACGGACUUAAGCAUCGCUACGGAUGAGAACAUCUCAUUGUAGUCAACUCCUUGAACUUGUGAAAAAACUCUUUGGCACAAGUCGAGCUUCAUAGACGGUGACAUUACCGUCCACGUCCGUUUUCUUCUUAAAGACCCAUUUAUCUCAAUGGCUUGCCGAUCAUCGGGCAAGACCACCAAAGUCCAUGCUUUGUAUACAUGGAUCCUCUCUCAGAUUUUAUGGCCUCGAGCCAUUUGUCAGAAUCCUGGCCCACCAUCGCUUCUCCAUAGCUCGUAGGUUCAUUGUUGUCUAGCAACAUGACCUCCAAGACAGGAUUACCGUACCACUCCGAAGCAGUAUGCGUCCUUGUCGUCCUACGAGGUUCGGUAGUGACUUGAUUCAAAGCAUCAUGAUCACUAUCAUCAGCUUCCACUUCAAUUGGUGUAGGUGCCACAUGAACAACUUCCUGUGCCCUGCUACACACUGGUUGAAGUGAUGAUUCAAUAACCUCAUCAAGUCUCCACCUCCCACUCAAUUCUUUCGAGAGAAACUUUUCCUCGAGAAAGGACCCGUUUUAGAAACAAUUACUUUUGCUUCCGGAUCUGAGAUAGGAGGCAUACCCAACCAUUUUGGGUAUCCUAUGAAGAUGUAUUUAUCCGUUUUGGGUUCAAGCUUAUCACAAUGAAACUUUUUCACAUAAGCGUCGCAACCCCAAACUUUUUAAAAAACGACAGCUUAGGUUUCUCUAAACCAUAGUUCAUACGGUGUCAUCUCAACGGAAUUAUGUGGUGCCCUAUUAAAGUGAAUGUGGUUGUCUCUAAUGCCUAACCCAUGAACGAUAGUGGUAAUUCGAUAAGAGACAUCAUGGUACGCACCAUAUCCAAUAGAGUGCAACUAUGAUGUUCAGACACACCAUCACACUAUGGUGUUCCAGGCGGUAUUAAUUGUGAAACAAUUUCCACAAUGUCUUAAUUGCGUGCCAAAGCUCGUAACUCAGAUACUCAUCUCUAUGAUCAUAUCAUAGACAUUUUAUCCUCUUGUCACAAUGAUCUUCAACUUCACUCUGAAAUUACUUGAACCAUUCAACAAUUCAGACUUGUGUUUCAUCAAGCAAAUAUACUCAACAUCUACUCGAAUCAUUUGUGAAGUAGGAACAUAACGAUAUUCAGUGCAUGCCUCAGCACUCAUUGGGCUGCACACAUCAAAAUGUGUUACUUCCAACAAAUUGCUAUCUUGUUCCAUCUUACUGAAACGAGGCUUUUCAGUCAUCUUUCCCAUGUGGUAUGAUUUGCAUAUCUCAAGUGAUUCAAAAUCAAGUGAGUCCAAACGAUCCAUCUGCAUGGAGUUUCUUCAUGCGUAUACACCAAUAGACAUGGUUCGCAUGUCUCAAACUUUUCAUAAAAUGAGUGAGUCCAAAGAUCCAUCAACUUGGAGCUUCUUCAUGCGUUUUAUACCAAUAUGACUUACAUGGGAGUGCCACAAGUAAGUGGUACUAUCAUUACUAUCUUAUAUCUUUUGGCAUGAAAAUGUGUAUCAUUACGAUCGAGAUUCAAUAAACCAUUCUUUUAGGUGUAAGACCAUUGAAGGUAUUAUUCAAAUAAAUAGAGUAACCAUUAUUCUCCUUAAAUGAAUAACCGCAUUGCGAUAGACAUAAUCCAAUCAUGUCUAUGCUCAACGCAAACACCAAAUAAAAAUAUUCAGGUUUAGCACCAAUCUCGAUGGUAGAGGGAGCGUGCGAUGCUUGAUCACAUCAACCUUGGAAACACUUCCAACACAUAUCAUCAGCUCACCUUUAGCUAGUCUCCGUUUAUUCCGUAGCCUUUUAUUUCGAGUUACUAACACUUAGCAACCGAACCGGUAUCUAAUACCCUGGUGCUACUAGGAGUACUAUUAAAGUACACAUUAACAUAAUGUAUAUCCAAUAUACUUCUAUCGACCUUGCCAGCCUUCUCAUCUACCAAGUAUCUAGGGUAAUUCUGCUUCAGUGUCCGUUCCUCUCAUUACAGAAGCACUUAGUCUCGGGUUUGGGUUCAACCUUGGGUUUCUUCACUGGAGCAGCAACUGAUUUGCCGUUUCAUGAAGUACCCCUUAUUGCCCUCGCCCUUCUUGAAACUAGUGGUUUCACUAACCAUUAACAAUUGAUGCUCCUUCUUGAUUUCUACAUUCGUGGUGUCAAACUUUGUGAAUAGCUCAAGGAUCAUCAUAUCUAUCCCUGUUAUGUUAUAGUUCAUCACGAAGCUCUAGUAGCUUGGUGGCAAUGUCUUUGGAGAAACAUCACUCUCACCUGGAAGAUUAACUCCCACUCGAUUCAAAUGAUUGUUGUACCCAGACAAUCUGAGUACAAGCUCAACGAUUGAGAUCUUCUCCCUUAGUUUGUAGGCUAGAAAAUUCGUCGGAGGUCUCAUACCUCUUGACGUGGGCACGAGCCUGAAAUCCCAAUUUCAGCUCUUGGAAUAUCUCAUAUGUUCUGUGACAUUUCAAAAAUGUCUUCGGUGCCUCAAUUCUAAACCAUUUAACAUUACCGAACUAUCAUGUAGUCAUCAAAACGUGUAUGUCAGAUGUUCGCAACAUCCACAGACCACGUUCGAGGUCCAGCACACCGAGCGGUGCAUUAAGGACAUAAGCCUUCUACUGUCCGCAUAAUUGCUAUAGUCAACUUUGAACUAUAUUUUCUCUAGGAACAUAUCUAAAAUAGUAGAACUAAGCGCGAGCUAUGACAUAAUUUGCAAAGGGCUUUUGACUAUGUUCAGGAUAUUUAAGUUCAUCUAAUGAACUCCCACUCAGAUAGACAUCCCUCCAGUCAUCUAAGUGAUUACAUGAUCCGAGUCAACUAGGCCGUGUCCGAUCGUCACGUGAGACAGACUAGUCAUCAUCGGUGAACAUCUUCAUGUUGAUCGUAUCCACCAUACGACUCAUGAUCAACCUUUCGGUCUCUUGUGUUCCAAGGCCAUGUCUGUACAUGCUAGGCUCGUCAAGUUAACCUAAGUGUUUCGCGUGUGUAAAUCUGGCUUACACCCAUUGUAUGUGAACGUUAGAAUCUAUCACACCCGAUCAUAACGUGGUGCUUCGAAACGACGAACUUUCGCAACGGUGCACAGUUAGGGGGAACACUUUCUUGAAAUUUUAACGAGGGAUCAUCUUAUUUACUACCGUCGUUCUAAGCAAAUAUGAUGUAUAAACAUGAUAAACAUCACAUGCAAUCAAAUAGUGACAUGAUAUGGCCAAUAUCAUUUUGCUCCUUUUGAUCUCCAUCUUCGGGGCUCCAUGAUCAUCAUCGUCACCGGCAUGACACCAUGAUCUCCAUCAUCAUGAUCUCCAUCACCGUGUCUCCAUGAAGUUGUCUCGCCAACUUAUUACUUCUAUUACUAUGGCUACCGAUUAGCAAUAAAGUAAAGUAAUUACAUGGCGUUUGUUCAAUGACACACAGGUCAUACAAUAAAUUAAGACAACUCCUAUGGCUCAUACCGGUUGUCAUACUCAUCGACAUGCAAGUCGUGAUUCCUAUUACAAGAACAUGAUCAAUCUCAUACAUCACAUAUCACUCAUCGCAUUCUUUUGACCAUAUCACAUCACAUAGCAUACCCUGCAAAAAUAAGUUAGACAUCCUCUAAUUGUUGUUUGCAUGUUUUACAUGGCUGCUAUGGGUUCUAGCAAGAACGUUUCUUACCUACACAAAACCACAACGUGAUAUGCCAAUUGCUAUUUACCCUUCAUAAGGAUCCUUUUCAUCGAAUCCGUUCUGAGUAAAGUGGGAGAGACUGGCACCCGCUAGCCACCUUAUGCACCAAGUGCAUGUCAGUCGGUGGAACCUGUCUCACGUAAGUGUACGUGUAAGGUCGGUCCGGGCCGCUUCAUCCCACAAUACCGUCGAAACAAGAUUGGACUAGUAAUGGUAAGCAUAUUGAACAAAAUCAGAGCCCACAACUACUUUGUGUUCUACUCGUGCAAAGAAUCUACACAAUAGACCUAGCUCAUGAUGCCACUGUUGGGGAACGUAGCAAUAAUUCAAAAUUUUCCUACGUGUCACCAAGAUCUAUCUAUGGAGAAACCAGCAACGAGGGGAAGGAGAGUGCAUCUACAUACCCUUGUAGACCGCUAAGCGGAAGCGUUCAAGAGAACGGGGUUGAAGGAGUCAUACUCGUCGUGAUCCAAAUCACCUGAGAUCCUAGUGCCGAACGGACGGCACCUCCGCGUUCAACACACGUGCAGCCCGGUGACGUCUCCCAUGCCUUGAUCCAGCAAGGAGAGAGGGAGAGGUUGGGGAAGACUCCGUCCAGUAGCAGCACGAUGGCGUGGUGGUGGUGGAGGAGCGUGGCAACCCUGCAGGGCUUCGCCAAGCACCGCGGGAGAGAGGAGUACUUGGGAGAGGGGGAGGGCUGCGCCAGAACUUGGGGUGCGGCUGCCCUCCCACCCCUCCACUAUUUAUAGGUGGGGAGAGAAGGGGGCCAGCCCCCUAGAUCCCAUCUAGGGUUGGGGCGGCGGCCAAGGGGGGGAGGAGUGCCUCCCAAGUCAAGUGGAGGCCCUCCACCUUAGGGUUUCCCCUCUCCCAUGCGCAUGGGCCUUGGGGGGGCUGGUGCCCCAGGCCCAUUAAGGCUAGGGCACCCCCUUACAGCCCAUGCUGCUGUAUUGGACGUGGUGGAACAAUUUCUGGACCUCCGGACCCCUCCGGAAUCCUCCGGAACCUUCUGGAAGCUUCCUGGUACAAUACCAGAAAAACCCGAACUUUUCCCGGAACCCGAACAAGAACUUUCCAUAUAUAAAUCUUUACCUCCGGACCAUUCUGGAACUCCUCGUGACGUCCGGGAUCUCAUCCGGGACUCCGAACAACAUUCGGUAACCACAUACAAACUUCCUUUAUAACCCUAGCAUCAUCGAACCUUAAGUGUGUAGACCCUACGGGUUCGGGAACCAUGUAGACAUGACCGAGACAUUCUCCGGUCAAUAACCAACAACGGGAUCUGGAUACCCAUGUUGGCUCCCACAUGUUCCAUGGUGAUCUCAUCGGAUGAACCACGACAUCGAGCAUUCGAGCAAUCCCAUAUACAAUUCCCUUUGUCUAGCGGUAUUGUACUUUCCCGAGAUUCGAUCGUCGGUAUGCCGAUACCUUGUUCAAUCUCGUUACCGGCAAGUCUCUUUACUCGUUCCGUAACACAUCAUCCCGUGAUCAAACCCUUGCUCACAUUGUGCACAUUAUGAUGAUGUCCAACCGAGUGGUCCCAGAGAUACCUCUCCGUCUACACGGAGUGACAAAUCCGAGUCUCGAUUCGUGCCAACCCAGCAGACACUUUCAGAGAUACCCGUAGUGCACCUUUAUAGCCACCCAGUUACGUUGUGACGUUUGAUACACCCAAAGCAUUCCUACGGUAUCCGGGAGUUGCACAAUCUCAUGGUCUAAGGAAAUGAUACUUGACAUUAGAAAAGCUUUAGCAUACGAACUAUAUGAUCUUUGUGCUAGGAUUAGGAUUGGGUCUUGUCCAUCACAUCAUUCUCCUAAUGAUGUGAUCCCGUUAUCAACGACAUCCAAUGUCCAUGGUCAGGAAGCCGUAACCAUCUAUUGAUCAACGAGCUAGUCAACUAGAGGCUUACUAGGGACAUGGUGUUGUCUAUGUACCCACACAUGUAUCUGAGUUUCCUAUCAAUACAAUUAUAGCAUGGAUAAUAAACGAUUAUCAUGAACAAGGAAAUAUAAUAAUAAUAACCAUUUUAUUAUUGCCUCAAUAGUGUUUUCUCACGUCCUUUAAUUGUUGUUGCAUCUUUUACGUGGCUGCAAUAGGGUUCUAGCAAGAACGUUUUCUUACCUACGAAAAAGCCACAACAUGAUUUGUCAACUUAUAUUUACCCUUCAUAAGGACACUUUUCAUCGAAUCCGCUCCAACUAAAGUGGGAGAGACAGACACCCGCUAGCCACCUUAUGCAACUAGUGCAUGUCAGUCGGUGCAACCUGUCUCACGUAAGCGUACGUGUAAGGUCGGUCUGGGCCGCUUCAUCCCACAAUACUGCUGAAGCCAAAUAAGACUAGUAGUGGCAAGAAAGUUGACAACAUCUACGCCCACAACAGAUUUGUGUUCUACUCAUGCAAAGAGAACUACGCAUAGACCUAGCUCAUGAUGCCACUGUUGGGGAAUGUUGCAGAAACAAAAAAAAUCUGUGGUUUUCACCAAGAUCAAUCUAUGAGUUCAUCUAGAAACGAGAGAGAGGAGUGCAUCUACAUACCCUUGUAGAUCGAGCGGAAGCGUUCAAGAGAAUGGGGUUGAGGGAGUCGUACUCGUCGUGAUCCAAAUCACCGGAGAUCCUAGCGCUGAACGGACGGCACCUCCGCGUUCAACACACGUAUGGUCAGCAUGACAUCUCCUCCUUCUUGAUCUAGCAACAGGGAAGGAGAGGUUGAUGAUGAUCCAGCAGCACGACGGCGUGGUGGUGGAUGCAGCAGGGAUCCCAGCAGGGCUUCGCCAAGCGUCUGCGGGAGGGAGAGGUGUAGCAAGGGGGAAGGGAGGUGCCAAGUGCAAGGGUGCGACUGCCCUCCCUCCCCCCCUCUUUAUAUAGGGACCCCAGGGGGGCGCCGGCCCUAGGAGAUGGGAUCUCCUAGGGGGGGCGGCGGCCAAGGGGGGGUGCCUUGCCCCCCAAGGCAAGUGGAGGCGCCCCCUCCCCUAGGGUUCCCAACCCUAGGCGCAGGGGGGCCCAAGGGGGGGCGCACCAGCCCACCAGGGGCUGGUUCCCCUCCCACUUCAGCCCAUGGGGCCCUCCGGGAUGGGUGGCCCCACCCGGUGGACCCCCGGGACCCUUCCGGUGGUCCUGGUACAAUACCGGUGACCCCCAAAACUUUCCCGAUGGCCAAAACUCGACUUCCCAUAUAUAAUUCUUUACCUCCGGACCAUUCCGGAACUCCUCGUGAUGUCCGAGAUCUCAUCCGGGACUCCGAACAACUUUCGGUUUGCUGCAUACAAAUAUCUCUACAACCCUAGUGUCACCGAACCUUAAGUGUGUAGACCCUACGGGUUCGGGAGAUACGUAGACAUGACCGAGACGGCUCUGCGGUCAAUAACCAACAACGGGAUCUGGAUACGCAUGUUGGCUCCCACAUGCUCCUCGAUGAUCUCAUCGGAUGAACCACGAUGUCGAGGAUUCAAGCAACCCCGUAUACAAUUCCCUUUGUCAAUCGGUAUGUUACUUGCCCGAUAUUCGAUCGUCGGUAUCCCAAUACCUCGUUCAAUCUCGUUACCGGCAAGUCACUUUACUCGUACCGUAAUGCAUGAUCCCCUGACCAGACACUUGGUCACUUUUAGCUCAUUAUGAUGAUGCAUUACCGAGUGGGCCCAGAGAUACCUCUCCGUCAUACAGAGUGACAAAUCCCAGUCUCGAUCCGUGUCAACCCAACAGACACUUUCGGAGAUACCCGUAGUAUACCUUUAUAGUCACCAGUUACGUUGUGACGUUUGGUACACCCAAAGCACUCCUACAGUGUCCAUGAGUUACACGAUCUCAUGGUUUAAGGAAAAGAUACUUGACAUUGGAAAAGCUCUAGCAAACAAACUACACGAUCUUGUACUAUGCUUAGGAUUGGGUCUUGUCCAUCACAUCAUUCUCCUAAUGAUGUGAUCUUGUUAUCAAUGACAUCCAAUGUCCAUAGUCAGGAAACCAUGACUAUCUGUUGAUCAAGGAGCUAGUCAACUAGAGUCUCACUAGGAACAUAUUGUGGUCUAUGUAUUCACACGUGCAUUACGAUUUCCGGAUAAUACAAUUAUAGCAUGAAUAAAAGAUAAUUAUCAUGAACAAGGAAAUAUAAUAAUAAUCCUUUUAUUAUUGCCUCUAGGCCAUAUUUCCAACAGUCUCCCACUUGGACUAGAGUAAAUAAUCUAGUUACAUUGUGAUGAAUCAAACACCCAUAGAGUUCUGGUGUUGGUCAUGUUUUGUUUGCGGAAGAGGUUUAGUCAACGGAUCUGUGACAUUCAGAUCCGUAUGUACUUUGCAAAUAUCUAUGUCUCCAUCUUGAACAUUUUCAUGGAUGGAGUUGAAACGAUGCUUGAUUUGCCUGGUCUUCUUGUGAAACCUGGGCUCCUUGGCAAGGGUAAUAGCUCCAGUGUUGUCACAGAAGAGAGUGAUCGGCCCCGACGAAUUGGGUAUGACUCCUAGGUCGGUGAUGAACUCCUUCAUCCAUAUUGCUUCAUGUGCUGCCUCCGAGGCUGCCAUGUACUCCGCUUCACAUGUAGAUCCCGCCACGACGCUCUGCUUGCAACUGCACCAGCUUACUGCUCCACGAUUCAACAUAUACACGUAUCCGGUUUGUGACUUAGAGUCAUUCAGAUCUGUGUCGAAGCUAGCAUCGACGUAACCCUUUACGAUGAGAUCUUCGUCACCUCCAUAAAUGAGAAACAUGUCCUUUGUCCUUUUCAGGUACUUCAGGAUAUUCUUGACCGCUGUCCAGUGUUCCUUGCCGGGAUUACUUUGGUACCUUCCUACCAAACUUACGGCAAGGUUUCCAUCAGGUCUGGUACACAACAUGGCAUACAUAAUAGAUCCUAUGGCUGAGGCAUAGGGGAUGACACUCAUCUCUUCUUUAUCUUCUGCCAUGGUCGGGCAUUGAGCCGAGCUCAAUCUUACACCUUGCAAUACAGGCAAGAACCCUUUCUUGGACUGAUCCAUAUUGAACUUCUUCAAUAUCUUAUCAAGGUAUGUGCUUUGUGAAAGACCUAUGAGGCGUCUCGAUCUGUCCCUAUAGAUCUUGAUGCCUAAUAUGUAAGCGGCUUCUCCAAGGUCCUUCAUUGAAAAACACUUAUUCAAGUAGGCCUUAAUGCUGUCCAAAAGUUCUAUAUCAUUUCCUAUCAGAAGUAUGUCAUCUACAUAUAAUAUGAGAAAUGCUACAGAGCUCCCACUCACUUUCUUGUAAACGCAGGCUUCUCCAUAAGUCUUCAUAAACCCAAACACUUUGAUCAUCUCAUCAAAGCAAAUGUUCCAACUCCGAGAUGCUUGCACCAGGCCAUAAAUGAAUCGUUGGAGCUUGCAUACCUUGUUAGCAUUCUUAGGAUCGACAAAACCUUCGGGAUGCAUCAUAUACAGUUCUUCCUUAAGAUAGCCAUUAAGGAAUGCCGUUUUGACGUCCAUCUGCCAUAUCUCAUAAUCAUAGUAUGAGGCAAUUGCUAACAUGAUUCGGACGGACUUCAGCUUCGCUACGGGAGAGAAAGUCUAAUCGUAGUCAACCCCUUGAACUUGCCGAUAACCCUUAGCGACAAGUCGAGCUUUAUAGAUGGUAACAUUACCAUCCGCAUCCGUCUUCUUCUUAAAGAUCCAUUUGUUUUCUAUCGCUCGCCGAUCAUCCGGCAAGUCUGUCAAAGUCCAUACUUUGUUUUCAUACAUGGAUUCUAUCUCGGAUUGCAUGGCUUCAAGCCAUUCGUUGGAAUGUGGGCCCGUCAUCGCUUCUUCAUAGUUCGAAGGUUCACCGUUGUCUAACAACAUGAUUUCCAGGACAGGGUUGCCAUACCACUCUGGUGUGGAACGUGUCCUUGUGGACCUACGAAGUUCAGUAGCAACUUGAUCCGAAGUAACUUGAUCAUCAUCAUUAAUUUCCUCUCCAGUCGGUGCAGGCAACAUAGGAACAUUUUCCUGAGCUGCACUACUUUCCGGUUCAAGAGGUAGUACUUCAUCGAGUUCUACUUUCCUCCCACUUACUCCUUUCGAGAGAAACUCUUUUUCCAGAAAGGAUCCGUUCUUGGCAACAAAGAUCUUGCCUUCGGAUCUAAAGAAGAAGGUAUACCCAAUGGUUUCCUUAGGGUAUCCUAUGAAGACGCAUUUUUCCGACUUGGGUUCGAGCUUUUCAGGUUGAAGUUUCUUGACAUAAGCAUCGCAUCCCCAAACUUUUAGAAACGACAACUUAGGUUUCUUCCCAAACCAUAAUUCAUAUGGUGUCGUCUCAAAGGAUUUAGACGGAGCCCUAUUUAAAGUGAAUGUAGCUGUCUCUAGAGCGUAUCCCCAAAAUGAUAGAGGUAAAUCGGUAAGAGACAUCAUAGAUCGCACCAUAUCCAAUAGAGUGCAAUUACGACGUUCGUACACACCGUUACGUUGAGGUGUUCCAGGCAGCCUGAGUUGUGAAACGAUUCCACAUUUCCUUAAGUGCAUACCAAAUUCAUGACUUAAAUAUUCUCCUCCACGAUCUGAUCGCAAGAACUUUAUCUUUCGGUCAGGUUGAUUCUCUACCUCAUUCUGAAAUUCCUUGAACUUUUCAAAGGUCUCAGACUUGUGUUUCAUCAAGUAGACAUACCCAUAUCUACUUAAGUCAUCAGUGAGAGUGAGAACAUAACAAUAUCCUCCACGAGCCUCACGCUCAUUGGACCGCACACAUCAGUAUGUAUGAUUUCCAAUAAGUUGGUUGCUCGCUCCAUUGUUCCGAAGAAAGGAGUCUUGGUCAUUUUGCCCAUAAGGCAUGGUUCGCAUGUGUCAAAUGAUUCAUAAAAGAGAGACUCUAAAAGUCCAUCAGCAUGGAGCUUCUUCAAGCGCUUGACACCAAUGUGACCAAGGCGGCAGUGCCACAAGUAUGUGGGACUAUCGUUAUCAACUUUACAUCUUUUGGUAUUCACACUACGAAUAUGUGUAACAUCACGUUCGAGAUUCAUUAAGAAUAAACCAUUGACCAUCGGGGCAUGACCAUAAAACAUAUCUCUCAUAUAAAUAGGACAACCAUUAUUCUAGGAUUUAAAUGAGUAGCCAUCUCAUAUUAAACGAGAUCCAGAUACAAUAUUCAUGCUCAAACUUGGCACUAAAUAACAAUUAUUAAGGUUUAAAACUAAUCCCGUAGGUAAAUGUAGAGGUAGCGUGCCGACGGCGAUCACAUCGACCUUGGAACCAUUCCCGACACGCGUCGUCACCUCGUCCUUCGCCAGUCUCCGCUUAUUCCGCAGCUCCAGCUUUGAGUUACAAAUAUGAGCAACGGCACCGGUAUCAAAUACCCAGGAGCUACUACGAGCACUGGUAAGGUAUACAUCAAUUACAUGUAUAUCACAUAUACCUUUAGUGUUGCCGGCCUUCUUGUCCGCUAAGUAUUUGGGGCAGUUCCGCUUCCAGUGACCCUUCCCUUUGCAAUAAAAGCAUUCUAUUUUAGGCUUGGGUCCAUUCUUUGACUUCUUCCCGGCAACUGGCUUACCGAGCGCGGCAACAUCCUUGCCGACCUUCUUGAAGUUCUUUUACCCUUGCCUUUCUUGAACUUAGUGGUUUUAUUGACCAUCAACACUUGAUGUUCAUUUUUGAUUUAUACCUUUGCUGACUUCAGCAUUGAAAAUACUUCAGGAAUAGUUUUCACCAUCCCCAACAUAUUCUAGUUCAUCACAAAGCUCUUGUAGCUCGGUGGGAGCGACUGAAGGAUUCUUUCAAUGACCGCCUCGUCCGGGAGGUUAAUGUCCAGCUGGGACAGGCGGUUGUGCAACCCAGACAUUUUGAGUAUGUGCUCACUGACAGAACUAUUUUCCUCCAUCUUACAACUAUAGAACUUGUCGGAGACUUCAUAUCUCUUGACCCGGGCAUGAGCUUGGAAAACCAUUUUCAGCUCCUCGAACAUCUCAUAUGCUCCGUCUUGCUCAAAACGUUUUUGGAGCCCCGGUUCUAAGAUGUAAAGCAUGCUGCACUAAACGAGGGAGUAAUCAUCAGCACGUGACUGCCAAGCGUUCAUAACGUCUUGGUUCUCUGGGAUGGGUGCUUCACCUGGCGGUCCUUGUAGGACAUAUGCUUUCUUGGCAGCUAUGAGGAUGAUCCUCAGGUUCCGGACCCAGUCCGUAUAGUUGCUGCCAUCAUCUUUUAGCUUGGUUUUCUCUAGGAACGCGUUGAAGUUCAUGUUGACAUGAGUGUUGGCCAUUUGAUCUACAAGACAUUUUUGCAAAGGUUUUAGACUAAGUUCAUGAUAAUUAAGUUCAUCUAAUCAAAUUAUUUAAUGAACUCCCACUUAGAUUAGACAUCCCUCUAGUCAUCUAAGUGUUACAUGAUCCGAGUCGACUAGGCCGUGUCCGAUCAUCACGUGAGAUAGACUAGCAUCAUCGGUUAACAUCUCCAUGUUGAUCAUAUCUUCCAUACGACUCAUGUUCGACCUUUCGGUCUCUGUGUUCCGAGGCCAUGUCUGUACAUGUUAGGCUCAUCAAGUUAAUUAAAGUGUUUUGCAUGUGUAAAUCUGUCUUACACCCAUUGUAUGUGAAUGUUAGGAUCUAUCACACCCGAUCAUCACGUGGUGCUUCGAAACAAUGAACUGUCACAACGGCGCACAGUUAGGGGGGACACUUUCUUGAAAUUAUUAUGAGGGAUCAUCUUAUUUACUACCGUCGUUCUAAGUAAACAAGAUGCAAAAAUAUGAUAAACAUCACAUGCAAUCAAAUAAUAGUGACAUGAUAUGGCCAAUAUCAUAUAGCUCCUUUGAUCUCCAUCUUCGGGGCUUCAUGAUCAUCUUCGUCACCGGCAUGACAACAUGAUCUCUAUCAUCAUGAUCUCCAUCAUCGUGUCUCCAUGAAGUUGCUCGCCAACUAUUACUUCUACUACUAUGGCUAACGGUUUAGCAAUAAAGUAAAGUAAUUACAUGGCGUUAAAUCAUUGACACGCAGGUCAUACAAUAAUUAAGACAACUCCUAUGGCUUCUACCGGUUUUCAUACUCAUCGACAUGCAAGUCGUGAUUCCUAUUACAAGAACAUGAUCUCAUACAUCACAAUAUAUCAUUCAUCAUUCAUCACAACUUUUGGCCAUAUCACAUCACCAAGCAAUUGCUGCAAAAACAAGUUAGACGUCCUCUAAUUGUUGUUGCAUCUUUUACGUGGCUGCAAUAGGGUUCUAGCAAGAACGUUUUCUUACCUACGAAAAAGCCACAACGUGAUUUGUCAACUUCUAUUUACCCUUCAUAAGGACCCUUUUCAUCGAAUCCGCUCCAACUAAAGUGGGAGAGAUAGACACCCGCUAGCCACCUUAUGCAACUAGUGCAUGUCAGUCGGUGGAACCUGUCUCAGGUAAGCGUACGUGUAAGGUCAGUUCGGGCCGCUUCAUCCCACAAUACCGCUGACGCAAAAUAAGACUAGUAGUGGCAAGAAAGUUGACAACAUCUACACCCACAACAGAUUUGUGUUCUACUCGUGCAAAGAGAACUACUGAUAGACCUAGCUCAUGAUGCCACUGUUGGGGAACGUUGAUGAAAAUAAAAAAUUUCCACGGUUUUCACCAAGAUCAAUCUAUGAGUUCAUCUAGCAACGAGAGAGAGGAGUGCAUCUACAUACCCUUGUAGAUCGAGCGGAAGCGUUCAAGAGAACGGGGUUGAGGGAGUCGUACUCGUCGUGAUCCAAAUCACCGGAGAUCCUAGCGCCGAACGGACGGCACCUCCGCGUUCAACACACGUACGGUCAGCGUGACGUCUCCUCCUUCUUGAUCCANNNNNNNNNNNNNNNNNNNNNNNNNNNNNNNNNNNNNNNNNNNNNNNNNNNNNNNNNNNNNNNNNNNNNNNNNNNNNNNNNNNNNNNNNNNNNNNNNNNNNNNNNNNNNNNNNNNNNNNNNNNNNNNNNNNNNNNNNNNNNNNNNNNNNNNNNNNNNNNNNNNNNNNNNNNNNNNNNNNNNNNNNNNNNNNNNNNNNNNNNNNNNNNNNNNNNNNNNNNNNNNNNNNNNNNNNNNNNNNNNNNNNNNNNNNNNNNNNNNNNNNNNNNNNNNNNNNNNNNNNNNNNNNNNNNNNNNNNNNNNNNNNNNNNNNNNNNNNNNUCUCCUCUUUCUUGAUCCAGCAAGGGGGGAGGAGAGGUUGAUGAGGAUCCAGCAGCACGACGGCGUGGUGGUGGAUGCAGCAGGGAUCCCGGCAGGGCUUCGCCAAGCGUCUGCGAGGGGGGGGGGGAAGGUGUAGCAAGGGGGAAGGGAGGCGCCAAGUGCAAGGGUGCGGCUGCCCUCCCUCCCCCCUCUUUAUAUAGGGACCCCAGGAGGGGCGGCGGCCCUAGGAGAUGGGAUCUCCUAGGGAGGUGGGGCGGCCAAGGGGGGGUGCCUUGCCCCCCAAGGCAAGUGGAGGCGCCCCCUCCCCUAGGGUUCCCAACCCUAGGCGCAGGGGGGCCCAAGGGGGGUGUUGGAAAUAUGCCGUAGAGGCAAUAAUAAAAGGAUUAUUAUUAUAUUUCCUUGUUCAUGAUAAUUGUCUUUUAUUCAUGCUAUAAUUGUAUUAUCCGGAAAUCGUAAUACACGUGUGAAUACUUAGACCACACCAUGUCCCUAGUGAGCCUCUAGUUGACUAGCUCGUUGAUCAACAGAUAGUCAUGGUUUCCUGACUAUGGACAUUGGAUGUCAUUGAUAACGGGAUCACAUCAUUAGGAGAAUGAUGUGAUGGACAAGACCCAAUUCUAAGCAUAGCACAAAGAUCGUGUAGUUCGUUUGCUAGAGCUUUUCCAAUGUCAAGUAUCUUUUCCUUAGACCAUGAGAUCGUGUAACCCCCGGAUACUGUAGGAGUGCUUUGGGUGUACCAAACGUCACAACGUAACUGGGUGACUAUAAAGGUGCACUACAGGUAUCUCCGAAAGUGUCUGUUGGGUUGACACGGAUCGAGACUGGGAUUUGUCACUCCAUAUGACGGAGAGGUAUCUCUGGGCCCACUCGGUAAUGCAUCAUCAUAAUGAGCUCAAAGUGACCAAGUGUCUGGUCACGGGAUCAUGCAUUAUGGUACGAGUAAAGUGACUUGCCGGUAACGAUAUUGAACGAGGUAUUGGGAUACCGACUAUCGAAUCUCGGGCAAGUAACGUACCGAUUGACAAAGGGAAUUGUAUACGGGGUUGCUUAAAUCCUCGACAUCGUGGUUCAUCCCAUGAGAUCAUCGAGGUGCAUGUCGGAGCCAACAUGGGUAUCCAGAUCCCGUUGUUGGUUAUUGACCGGAGAGCCGUCUCAGUCAUGUGUGCAUGUCUCCCGAACCCAUAAGGUCUACACACUUAAGGUUCAGUGAUGCUAGGGUUGUUUGAAUAUGAGUAUGCAGCAAACUAAAAGUUGUUCGGAGUCCCGGAUGAGAUCCCGGACAUCACGAGGAGUUCCAGAAUGGUCCGGAGGUAAAGAAUUAUAUAUGGGAAGUCGAGUUUCGUCCAUCGGGAAAGUUUCGGGGGUCACCGGUAUUGUACAGGGACCACCAGAAGGGUCCCGGGGGUCCACCAGGUGGGGCCACCCAUCCCGGAGGGCCCCAUGGGCUGAAGUGGGAGGGGAACCAGCCCCUGGUGGGCUGGUGCGCCCCCCCCCCUGGGCCCCCCUCUGCGCCUAGGGUUGGGAACCCUAGGGGAGGGGGCGCCUCCACUUGCCUUGGGGGGCACUCCAACCCCCUGGCCGCCGCCCUCCUUGGGAGAUCCCAUCUCCAGGGACGCCCCCCCUGGGGUCCCUAUAUAAAGAGGGGGGGUGGGAGGGCAGCCACAGCCCUAACCUCUGGCGCCUCCUUACCCCCUUGCUACACCUCCUCCUCCCGUAGUCACUUGACGAAGCCCUGCCGAAACUCUGCUGCAUCCACCACCAUGCCGUCAUGCUGCUGGAUCUUCAUCAACCUCUCCUUCCCCCUUGCUGGAUCAAGAAAGAGGAGACGUCACGCUGACCGUACGUGUGUUGAACGCGGAGGUGCCGUCCGUUCGGCGCUAGGAUCUCCGGUGAUUUGGAUCACGACGAGUAUGACUCCCUCAACCCCGUUCUCUUGAACGCUUCCGCUCGCGAUCUACAAGGGUAUGUAGAUGCACUCCUCUCUCUCGUUGCUAGGUGAACUCAUAGAUUGAUCUUGGUGAACAUAGGAAAAUUUUUAUUUUAUGCAACGUUCCCCAACAAUGGCAUCAUGAGCUAGGUCUAUGCGUAGUUCUCUAUUGCACGAGUAGAACACAAAUCUGUUGUGGGCGUAGAUGUUGUCAACUUUCUUGCCACUACUCGUCUUAUUUUGCUUCAGCGGUAUUGUGGGAUGAAGCGGCCCGGACCGACCUUACACGCACGCUUACGUGAGACAGGUUCCAUCGACUGACAUGCACUAGUUGCAUAAGGUGGUUAGCGGGUGUCUGUCUCUCCCACUUUAGUUGGAGCGGAUUCGGUGAAAAGGGUCCUUAUGAAGGGUAAAUAGAAGUUGACAAAUCACGUUGUGGUUUUUCGUAGGUAAGAAAACGUUCUUGCUAGAACCCUAUUGCAGCCACGUAAAAGAUGCAACAACAAUUAGAGGACGUCUAACUUGUUUUUGGAGCAAUUGCUUUGUGAUGUGAUAUGGCCAAAAGUUGUGAUGAAUGAUGAAUGAUAUAUUGUGAUGUAUGAGAUCAUGUUCUUGUAAUAGGAAUCACGACCUGCAUGUCGAUGAGUAUGACAACCGGCAGGAGCCAUAUCAGUUGUCUUAAUUAUUGUAUGACCUGCGUGUCAAUGAUUCAACGCCAUGUAAUUACUUUACUUUAUUGCUAAACCGUUAGCCAUAGUAGUAGAAGUAAUAAUUGGCGCGCAACUUCAUGGAGACACAAUGAUGGAGAUCAUGAUGAUGGAGAUCACGGUGUCAUGCCGGUGACGAAGCUGAUCAUGGAGCCCCGAAGAUGGAGAUCAAAGGAGCUAUAUGAUAUUGGCCAUAUCAUGUCACUACUAUAUAAUUGCAUGUGAUGUUUAUUAUGUUUAUGCAUCUUGUUUACUUAGAACGACGGUAGUAAAUAAGAUGAUCCCUUAUAAUAAUUUCAAGAAAGUGUUCCCCCUAACUAUGCGCCAUUGCUAAAGUUCAUCCUUUUUGAAGAACCACGUGAUGAUCGUGUGUGAUAGAUUCUUACGUUCUCAUACAACAGGUGUAAGACAGUUUUACACAUGCUAAACACUUAGGUUAACUUGACGAGCCUAGCAUGUACAUACAUGGCCACGGAACACAGAGACCGAAAGGUCGCACAUGAGUCGUAUGGAAGAUACGAUCAACAUGGAGAUGUUAACCGAUGAUGACUAGUCCGUCUCACGUGAUGAUCGGACACGGCCUAGUCGACUCGGAUCAUGUAACACUUAGAUGACUAGAGGGAUGUCAAAUCUGAGUUGGAGUUCAUUAAAUAAUUUGAUUAGAUGAACUUAAUUAUUGUGAACUUAGUCUAAAAUCUUUGCAAAAUAUGUCUUGUAGAUCAAAUGGCCAACGCUCAUGUCAACAUGAACUUCAACGCGUUCCUAGAGAAAACCAAGCUGAAAGAUGAUGGCAACAACUAUACGGACUGGGUCCGGAACCUGAGGAUCAUCCUCAUAGCUGCCAAGAAAGCAUAUGUCCUAGAAGGACCGCUAGGUGAAGCACCCAUCCCAGAGAACCAAGACGCUAUGAACGCUUGGCAGUCACGUGCUGAUGAUUACUCCCUCGUUCAGUGCGGCAUGCUUUACAACUUAGAACCGGGGCUCCAAAAGCGUUUUGAGCAACACGGAGCAUAUGAGAUGUUCGAGGAGCCGAAAAUGGGUUUCCAAGCUCAUGCCCGGGUCGAGAGAUAUGAAGUCUCCGACAAGUUCUAUAGUUGUAAGAUGGAGGAAAAUAGUUCUGUCAGUGAGCACAUACUCAAAAUGUCUGGGUUGCACAAUAGCCUGUCCCAGCUGGACAUUAACCUCCCGGACAAGGCGAUCAUUGACAGAAUCCUUCAGUCGCUCCCACCGAGCUACAAGAGCUUUGUGAUGAACUACAAUAUGCAGGGGAUGGAGAAAACCAUUCCUGAAGUAUUUUCAAUGCUGAAGUCGGCGGAGGUAGAGAUCAAGAAAGAACAUCAAGUGUUGAUGGUCAAUAAAACAACCAAGUUCAAGAAGGGCAAGGGUACGAAGAACUUCAAGAAGGACGGCAAGGAUGUUGCCGCGCAAAGCCAUUUACCGGGAAGAAGUCAAAGAAUGGACCCAAGCCUGAGACUGAGUGCUUUUAUUGCAAAGGGAAGGGUCACUGGAAGCGGAACUGCCCCAAAUACUUAGCGGACAAGAAGGCCGGCAACACUAAAGGUAUAUUUGAUAUACAUGUAAUUGAUGUGUACCUUACCAGUACUCAUAGUAACUCCUGGGUAUUUGAUACCGGUGCCGUUGCUCAUAUUUGUAACUCACAGCAGGAGCUGCGGAAUAAGCGGAGACUAGCGAAGGACGAGGUGACGAUGCGCGUCGGGAAUGGUUCCAAGGUCGAUGUGAUCGCCGUCGGCACGCUACCUCUACAUUUACCUACGGGAUUAGUUUUAAACCUCAAUAAUUGUUAUUUAGUGCCAAGUUUGAGCAUGAACAUUGUAUCUGGAUCUCGUUUAACGCGAGAUGGCUACUCAUUUAAAUCCGAGAAUAAUGGUUGUUCUAUUUAUAUGAGAGAUAUGUUUUAUGGUCAAGCCCCGAUGGCAAUGGUUAAUUCUUAAUGAAUCUCGAACGUAAUGUUACACAUAUUCAUAGUGUGAAUACCAAAAGAUGUAAAGUUGAUAACGAUAGUCCCACAUACUUGUGGCACUGCCGCCUUGGUCACAUUGGUGUCAAGCGCAUGAAGAAGCUCCAUGCUGAUGGACUUUUAGAGUCUCUCAAUUAUGAAUCAUUUGACACAUGCGAACCAUGCCUCAUGGGCAAAAUGACCAAGACUCCGUUCUCCGGAACAAUGGAGCGAGCAACCAACUUAUUGGAAAUCAUACAUACUGAUGUGUGUGGUCCAAUGAGCGUUGAGGCUCGCGGAGGAUGCCAUUAUGUUGUCACUCUCACUGAUGACUUAAGUAGAUAUGGGUAUGUAUACUUGAUGAAACACAAGUCUGAGACCUUUGAAAAGUUCAAGGAAUUUCAGAAUGAAGUAGAGAAUCAACAUGAUCAAAAAAUAAAGUUCUUACGAUCAGAUCGUGGAGGAGAAUAUUUAAGUCACGAAUUUGGUACGCACUUAAAAAAUGUGGAAUCGUUUCACAACUCACGCCGCCUGGAACACCUCAGCGUAAUGGUGUGUCCGAACGUCGUAAUCGCACUCUAUUGGAUAUGGUGUGAUCUAUGAUGUCUCUUACCGAUUUACCGCUAUCAUUUUGGGGAUACGCUCUAGAGACAGCUACAUUCACUUUAAAUAGGGCUCCGUCUAAAUCCGUUGAGACGACACCAUAUGAAUUAUGGUUUGGGAAGAAACCUAAGCUGUCGUUCUAAAAGUUUGGGGAUGCGAUGCUUAUGUCAAGAAACUUCAACCUGAAAAGCUCGAACCCAAGUCGGAAAAAUGCGUCUUCAUAGGAUACCCUAAGCAAACCAUUGGGUAUACUUUCUACCUUAGAUCCGAAGGCAAGAUCUUUGUUGCCAAGAAUGGAUCCUUUCUGGAAAAAGAGUUUCUCUCGAAAGGAGUAAGUGGGAGGAAAGUAGAACUCGAUGAAGUACUACCUCUUGAACCGGAAAGUAGUGCAGCUCAGGAAAAUGUUCCUGUGGUGCCUACACCAACUGGAGAGGAAAUUAAUGAUGAUGAUCAAGGUACUUUGGAUCAAGUUGCUAUUGAACUUCGUAGGUCCACAAGGACACGUUCCACACCAGAGUGGUAUGGCAACCCUGUCCUGGAAAUCAUGUUGUUAGACAACGGUGAACCUUCGAACUAUGAAGAAGCGAUGGCGGGCCCAGAUUCCAACAAAUGGCUUGAAGCCAUGCAAUCCGAGAUAGAAUCCAGGUAUGAAAACAAAGUAUGGACUUUGACAGACUUGCCCGAUGAUCGGCGAGCGAUAGAAAACAAAUGGAUCUUUAAGAAGAAGACGGACGCGGAUGGCAAUGUUACCAUCUAUAAAGCUCGACUUGUCACUAAGGGUUAUCGGCAAGUUCAAGGGGUUGACUACGUUGAGACUUUCUGUCCCGUAGCGAAGCUGAAGUCCGUCCGAAUCAUGUUAGCAAUUGCCGCAUACUAUGAUUAUGAGAUAUGGCAGAUGGACGUCAAACGGCAUUCCUUAACGGCUAUCUUAAGGAAGAACUGUAUAUGAUGCAGCCGGAAGGUUUUGUCGAUCCUAAGAAUGCUAACAAGGUAUGCAAGCUCCAGCGAUCCAUUUAUGGGCUGGUGCAAGCAUCUCGGAGUUGGAACAUUCGCUUUGAUAAGAUGAUCAAAGCGUUUGGGUUUAUGCAGACUUAUGGAGAAGCCUGUGUUUUCAAGAAAGUGAGUGGGAGCUCUGUAGCAUUUCUCAUAUUAUAUGUAGAUGACAUACUUUUGAUGGGAAAUGAUAUAGAACUUUUGGACAACAUUAAGGCCUACUUGAAUAAGUGUGUUUCAACGAAGGACCUUGGAGAAGCUGCUUACAUAUUAGGCAUCAAGAUCUGUAGGGAUAGAUCGAGACGCCUCAUAGGUCUUUCACAAAGCACAUACCUUGAUAAGAUUUUGAAGAAGUUCAAAAUGGAUCAGUCCAAGAAAGGGUUCUUGCCUGUAUUGCAAGAUGUGAGAUUGAGCUCGGCUCAAUGCAUGACCACGGCAAAAGAUAAAGAAGAGAUGAGUGUCAUCCCCUAUGCCUCAGCCAUAGGAUCUAUUAUGUAUGCCAUGCUGUGUACCAAACCUGAUGUAAACCUUGCCGUAAGUUUGGUAGGAAGGUACCAAAGUAAUCCCGGCAAGGAGCACUAGACAGCGGUCAAGAAUAUCCUGAAGUACCUAAAAAGGACAAAGGACAUGUUUCUCGUUUAUGGAGGUGACGAAGAGCUCGUCGUAAAGGGCUACGUCGAUGCUAGCUUCGACACAGAUCUGGAUGACUCUAAGUCACAAACCGGAUACAUGUAUAUGUUGAAUCGUGGAGCAGUGAGCUGGUGCAGUUGCAAGCAGAGCGUCGUGGCGGGAUCUACAUGUGAAGCGGAGUACAUGGCAGCCUCGGAGGCAGCGCAUGAAGCAAUAUGGAUGAAGGAGUUCAUCACCGACCUAGGAGUCAUACCCAAUGCGUCGGGGCCAAUCACUCUAUUCUGUGACAACACUAGAGCUAUUGCCCUUGUCAAGGAGCCCAAGUUUCACAAGAAGACCAGGCACAAUAAGCGUCACUUCAACUCCAUUCGUGAAAAUUUUCAAGAUGGAGACAUAGAUAUUUACAAAGUACAUACAGAUCUGAAUGUCGCAGAUCCGUUGACGAAACCUCUUCCGCGAGCAAAACAUGAUCAACACCAGAACUCUAUGGGUGUUCGAUUCAUCACAAUGUAACUAGAUUAUUGACUCUAGUGCAAGUGGGAGACUGUUGGAAAUAUGCCCUAGAGGCAAUAAUAAAAGGAUUAUUAUUAUAUUUCCUUGUUCAUGAUAAUUGUCUUUUAUUCAUGCUAUAAUUGUAUUAUCCGAAAAUCGUAAGACACGUGUGAAUACAUAGACCAACACAUGUCCCUAGUGAGCCUCUAGUUGACUAGCUCGUUGAUCAACAGAUAGUCAUGGUUUCCUGACUAUGGACAUUGGAUGUCAUUGAUAACGGGAUCACAUCAUUAGGAGAAUGAUGUGAUGGACAAGACCCAAUCCUAAGCAUAGCACAAAGAUCGUGUAGUUCGUUUGCUAGAGCUUUUCCAAUGUCUAGUAUCUUUUCCUUAGACCAUGAGAUCGUGUAACUCCCAGAUACCGUAGGAGUGCUUUGGGUGUACCAAACGUCACAACAUAACUGGGUGACUAUAAAGGUGCACUAUAGGUAUCUCUGAAAGUGUCUGUUUGGUUGACACGGAUCGAGACUGGGAUUUGUCACUCCGUAUGACGGAGAGGUAUCUCUAGGCCCACUCGGUAAUGCAUCAUCAUAAUGAGCUCAAAGUGACCAAGUGUCUGGUCACGGGAUCAUGCAUUACGGUACGAGUAAAGUGACUUGCCGGUAACGAGAUUGAACGAGGUAUUGGGAUACCGAUGAUCGAAUCUCGGGCAAGUAACGUACCGAUUGACAAAGGGAAUUGUAUACGGGGUUGCUUAAAUCCUCGACAUCGUGGUUCAUCCGAUGAGAUCAUCGAGGAGCAUGUGGGAGCCAACAUGGGUAUCCAGAUCCCGCUGUUGGUUAUUGACCGGAGAGCCGUCUCGGUCAUGUCUGCAUGUCUCCCGAACCCGUAGGGUCUACACACUUAAGGUUGGAUAACGCUAGGGUUCUUUGAAUAUGAGUAUGCAGCAAACCGAAAGUUGUUCGGAGUCCCGGAUGAGAUCUCGGAUGUCAUGAGGAGUUCCGGAAUGGUCCGGCGGUAAAUAAUUAUAUAUGGGAAGUCGAGUUUCGGCCAUCGGGAAAGUUUCGGGGGUCACCGGUAUUGUACCGGGACCACCGGAAGGGUCCCGGGGGUCCACCGGGUGGGGCCACCCAUCCUAGAGGGCCCCAUGGGCUGAAGUGGGAGGGGAACCAGCCCCUNNNNNNNNNNNNNNNNNNNNNNNNNNNNNNNNNNNNNNNNNNNNNNNNNNNNNNNNNNNNNNNNNNNNNNNNNNNNNNNNNNNNNNNNNNNNNNNNNNNNNNNNNNNNNNNNNNNNNNNNNNNNNNNNNNNNNNNNNNNNNNNNNNNNNNNNNNNNNNNNNNNNNNNNNNNNNNNNNNNNNNNNNNNNNNNNNNNNNNNNNNNNNNNNNNNNNNNNNNNNNNNNNNNNNNNNNNNNNNNNNNNNNNNNNNNNNNNNNNNNNNCUGCGCCUAGGGUUGGGAACCCUAGGGGAGGGGGCACCUCCACUUGCCUUGGGGGGCACUCCAACCCCCUGGCCGCCGCCCCCCUUGGGAGAUCCCAUCUCUAGGGCCGGCGCCCCCUGGGGUCCCUAUGUAAAGAGGGGGGGUGGGAGGGCAGCUGCACCCCUGACCUCUGGCGCCUUCUUACCCCCUUGCUAUACCUCCUCCUCCCGUAGUCGCUUGGCGACGCCCUGCCGGAACCCUGCUGCAUCCACCACCAUGCCGUUGUGCUGCUGGAUCUUCAUCAACCUCUCCUUCCCCCUUGCUGGAUAAAGAAGGAGGAGACGUCACGCUGACCGUACGUGUGUUGAACGUGGAGGUGCCGUCCGUUCGGCGCUAGGAUCUCUGAUGAUUUGGAUCACGACGAGUACGACUCCCUCAACCCCGUUCUCUUGAACGCUUCCGCUCGCGAUCUACAAGGGUAUGUAGAUGCACUCCUCUCUCUCGUUGCUAGAUGAACUCAUAGAUUGAUCUUGGUGAAUGUAGGAAUUUUUUUAUUUUAUGCAACGUUUCCCAACAGGGGGGGGGCGCACCAGCCCACCAGGGGCUGGUUCCCCUCCCACUUUAGCCCAUGGGGCCCUCCGGGAUGGGUGGCCCCACCCGGUGGACCCUCGGGACCCUUCCGGUGGUCCCGGUACAAUAUCAGUGACCCCCGAAACUUUCCCGAUGGCCAAAACUCGACUUCCCGUAUAUAAUUCUUUACCUCCGGACCAUUUUGGAACUCCUCGUGACGUCCGGGAUCUCAUCCGGGACUCCAAACAACUUUCGGUUUGCUGCAUACAAAUAUCUCUACAACCCUAGCGUCACCGAACCUUAAGUUUGUAGACCCUACGGGUUCGGGAGAUACAUAGACAUGACCGAGACGGCUCUUCGGUCAAUAACCAACAGCGGGAUCUGGAUACCCAUGUUGGCUCCCACAUGCUCCUCGAUGAUCUCAUCGGAUGAACCAUGAUGUCGAGAAUUCAAGCAACCCCGUAUACAAUUCCCUUUGUCAAUCGGUAUGUUACUUGCCCGAGAUUCGAUCGUCGGUAUCCCAAUACCUCGUUCGAUCUCGUUACCGGCAAGUCACUUUACUCGUACCGUAAUGCAUGAUCUAGUGACCAGACACUUGGUCACUUUGAGCUCAUUAUGAUGAUGCAUUACCGAGUGGGCCCAGAGAUACCUCUCUGUCAUACGGAAUGACAAAUCCCAGUCUCGAUCCGUGUCAACCCAACAGACACUUUCGGAGAUACCUGUAGUAUACCUUUAUAGUCACCCAGUUACGUUGUGACGUUUGGUACACCCACAGCACUCCUACGGUGUCCGGGAGUUACACGAUCUCAUGGUCUAAGGAAAAGAUACUUGACAUUGGAAAAGCUCUAGCAAAUGAACUACACGAUCUUGUGCUAUGCUUAGGAUUGGGUCUUGUCCAUCACAUCAUUCUCCUAAUGAUGUGAUCUCAUUAUCAAUGGCAUCCAAUGUCCAUAGUCAGGAAACCAUGACUAUCUGUUGAUCAACGAGCUAGUCAACUAGAGGCUCACUAGGGACAUAUUGUGGUCUAUGUAUUCACACGUGCAUUACGAUUUCCGGAUAAUACAAUUAUAGCAUGAAUAAAAGACAAUUAUCAUGAACAAGGAAAUAUAAUAAUAAUCCUUUUAUUAUUGCCUCUAGGGCAUAUUUCCAACAAUAUGCAAAUUCCUCAAUAGUGUUUGCUCAUGUUUAUCUACUGUUGUAGUUGCUCAUGUACAUGUUCUUGAGUGGUCCUGUUAUAUGCAACAUUGAAGUGGUUCAAUUGUGCCCAAGUGGCCUUUUGUUGUUUCCAGGGAAUGAAGCCGAGUGGCCUAUGUGUUGCCGGAAUGUUGAUUCAUUUCCAUUCCAGCAAAUUUUAGGUGCUCGAUUUGUCCACUUUUAUAGCAAAGCUCGUGCCAAAAUUUUCCUUGAAUUUCGGCAUGACUUGUGCUACAAACUAGGACAUAUCGAGUGCCCGGGAUUUACCGCACCAGAAAUGAAUCAACAUCCCUUCAAAAUACAGGCCUUUUUUAUGUCAUUAUUCAUUUUAUUAGGUCUAGAAUUAAUUGACUAGAUUUAAUUGUAGGAAACAUGGCUAGCAACGGUGUUUGCAACGUCUACGAGGUGGCAGACGUUUAUUUGAACCUUCUCGACGAGCAACGGUUGUUGCAUGGCCCACUUGUCACAUCCGAGACUGAGACCGACAUCGGGACUGGUAUCGAGACUGGCGCUGAGACCCAGACCCGCACGAAGACUGGUGAAGCCGGUACAGAACCAAAACCAAAGAGGCAACGGCGCCCAAACCAGCUCAUCACUAAUAGACUGGUGGUCACGGUGGUGGACGAUGACAAUUUUGAGCCAAAAGAGCCUACGGAAGCGCACGCGUGCUAUGGCAAUCAAAUAGGCUGCAUCCUAUGAGCAAGCGCCACCAACAACGAUGAGAAACUAAAGAAUAUACCAGAUAUGAAGCAGUCCCUCCGAACUAAGCUGCACUAGGUAUUCUUGUUACCGGGCCGGGAUGAAAUCAAAUAUACUAAUCCAGAUAAAGACCCGACAAUGAAGAAGAUAACAAACGCGCCAUGAGCAAUUUUAGUAGUGCAUUGUCCGCCUGAAAGUAAGGGUGAAACAUAAGAUCAUCGACAAAAAAGAACCCUACUCCUAGAUUGUAAAUGAUAAUCCGACAAUUACGGAAGAGCAGUUUGAAAUAUUCAAGGCGACUUGUGUUGAAGAAGCUGCCAAAGAAAAGUCGGAGUACAUGAAGGGGCUCCAAGAGAGGAACAUGGGGUGCCACCACCUCGAAAGUCGUGGUUACGCGGGAAGAGGUCCAUAUUGGCCAAGGAGGACGCAAAACGCGAAAGUCUGGGCAUCCCAGACCCCUUGGCGGUGUUCACUGUCCAGCAGGAGCAUAAUGUCAUCAGGGCCCAGUACCCUUGGGACCUAGUCAAGAAGGUUUUUGAGAUGUACGCGAUCACAAGGAGUUCAUGAGACUGCUGGUAAUUUUUAAUUUACCCCCUAAUUUUAGCUUCUGAUCAAUUCGACUGCACAUUUAGUCAUAUAUUUAUACGAUUCUUGUUCCUUUUGCAAAAAGAGCAGCACAUAAUUGCGGCCGAAAGCGGCUCGUCGUCUGAGGCAUUGCGAGGCCUGUCGGUGUCAAAACCGGCGGAUCUCGGGUAGGGGGUCCCGAACUGUGCGUCUAGGCGGAUGGUAACAGGAGACAAGGGGCACGAUGUUUUACCCAGGUUCGGGCCCUCUUGAUGGAGGUAAAACCCUACGUCCUGCUUGAUUAAUAUUGAUGAUGUGUGUUACAAGAGUGGAUCUACCAUGAGAUCAAGGAGGCUAAACCCUAGAGGCUAGCCUAUGGUAUGAUUGUUGUUCGUCCUACGGACUAAAGCCAUCCGGUUUAUAUAGACACCGGAGAGGGCUAGGGUUACACAGAGUCGGUUACAAUGGUAGGAGAUCUACAUAUCCGUAUCGCCAAGCUUUCCUUCCAUGCCAAGGAAAGUCCCAUACGGACACGGGACGAAGUCUUCAAUCUUCUAUCUUCAUAGUCUUGGAGUCCGGCCGAUGAUGAUAGUUCGGCUAUCCGGACGCCCCCUAGUCCAGGACUCCCUCAUUAGCCCCCAAACCAGGCUUCAGCGACGACAAGUCCGGCACGUAUAUUGUCUUCGGCGUUACAAGGCGGGUUCUCCUUCAAACUUCAUGUUCCUGCCGAAUAGUGUCCGACUUCCUUAUAAAUGUUGCGCUCCUUGGCUUCUACGCCCAAUAAUGGCCUUCUUCCACGUGUUGUAUGAAUGCGAAAAGCUAGGGUAUUUUUACAUCUUACCCCCUAGCCGUGCGAACGAGCCGCCUAUAAGAGAUGUGAGGAUCUAGAUCCAACUCACACCAUCCUCCUUCCGCAAGUACUCAUCGAAGCGCCUCUGACAAAAAUCCAUUCUAUCAUGGAUAGUCGACGCGGCUCCUCCUCUCGCGCUCCCAGCCCUAAGCCAGGAGAUUGGGGGAGAUGCUCAGUUCCACACAGCGAGCUAGUGGCGCUCCAAACCGAGGGAUAUCUUCCCCCAGCCUUCAUGGUUCCGGUUCGAGCCGGACUGGCCACCUUCAGGGGUGGAAAGCAGGCGGAGAGCGUCCCCAACCCUUCCAAAGGAGAGCGGGUAUGCUUCGUCCCUUAUCUAAUAAGGGGACUCGGAUUUCCCAUACACCCGUUUCUCCGGGGGCUCCUGGAGUUCUACGGACUCCAGCUUCACCACCUCACACCUGCCUCCAUUUUGCACAUCGCGGGCUUUGUAGCCCGUUGCGAGCUGUUCUUGGGCAUCGAGCCCCACUUUGCACUGUGGAAGAGAUUGUUUUGCCUCGCACCCCGUUCUCAGGAGGGGUCGAUAUAUCAAGUGGGCGGAGCCGAAAUAUGGCGCAUCGCCGGGACCGGAUAUCUAUCUGGCACCCCGAAGAAGGCGUCCGAAGACUGGCCUUCGGAAUGGUUCUACAUGGAGGACGCCCCUCUGCCGGAUCCAGUUCGGAUCGGCCUCCCGGAGUUCAGCAAUGCUCCCUUGAAGAAACGCCUGAGUUGGCGCCCGCAGAGCCCUCAACGGGAGGAUGAUGGGAGCGUCCAUUAUCUGAUGGGCCGGAUUAGGUUACUGGCCCACUCUUGAUUGACCAUGAUCGGAAUCAUGGCCACGUGCAUUAUGCGAGGGGUGCAGCCGCUCCAAUAUAGGGGCCACCCUAUGUGGGAUUUCAAUGGGGAAGAUGACGCCACCCGUCAUGGCCGCAGAGGGCCGGGCUCGGCAGCCGAUCUGGUAAAGAUCCUAUCCGGCUUGUACAAGGGGGAGGAGGAGGACUUCCUCCGCACGAGUCCAUUGAAUGGAUUUUCCAUGAAUAACCCUCGGAGCUGGGUAAGUGGACGUUUAUCUACCCGAUCCAUACUUCCAAAGUCAAGUAUUUUACUUUAUGAUUUCGACGCAGGAGCUGCGCCAGGACAUGGAGGGCAUACAAAGCCUAACUCCACAGCCCAAGGAUCCGGAAUGAUCCCUUGAUCUGGCCUCCGAAGAGGAUCCGAACAUAAAGGUGGAGCUGAUUGAUGGGGUGUUCCAACAACUUAGCAUGGACAAUGCUCUAGUCGCCAUUACGGCUGACUACCCCGAUUAGUUUCCGGCCUCCCAGGUGACUACGACCGAGGUCUUGACACCAUCAUUUGAUCCAUGCUCAAUUCUGACCAUCCUAUACUGAUGGUGCAUCGUAGGAGGUGCCUUUCGAGCGGGAAGCCGAAGCCACGGCGGCUGACCAGCAAGGGUCAGUUCGGCCCAGCAGGCGGAAGAGGAGUGCGACGCGAACCGAAACAUCGCCGCAAUGGUACGACGCACCGCUGUUUUUAAGGGAAGGAUCCCUAGGAGGUAUAUUAAUGCUCAUAACUUUUCCAGGAGAAAGAGCGCUCGCCGGACAGUGUCCGGAGAGGUUGCCAAUCAAGCCUCCGCAAGCCAUGCUCCAACGCGUGGUCCAGAAGGGGAGGCGAAUACAAGGCAUGAGACGGAUGCUCCUCCGACGGAGGAUGCCGACAGGCUGUCCGCCACCCCGUCUGAGGUGGAGAGCGCCAUGAAUCACAGGCGUCGCCGGACAAUUCUUUGUGACGCGUGUUUCUCCCCGGAGGCAUUGAAUGCCUUUGAUGCGGGAGACGCGCACCUCCAUGCCGCUCAAGAUGGUUUAACCAGAGCCAUGGAGCAGUAUGUGAAGGACAUACGAGUAAGUAAUUUUAAUAGUUAUAUAUAUGCCAGUAGCCCCCGAGACUUAAAAUAGUUAAAAUAACUGAUUUAAGGAUCAUUUAUUAUGUAGGAUCUUACGGAGAAGAAUACCCACCUGUCCCAGGAGCUUCAAGAGUGCAAGGCCCAACUUGAGGCUGCACUGGCCGCCACAGGGGGAGCCACAAAGACCCUCGCUGGUAAUACGUACUUCGAAAAGAUAAGUAGUUAACAAAGUGCGGCGUGUGCGUAAAUCUAACAAUAAUAUUGCAGAGGGCGCCGGACUAGAUCCGGAAAAGCAACAGCUACUGCGUCAGCUGAAGGCCGGUGAGAGGGUGCUUAUGAAGGUGCAGCAGGAGAGGAACAAGCUCCAAGAUGCCCACACCCAGCUAGGAGAAGAGCUGAAAGAUGUUCGGGCCCAGCUGUCUGGCUCCGUGAAGGAGAAUCAGCGGCUUCGUCGCGGCAUUUAUAGUAAGUGCUUGAGCAAAUUCCAUUGAAAAGAAGAAUUUGGCGAGGAAGUCGAUUGACAGAAAUGUGUCUUUAGGUGUGCUCACAGGUCGCCCUGCGGAGGAAAUGCCCGGUUCAACGGGUGACCAACUUCCCAAGCUGGUGAAACUGUUCGAACGUGUUCGGCAGGCGAUGAGUGGUGUCGUUCAGGCCUUAUCGCCUUCCGUCUCCCUACCUGAGGGCCUUGGAGGGCUUGCUGAGAAGCUUCAGGGAGUACGGCGACGUCUCCGUCUGUGCAAGAUAUCAGCCUGCCGUCAAGGCGCCAGGGAGGCCUGGGCCAUGGUGAAGACGCGGUACCCGAAGGCUGACCCAAACCACAUGGCCGAGGUCGGACCUAUGGGGCCUGAUGGGAAGGAGAUCCCUAUGAGCUUGAUGUACGGCCAAAUAGAGCUGGCCGCGAAAUAUUCCCAACAGGACUGUAAAUUAGACAGCCUGUUAGAUGGGAUUGAAGAGGAGUACAAUUAGUCAGUUUGGCGAUGUAAUUUUAAAAUGACAUAUAGAAUGCCUUCUAGCCGGAUUGUAGAUCCUUUGUCUUUGCGGACCUUUUCGCUUCAACCUCGGGACCCAACAGUCCGGAGUGUGUCCGAAUACCCUUACGGUUAUAAAAGAACCGGGGCGUGCAUGGAGACAAGGCGUCGGGGUCAUAAUUGCUUUAUCAGACAAGUGCCCAACUAGCUAUGUUAUAUUGCAUGGUUAGUAAGAAACAUCUUCCAGGGAGAAUAGUUCCGUUAAGGGUUCCUUUCCCUGGGAGGCAUUCCCUAAAGUGCAUGUUCGGACUGCGAAAUUAGCAGAAAAAGCAUCUGGGGGCAGAUAAAUAAGUAAGCAAUAAAUCAUCUUUCAAGUCACCGACCGAAUAUUCUCUUAAGAACGCUAGCUUUCGGCUUCACCCAGUCUGAGGUACACAUCCGGCUGACCCGGCAGUAACAAUCGUAGAGGUGCUCCCUUUACCUCCUAGCUGAACAAUCAGGAACGUAGGGGUAAGCACAGGAGCCAGGCAGCCCAGCUUGGGCAAAACUUAAGUCAUAUCGAUGCAUAUAAUGGUGAAUAAAAGGUACAUGCGGAAGUAUAACACAUGUGUUGGGCAUGAAGCCCAUAUAAAUAAGCUUCUGUUAAAGAAGCCCCCUGGUAUAAUGAGUGCUAGGAGCACAUCAAGUGUGUGCGAACAAUGCGCAAAUCAGCCUAUAAAAGGUAUCGAAAAAAUAAGUGGGAAGAAGGAGGGGGACAAGAGACAGUGAAAAUGUAAAAAGGUGGACGGAGGAGUGAGACGAACUCUGAGUCCGGCGUUAGGCGUAGAAUCUUCGGAGACGGGCUGCGUUCCAUGGGUUCGGCUCGAGUCGAUUGUCAGAUGCGUUACGUAGACGGUAUGCUCCGCCGGUCAGGACUUGGUCGAUGAUGAAGGGACCUUCCCACUUGGGCUUAAGUUUGUCCUUUUUCUUGUCCGGCGGGCGUAGAACAAGUUCGCCAACAUUGUAAGUUUUGGCCCGUACUUCUCUGCUUUGAUAUCUUCGAGCCUGCUGCUGAUAGAAUGCGAAACGAGCUUUUGCCACGUCCCACUCCUCUUCUAAGGCGUCCACACUGUCCUGCCGAUCCAACUCGGCUUCUCUUUCUUCGUACAUGCGCACGCGAGGUGAGUCAUGAAUUAUAUCGCAGGGCAGAACUGCCUCUGCGCCGUACACCAUAAAAAAUGGUGUGAAUCCGGUAGUGCGGUUUGGCGUGGUCCGCAGCCCCCAGAGUACGGAGUCGACCUCCUCUACCCAGUGCGUGUUAGAUUCCUUGAGGGACCGCACUAGUCUGGGUUUGAUGCCGCUCAUGAUUAGACCAUUUGCUCGCUCGACUUGACCGUUAGUUUGGGGGUGAUAGACUGAAGCGUAGUCGAGCUUGAUGCCCAUGUUUUUGCACCAGAGUUUAACCUCGUCGGCCAUGAAAUUCGUGCCGUUAUCAGUGAUGAUGCUGUGGGGGACGCCAAAACGGUGUACUACCCCGGAUAUGAAGUCUACCACAGGUCCGGAUUCUGCCGUUUUAACCGGCUUGGCCUCUAUCCAUUUGGUGAAUUUGUCCACCAUGACCAAUAAGUAUUUGUGCUUGUGGGUUCCCCCUUUAAGGGGUCCAACCAUGUCAAGCCCCCAGACCGCGAACGGCCAGGUGAUGGGUAUAGUUUUGAGGGUGGUGGGUGGCAUGUGGCUCUGAUUAGCAAAGAGCUGGCAACCGACGCAUCGUUGGACUAAGUCCUGAGCAUCUCCUGGGCUGUCAGCCAAUAAAAUCCUGUAUGGAAGGCCUUGCCUACAAGGACCCGGGCUGCAGCGUGGUGCCCGCCGAGUCCGGCGUGAAUUUCAGCCAGGAGAUUUCGCCCUUCCUCUUCGGAGAUACACAUUUGAAGGACUCUGGUUGUGCUUUUCUUAUAAAGUUCUCCGUCAUGGAUCUUGUAGGCUUUAGAUCGCCGAACUAUGCAGCGGGCCUCAUUUUGGUCUUCGGGAAGUUCCUGCCUGAUUAAGUAGGCUAGGAAUGGUUCCGUCCACGGGGCAAUUACUGCCAUUAUUUCGUGGGCUGAAGGUGUUAUUUCAUUGGCUGAGCCACGAUUGUGUCAGAAUGGUCUGAGUUAGGUGAUGCAACUGGUUCCGGAUUGUUGUUUCCGGACUCCUCUUGCCAUAAUACGGAUGGCUUAAAGAGCCGUUCCAGGAAGAUGUUCGGAGGGACGGCGUCGCGUUUUGCGCCGAUGCGUGCCAACACGUCUGCUGCCUGGUUGUUAUCCCGGGCUACAUGGUGGAAUUCGAGUCCUUCGAACCGAGCUGACAUUUUUAGGACGGCGUUGCGGUAGGCUGCCAUUUUCGGAUCUUUGGCGUCAAAGUCUCCAUUUACUUGGGAUAUUGCGAGGUUUGAAUCCCCGCGCACCUCUAGGCGUUGAAUGCCCAUGGAGAUUGCCAUCCGAAGGCCAUGUAGAAGGGCCUCGUAUUCGGCUGCGUUGUUGGAGUCCGUGUACAUUAUUUGAAGUACGUAUUGGACUGUGUCUCCGGUUGGGGACGUCAAGACGACGCCAGCCCCCAAGCCAGCCAACAUUUUGGAUCCGUCGAAAUGCAUGAUCCAAUUGGAGUACGCGCCGUACUCUUUAGGGAGUUCGGCUUCGGUCCAUUCGGCGAUGAAGUCAGCCAGAACUUGCGACUUUAUAGCUCGCCGUGGUUUGUAGGUUAUGUCAAAUGGUAAGAGCUCAAUGGCCCAUUUUGCAAUCCUGCCCGUUGCGUCGCGAUUGUUUAUAAUAUCGUUGAGAGGUACUUCGGAGGCCACCGUUAUGGAACACUCCUGAAAGUACUGUCGCAGCUUCCGGGAUGCCAUGAACACCGCAUACGCUAUCUUUUGAUAAUGUGGGUACCGGGACUUGCAUGGAGUUAAGACAGUGGAUACGUAGCACACUGGUUUUUGAAGAGGGAAUCUGUGCCCUUCUGUUUCUCGCUCGACGACGAGUACCGCGCUGACAACUUGAUGUGUUGCUGCGAUAUAUAAUAACAUAGGUUCGCCCAGGUUGGGCCUGGCCAGGACCGGAUUAGUUGCCAGUAUGGCCUUGAUUUCUUCAAGUCCGGCCGUGGUAGCAUCCGUCCAUUCGAAGUGUUCGGUGCGCCGGAGGAGGCGAUAGAGGGGCAGAGCCUUUUCUCCCAAACGGGAGAUGAAGCGGCUUAGAGCCGCUACGCAUCCAGUUAGUUUUUGUAUUUGCUUGAGGUAUUUUGGGAUAUCUAAUUGUGACAGAGCUCGGAUCUUGGCUGGGUUUGCUUCAAUUCCUCUACCGGAUACAAUGAAGCCCAAAAGCUUUCCGGCUGGUACUCCGAAGACACAUUUUUUAGGGUUGAGCUUAAUGUCAUAUGCUCGGAGGUUGUCGAAUGUCACCCCCAAGUCGUCUACUAGAGUUUCGACGUGUUUGGUCUUGACGACCACAUCGUCUACGUAUGCCUCUACUGUUUUGCCUAUUUGGGUAGCCAGACAUGUCUGAAUCAUGCGCUGAUAUGUUGCGCCAACGUUUUUGAGUCCGAAGGGCAUUGUGUUGAAGCAAAAUGGCCCAUAUGGAGUAAUGAAUGUCAUUGCGGCCUGGUCUUUUUCCGCCAUCUUGAUUUGAUGGUAUCCGGAGUAUGUGUCGAGGAAGCACAAUGAAUCGUACCCUGUGGUAGCAUCGAUGAUUUGGUCGAUGCGAGGGAGAGGGAAAGGGUCCUUUGGACAGGCCUUGUUAAGGUCUUUGAAAUCGACGCAAAGGCGCCAGGAUUUGUCCUUUUUUGGUACCAUUACUAGGUUGGCUAGCCAGUCCGAAUGUUUUAUAUCUCUGAUGAAUCCGGCUUCUAAGAGUUUGGCUAGCUCCUCUCCCAUUGCCUCUCUUUUGGGUUCGGAAAAUCGCCGAAGAGCUUGUUUGACUGGCUUGAAUCCUUUUAGGAUAUUUAGGCUGUGCUCUGCCAGCCUGCGUGGGAUUCCUGGCAUGUCUGAAGGGUGCCAGGCAAAAAUGUCCCAAUUUUCCCGAAGGAAUUCUCGUAGUGCGGCUUCUACAUCAGGAUUUAAUUGUGCCCCGAUGGAGGCCGUCUUUGUGGGGUCCGUUGGAUGGACCUGAAAUCUGACUAUUUCGUCUGCUGGUUUAAAAGAGGUGGACUUGGACCUCUUAUCGAGUAUCACAUCAUCCCUAUCCACCGUGGAGCGCAGCGCAGUUAGUUCCUCUGCCGCUAGGGCUUCGGAUAAUGCCUCUAGGGCCAGUGCGGCUGUUUUAUUUUCAGCGCGAAGUGUUGUAUCUGGAUCACUAGCGAGAGUGAUUAUUCCAUUGGGUCCGGGCAUUUUGAGCUUCAUGUACCCGUAAUGGGGUAUAGCUUGGAAGAUUGUGAAUGCCUCUCGCCCUAACAAGGCGUGAUAUCCGCUGCCGAAUGGGGCCACUUGGAACGUGACCUCUUCAGACCUCUAAUUGUCCGGCGAGCCGAACACUACAUCUAGUGUGAUUUUUCCUGUGCAGCAUACUUCUCGACUAGGGAUUAUUCCCCUGAAGGUUGUGCUGCUUUGCUCAAUGCGGCUCCAGUCAAUUUCCAUUUUUUGAAGGGUUUCUUAGUAGAUGAGGUUUACUCCGUUGCCGCCAUCCAUGAGUACCUUGGUAAGACGAAAGUCGUCCACUAUCGGACUGAGGACUAAUGCGGCUGGUGCUCUAGCUGUUCGAAAUUUAGGUUCGUCGCUGGCAUUGAAGGUGAUAGCCGUGUCACUCCAUGGAUUUGUUGUUGCUACUUGGUAGACUUCGGCGAGGCUGCGGAUUGUUCGUUUCCGCAUGUUAUUUGAUGCGAAAUUCUCGAAGACUGUUAAUACCGUACUGGUACUGCUGGGCUGGUUGCCCGGGGCUAAAAAGCCUUCGCCACUUUUGGCCAACUGCCAUAAUAUCCAACAUGCUCGAAGGCUAUGUGUUGCAGUGGCGCCCUCCGUACUGUGGAUUUUGCAGGGUCCGUUGAGCCAUCCCUCCAGUAUAGUUCCGUACCCUUUAGGGGGGUUUUGCUUUUUAGAUUUUAACCCAGGUGCUUGAGUAUGACGCACCCUUUUAUUUCAGACUGGGAUUGUAUUCAGGGCCGGAUUGUCCCAAAACCUAGUUUCGGUUUUCCAGGCACUCUCCAUCGCGCAGUAUUUUUGUACGAUGGUCGCUAGGUCGUAGAAGCGUGUAACUUCGCGACGACUAAUGGCGUUUAUGAUUCCCUCGUCCGUGCAAUUGUUGCAGAAAAUUGAAAUCGCGCUUUCUUCACGGUAGUCCUUUAUCCUGUUCAUAACCAGGAGGAAUCUGGCCCAGUAAUGAUGUACUGUUUCAUCGGGCUCUUGCCGUAUUUGAGAUAGAUCGCUUAUGUUUGGGUGGGCGGGUGGAAUUAAGUUCGGAACCCCGCCCGAUCUGAGGCUCAAAGGCCAAGAAGCUUCCGGAUUUGGAAGCUUGGUUUGUUGGAUGCUUUCCAACAAAUCUGGUCUGAUGCCUGACUUUAGGUUCAGUAUUUGAUUGGCGUCCGUCCCUUCGCGGGAAUCCGGCCUGGAGGGAUCGGGAAUCCGGACAUAGUUUGGUUUUUAACAUAGAAGAAGAGUCGCCGCAUUGUUCCUCUACCACAACAACGUGGUGGGUAACCUGGGGAGAGUUAAUUUCUCUCAGAUCGGUUUUAAGCCCAAUCUGAUCGUAGUCGGUCACCACGCUACUCGGCGAAUUCCGAGCUGACGUGAAGAUUGCUUUUAAUGACCUGAGAGGUCAUUGUCAGAGCGAUGGCCGAACAGGCGGUCAUAAGGAAACUGCCUAGCCGGAUAGUCUGGCCGGCGGCCAAAGCUCCCUUGACGACGGUGCCAUCUUUAAAGACGGGAAAAGGCAUCCUUCCUGAUGGUGACGACACAGAGGAACUCUCAAUGAAAGCACCAAUGUCGAUGUCAAAACCGGCGGAUCUCGGGUAGGGGGUCCCGAACUGCGCUUCUAGGCGGAUGGUAACAGGAGACAAGGGGCACGAUGUUUUACCCAGGUUCGGGCCCUCUUGAUGGAGGUAAAACCCUACGUCCUGCUUGAUUAAUAUUGAUGAUGUGUGUUACAAGAGUGGAUCUACCACGAGAUCAAGGAGGCUAAACCCUAGAGGCUAGCCUAUGGUAUGAUUGUUGUUCGUCCUACGGACUAAAGCCAUCCGGUUUAUAUAGACACCGGAGAGGGCUAGGGUUACACAGAGUCGGUUACAAUGGUAGGAGAUCUACAUAUCCGUAUCGCCAAUCUUGCCUUCCACGCCAAGGAAAGUCCCAUCCGGACACGGGACGAAGUCUUCAAUCUUCUAUCUUCAUAGUCUUGGAGUCCAGCCGAUGAUGAUAGUUCGGCUAUCCGGACAACCCCUAGUCCAGGACUCCCUCAAGGCCCAAGUGGGAAACCCCAUUCAACCGGGCCUUGAACAUAUUGAUACGUCUCCAAUGUAUCUAUUAUUUAUGAAGUAUUCAUGACAUUAUAUUAUCAUUCUUGGAUCUUUUACAAUCAUUUUAUAGCAACUUUAUAUCAUUUUUUGGGACUAACCUAUUGACCCAGUGCCCAGUGCCAGUUGCUGUUUUUUGCUUAUUUUUUACAUCGCAGGAAAUCAAUAUCAAACGGAGUCCAAACAUAGUGAAACUUCUUGUGGAUUUUUUAUGGACCAGAAGACAUCCAGUGGGCCAAGGAAGCACCUGGGGGGGUGCCUCGAGGGGGCAGCACACACCAGGGCGCGCCUGGGGGGCCAGGCGCGCCCAGGUGGGUUGUGCCCACCUCAGGUUCCCCCUGAACUGCCUCUUCACCCUAUAAAUUCCCAAAUAUUCCAAAACCCUUCGGGGUAGCCCAAGAUCAGAAGUUCCGUCGCUGUAAGGCCUCUGUAUCCACGAGAUCCAAUCUAGAACCUGUUCUGGCACCCUGCCAGAGGGGGGAAUCAUCACCGGUGGCCAUCUUCAUCAUCCCGGCGGCCACCACGAUGAGGAGGGAGUCGUCCACCAUCGGGCCUGAGGGUUUGUACCAGUAGCUAUGUGUUAAAUCUCUCUCUCUCUCUCUCCCGUGUUCUUGAGAUGUCAUGAUCUUGAUGUAUUACUGGCUUUGUUAAUAUAGUCGGAUCAUAUGGUGUUUUCCCGUCUCUAGUUGUGAUGAAUUGAGUUUUUCCCUUUCAGAUUUCGUUGUUAUCGGAUUGAAUACUUUCAUGGAUUUGAGAACACUUGAUAUAUGUCUUGCAAUUGAAUACUCGUGGUGACAAUGGGGUAUCGUAUAGAUUCACUUGAUAUAUGUUUUGGCACUCAACUCAUGGAUUCUCGUGGUGACAUUGGGGUAAUCUAUGCAUAGGGGUUGAUGCCCGUUCUUGUCUUUGUUUCUCCGGUACAAAUCUUGGGGCACUCUUUGAAGUUCUUUGUGUUGGAUUGAGUAUUAUGAAUACGAAUUUGCUUUGGUGUUAUUUUAGUACGAACUCUAGGAUAGAUUGAACGGAAAGAAUAGCUUUGUGCUAUUUUAGUACGAACUCUUGAAUAGAUCAAACGGAAAGAAUAACUUUGAGGUGGUUUUGUACCCUACAAACAAUUUAUUCUUAUGUUCUCUGCUAGAUAGUAACUUUGGAGUGAUUCUUCAUCGCACUUUGAGGGAUGGUUAUAUAAUCCAAUUAUAUUAGCAUUGUUGAGAGAUUGGACUAGCAAAAGUAAGGACCCUAGGCAUCACUUUAUAUCAUUGCAAUACCGUUUGUGCUCCGUUUUAUCAUUUACUACCUUGCUGUUUUUUAUUGUUCGCACUACAAAAACUCAUAUCUACUAUCCAUACUACACUUUUAUCAUCAUCUCUUCGCCAAACUAGUGCACCUAUACAAUUUGCCAUUGUAUUGGGUGUGUUGGGGAGACAAGAGAUUUCUUGUAUUUGAUUGCAGGGUUGCUUGAGAGAGACUAUCUUCAUCCUACGCCUCCCACGGAUUGAUAAACCUUAGGUCAUCCACUUGAGGGAAAAUUGCUACUGUCCUACAAAACUCUGCGCUUGGAGGCCCAACACGAUUCUACAAGAAUAAAGUUGCGUAGUAGACAUCAGGCUCUUUUCUGAUGUCGUUGCUGGGGAGUUAUGUGCUUGAAGGUAUAUCUUUAGAUCUUGCAAUCGAAUAUUGUAGUUUCUUUUUUUAUCACUAGUUUGGUUUAUAAAAGAAAACUACAUAAAAAAUGGAAUUGAGGUUGCAUCAUAUUAUUGAUCAUCUUUAUAAUAUCUUGCUUGAAAAUGAUGGUUCGGGAAAUUGUGCUCAAUUGAUAGAAGAAGAAUUUAAUAAAAUGAUUGUCAUGAAUGAUGAGCAUGAUUGCAAUGUUGUUAGUAUGAAUUAUUUGAAUAUCCAUGAUGUUAAUGAUAUGCAAAGCUACAAGCUUGAGGAUGCUAUGUUUGAUGAAGAUGAUAUUUUUACUCCCCCAAGUUUUGAUGAGAUAAUUUAUUAUGAUGAUAGCAUGCCUCCUAUUUAUGAUGAUUAUAAUGAUAAAAGUGGAUUCGGAGAGGUCAUGACAUUAUUUAAUGAUUAAUCCACCAUUUUGGAUGAGGCUUCAAUAGACUAUGAGAACAAGGUCGCUAUCUAUGAUUAUUAUGGUGAUGACAUGUAUACUAUAUUGAAUAAUUAUACCCAUGAAACUUGUCAUCAUGAUUUUAAUUUUCAAUCUCACGAUAGUUAUUUUGUUGAGUUUGCUCCCACCACUAUUCAUGAGAAUAAAUUUGCUUAUGUGAUGGUUAUUGAUAUGUCUCCAAGGUAUCUAUAAUUUUUUAUUGUUCCAUGCUAUUAUAUUAUCUGUUUUGGAUGUUUAAUGGGCUUUAUUAUACACUUUUAUACUAUUUUUGGGACUAACCUAUUAACCGGAGGCCCAGUCCAAAUUGAAGUUUUUUUUGCCUAUUUCAGUGUUUCGCAGAAAAGGAAUAUCAAACGGAGUCCAAAUGGAAUGAAACCUUCAGGAGAGUCAUUUUUGGAACAAACGCAAUCCAGGAGACUUGGAGUGGACGUCAAGGAAGCAACGAGGCGGCCACGAGGCAGGGAGGCGCGCCCCCCACCCUCGUGGCUCCCCUUACCGACUUCUUUCGCCUAUAUAUAUAUACACUCAUAUACCCUAAAAACAUCAGAGAGCACCAUGCAACCCUAUUUCCACCGCCGCAACCUUCUGUACCCGUGAGAUCCCAUCUCGGGGCCUUUUCCGGCACUCUGCCGGACGGGGAAUCAAUCACGGAGGGCUUCUACAUCAACACUAUAGCCUCUCCGAUGAUGUGUGAGUAGUUUACCUCAGACCUUCAGGUCCAUAGUUAUUAACUAGAUGGCUUUUUCUCUCUCUUUGGAUCUCAAUACAAAGUUCUCCUCGAUCUUCAUGGAGAUCUAUUCGAUGUAAUUCUUUUUGCGGUGUGUUUGUCGAGAUCCAAUGAACUGUGGGUUUAUGAUCAACAUUAUCUAUGAACAAUAUUUGAAUCUCCUCUGAAUUCUUUUAUGUAUGAUUUGUUAUCUUUGCAAGUCUCUUCGAAUUAUCAGUAUUGUUUGGCCAACUAGAUUGAUCUUUCUUGCAAUGGGAGAAGUGCUUAGCUUUGGGUUCAAUCUUGCGGUGUCCUUUCCCAGUGACAGCAGGGGCAGCAAGGCACAUAUUGUAUUGUUGCCAUCGAGGAUAAAAAGAUGGGGUUUAUAUCAUAUUGCUUGAGUUUAUCCCUCUACAUCCUGUCAUCUUGCCUAAUGCGUUACUCUGUUCUUAUGAACUUAAUACUCUAGAUGCAUGUUGGAUAGCGGUCGAUGUGUGGAGUAAUAGUGGUAGAUGCAGAAUCAUUUCGACCUACUUGUCGCGGACGUGAUGCCUAUAUACAUGAUCAUGCCUAGAUAUUCUCAUAACUAUGCACUUUUCUAUCAAUUGCACGACAGUAAUUUGUUCACCCACUGUAAUACUUGUGCUAUCUUCAAAGAAGCCACUAGUGAAACCUAUGCCCCCGGGAUCUAUUUUCCAUCAUAUAAGUUUCCGAGCUAUUUUAUUUUCUAAUCUUUACUUUCCAAUCUAUAUCAUAAAAUUACCAAAAAUAUUUAUCUUAUUAUCUCUAUCAGAUCUCACUUUUGCAAGUGGUCGUGAAGGGAUUGACAACCCCUUUAUCGCGUUGGUUGCAAGGUUCUUAUUUGGUUGUGCAGGUACGAGGGAUUUGAGUGUAGCCUCGUACUGGAUUGAUACCUUGGUUCUAAAAAAUAUAGGGAAAUACAUACACUACUUUGCUGCAUCACCCUUUCCUCUUUAAGGAAAACUAACACAUGCUCAAGAGGUAGCAGUUAUAGUGUUGAAUUUCUUCAUGAUGCUACUGAAAAUUAUUAUGAGAGAGGAACAUCUGCUUUUACAUAUCUCAAUAAUAUCAAGUUUCCUCUCUAUGUGUUGAAAGUUUUGAAGUUAUGCAUGUUUGCCUUCCUAUGCUGGUUGAUUCUUGUUCCCAUGAAUUAUUUGCUCACAAAAUCCCUAUGCAUAGGAAGUAGGUUAGGCUUAAAUGUGCUUGCCAUGUGAUUCAUGAUGCUCUUUUUCAUGUUUCAAUUCUUAUCUUUUAUGCGAGCAUCAUUGAACUCAUCAUGCCUAGCUGAAAGGCAUUAAAGAAAAGCGCUUGUUGGGAGACAACCCAACACUUUUACCUACUGUUUUUGUGUGUUCACAUGAUUAGGAUACUAUAGUGAUCAUGUUUUAUUGCUUUCGUUUCAAUAAAGUGCCAAUUAAAGCCUUUGGGAUCAUGUUGGGUGAUAGUUGAUUUGAUUUUACUGAAAAACAGAAACUUUUGCGCUCGCGGAAAUAACUCUCAUUUUUAACAGAAGAGUGCUUUGAGUUGUUUAUUUUUGCAUAAGAUUAAUAGACACACGUGGUCAUAUUUUUUUCAUAAUUUUUGGAGUAGCAGAAGUAUGGUUUGAGUACAGAUUACUACAGACUGUUCUAUUUUUGACAGAUCCUGUUUUCAAUACAUAGUUUGCUUGUCUGAUUGUUUCUACGAAUUAUAUUGCUCAAUAUAAAUUGUGUAAAUGAUGUGCUACCAUAGGAAUAGUGUGGAAACAAUUAUGAAUCUUGUCUUUGACAGUACCAAAGUGAAAUGGUUUGCUCUUUAUCAUACUAACCUAUCUCACGAAGUUUCGUUAAGUUUUGUGUGAUUGAAGUUUUCAAGUUUUGGGUGAAAUGUCGAUAUGAGGAGAAUAAGGAGUGACAAUAACCUAAGCUUGGGGAUGCCCAAGUCACCCCCAAGGUAAUAUUCAAGGAAGAUCUAAGCAACUAAGCUUGGGGAUGCCCCGGAAGGCAUCCCCUCUUUCGUCUCUAACAUUAUCGGUAACCUCACUUGGAGCUAUGUUUUCAUUCGUCACAUGAUAUGUGUUUAGCUUGGAGCGUCAAUUUAUUUUGUUAGGAUUUGCUUUCUAUUAUUUAGAAGAAUGUUUUUCAUCCUUUAUUUCAAUUAAAAUGGCAAUGAUAGCAUUUUCCAUGCUUAUUUUGCAAGUAUACAUGUUGCUGUUUCAAAACAGAAAGUUUAUCGAUGUUGAAAAAAUUCCCUAGAAAAAUCAUAAUAUGAUAAAAUGUUGAAACUUUUUGAAAAAUAAGCUAUGAUAAAGUUUCUACAGUGUGGUAUUUUUUUUCAUAAUUUUUGGAGUCUAAGAAGUAUUGAUACUCUUGCAUUCUUUAAAGAUUGUACUGUUUUGGCAGAUUGCUGUUAUGUUUGCAUUGUUUGCAUAUGUUUGCUUGUUUAAUGAUUCUAUUUGACGAUAGGAGUAUUAAAUAUGUAGAGGCAUUUAGUAUUCAAUAUUGAAUAAUAAUUUUAGUGACUUGUUACAGUAUAUAAUGAUAAGGUUUUUGCAUUGGUUUAUACUAACUUAUCUCACGAGUUGUUGUUGAGUUUUGUGUGGAUGAAGCUUUUGAGAUUUAGGAAAACCAUGAUAUGAAAAUAAUUAAGGAGGAACAAAAGCUCAAGCUUGGGGAUGCCCAAGGAAUCCCAAGUUAAUAUUCCAAGAAGUCUCAAGCAUCUAAGCUUGGGGAUGCCCCGGUAGGUAUCCCACCUUUCUUCUUCAACAAUUAUCAGUUAGUAUUGGUUGAGCCAAUGUUCUUACUUCUUCACAUGAGUUGUACUAUUCUUGGGGUGUCAUUUUGUUUUGUUUUGGUUUCUGUUUUAAUAAAAUACUUAGAUCUGAAAGUUUUUAAAUAAAAUAGAGUCCUCAAUUAGUUGCCAGGGAGGCUAGGUAAGCGGCGUUCACAUUCCGUCAACGAAUCUCUUUUCUAUGGAAUUUCUCUAGUGCUUCACUUAUAUCUUUUUGAGCAUGGUGUGCUUUAGUAUUUUUGAAGAAAUUCUCUCUUACUUCACUUAAAUUAAUUUGAGAGAAAGAAAUAUUAUGCUCAUGAUCAUCAUUUAUAUCUUUUUGGAGUAGCUUGUCAUCUAAUCUUGUGCUUCACUUAUAUCUUAUGAGUAAAUUAUUGAAUGAGUUGAAUAUCAUGAUGUUGAAAUUACAUGUUCAUAUCAUGCCUAAUAGUGGAUUCACAUUGGGUUUAGAAAGUGAAAGCUUUUGAAGCUUGACAAUCACAAUAUUUUUCAUACAAGAAAUUCAAGAAUAAUUAGUAUAAGGAAGAGAACUUUCACAUGCAAAUACACUAUCUUGGAAAUGUUUUGUGAUUGUGAGCCCACAUAAAAAUAUUAUAUGCCAAAAUUGUUGAUGUUGGACAAGGAAGACAACGUAAUGAUUUAUGUUUGUUCAUAUUCACAUAGAAGUUAUAUUGUCAUAGAUCCUUCAACAUGUGGUGCUUUCCCCCCAUCUUUUCUAGCCAAAAAUUCCGCACCAAGUAGAGAUACUAGUUGUGCAUCAAAAAACUCUUAAACCCAAAUCUUGGUUUGAGAGUCCACCAUACCUACCUAUGGAUUGAGCAAGAUCCUUCAAGUAAGUUGUCAUCGGUGCAAUAAGGCAAUAAAAAUUGCUUCUAAAAGUGUUAGAUAAUUUAGUUUAAGAGAAAAUUGAGCGUUGUACGAACUUGUGAUGGCAAAGAAUAAAAACAACAGACUGCAUAAUAAAGGUUGCUAUCAUAAGGGGCAAUAUAACGUGACGUUAUUUUGCACUAAGGGGUUGAUCAUACAAGCAAAUAAGCGCAUGGCAACCUCUGCUUCCCUCUACGAAGGGCCUAUCUUUUACUUUUAUGUAUUUACUUUCAUGCAAGAGUCAAGGUUUUUCUCUCUAUUCCGUUUUAUUUUUCUCCUUUGGCAAGCAUCAUGUGGUGAGGAAAGAUCUAGGCACAUAUAUCCAGUUGGAUAUGGUUAGCAUGAGUUAUUAUUGUUGACAUCACCCUUGAGGUGAAUACGUUGGGAGGAGAAAUGAUAAGCCCCUAUCUUUCUAUGUGUCUGGUUGAAACGUUUUGCUCAUGUGUAUGCAGUGAGUGUUAGCAAUCAUAUAAGACUAUAUGAUGGUUGAGUAUGUGGAGCUCUUACUUAGACUCUGUUGAAUAAGUAGAAUUGCAAUUGCUUGGUGACUGAGAACAUAGGUUGUUGAGUUUCAAGAGAAUUCAUUGUUUGAACCGUAACAUGUGAAUUGGUUGCUACUAUAACAUGAGAAGUUUCAUAAGAAAGAAUUGCUAAUAUGAUGCUAGGAAAAGUGAUUGAAAUUAUCAUCGAUCAAACCUAUGCACUUUGCUAGCAUUCACUCUAUAAAUAUUUCUUUUAUCAUUUACCUACUCGAGGACGAGUAGGAGUUAGCUUGGGGAUGGUGAUACGUCUCCAACGUAUCUAUAUUGUAUGAAGUAUUCAUGCCAUUAUAUUAUCAUUCUAGGAUUUUUACAAUCAUUAUAUAGCAACUUUAUAUCAUUUUUUUGGGACUAACCUAUUGACCCAAUGCCCAGUGCCAGUUGCUAUUUCUGCUUGUUUUUUAGAUCGCAGGAAAUCAAUAUCAAACGGAGUCCAAAUACCACGACACUUCUUGUGGAUUUUUUAUGGACCAGAAGACAUCCAGUGGGCCAAGGAAGCACCUAGGGGGGUGCCUCGAUGGGAGCAACACCCACCAGGGCGCGCCUGGGGGCCCAGGCAUGCCCAGGUAGGUUGUGCCCACCUCGGGUGCCUCCUGAACCGCCUCUUUUCGCCCUAUAAAUUCCCAAAUAUUCCAAAACCCUUUGGGGUAGACCUAGAUCAGAGUUCCACCACCACAAGGCCUCUGUAUCCACGAGAUCCAAUCUAGACCCCAUUCCAACACCCUGCCGGAGGGGGGAAUCAUCACCGGUGGCCAUUGAGGGAGUCCUGGAUUAGGUGGUCCUCGGACAUCCGAACUAUAUACUUUGGUCGGACUGUUGGACUAUGAAGAUACAAGAUUGAAGACUUUGUCCCGUGUCCGGGUGGGACACUCCUUUGCGUGGAAGGAAAGCUUGGCAAUCCGGAUGUGUAGAUCUCCUUCUCUGUAACCGACUCUGUGUAACCCUAGCCCCCUCCAGUGUCUAUAUAAACUGGAGGGUUUAGUCCAUAGGACAAGAACAAUCAUAAUCAUAGGCUAGCUUAUAGGGUUUAGCCUCUACAAUCUCGUGGUAUAUCAACUCUUGUAAUACUCAUUUCAUCAAGAUCAAUCAAGCAGGAAGUAGGGUAUUACCUCCAUCGAGAGGGCCCGAAUCUGGGUAAACAUUGUGUCCCCCGCCUCCUGUUACCAUUAGCCUUAGACGCACAGUUCGGGACCCCCUACCCGAGAUCCGCCGGUUUUGACACCGACGUUGGUGCUUUCAUUGAGAGUUCCACUAUGUCGUCACGGUAAGGCUUGAUGGCUCCUUCAAUCAUCUGUAACGAAGCAAUCCAGGGUGAGGUUUUCCUCCCCGGACAGAUCUUCGUAUUCAGCGGCUUCAUACUGCGGGCCAACUCGCUUGGCCAUUUGGAGCAGAUCAAUAGCUAUGCCCCUGGCCAUCAGGUCAGGUUUGGAAGCUUGAACUACACUGCCGACAUCCGCGGAGACUUGAUCUUCGACAGAUUCGAGCCCAUAACAGGUGCGCCGUAUAGUGACGAUGAGCAUGACUUAGAUCUGCCAUCAGAUGGUGUUCAGGAGAACACACCUGCAGCUGCCCUGGCCUUAGAUCCGGAGCAGAUCAUGCCAUCCGAGGACGGAUGGAUAGACCCCGCCACAGAGGCCGCACACUCAUCGGCGCUAGAGCUGAUCACAGACAUCACCUCCAAAGAGAUCUGUGUCAUCGGACCCUCGUACUCGUCUCCGGUCAUAGGUUUCGAACCACGUGCAUCCAUGCCUAUCGAAUCUGAUUGGGCACCGAUCAUGGAGUUUACCUCCGCUGAUAUCGUUCAGCACUCACCCUUGGGCGAUGUGCUAAAUUCAUUGAAAUCUCUCUCCAUGUCAGGAGACUCUUGGCCGAACUAUGUCCGGCUUGAGUGGGAAGCGGACGACGAAGAAAUUCGUUCCCCACCCACCACCCACUUAAUAGCCAUUGUCGACGACUUAACCGGCAUGCUUGAUUUCGACUCCGAAGACAUCGACAGUAUGAAUGACGAUACCGGAGAGGAACAAGAACCACCGCCCACAGGGCGCUGGACAACCACCUCAUCAUAUGAUAUAUAUAUAUGGUGGACACCCCCAAAGAAAGCGAUGGCGAUGAUACAACAGAGGAUAAUCCCCUCGAGAAGCAAUCUAAGCACCGGCGUCAUCGGCGCCACUCUAAGCCUCGCCAUAGCAAAAAUAACAAUACCGGCACAAGAGACAAUAACGCUCCGGAUAAUGCCGAGGACGAAAACAACCCCACCCAGCCAGGCUUCGAGCAGGCCGGACGGGAGAAUGGGCAAGCUAGCCCCAAGUAACAGGCAAUGGAUGGAGAAUCAGAGGAUGAUAAUUACAUGCCCCUCUCCGAAGACGAGGUGAGCCUCGGCGAUGAAGAAUUCAUCGUGCCUAAGGAUCCCGUAGAGCAGGAGCGCUUCAAGCGCUGACUUAUAGCCACAGCAAAAAGCCUGAAGAUAAAGCAGCAGCAGCUUCAAGCUGAUCAAGAUCUGCUAACUGAUAGAUGGACUGAGGUCCUGGAAGCCAAGGAAUACGGACUCGAGCGCCCAACCAAAAGUUACCCAAAGCGCAGGUUGCUACCUCAACUCGAGGAGGGGCAUUAAAGCCCACACUACUAGUGCAUGAUGUGGCUGACCGGCCACUUCGUGGCCGAGACAAAGCGGAGUAUCAGCUCGAAGUCCAGCCCGCACCCCGUCACCAAACAAGCAAAAACAUGAAGGCCUGGGGCUCCACACAUGACCUGCGAGACAAAUUGGAAAACAAAGCAGGACAGUCAAGAUCGAUCUAUGGAUCACGGGGGCGCGCCCCAACACAUGACGAUGACCGUCACACCGGAUAUGCUAAAUACAAAUCCGGCCGGGCCGAAUACAACAGAUCAGACUCGUUUGAGCUGCGUCGUGAUGUAGCCCGGCAUAGAGGCACCGCACACCCCCUAUGCUUCACUGAUGAAGUAAUGGAUCAUGAAUUCUCAGAAGGGUUUAAGCCCGUGAACAUUGAAUCAUAUGAUGGGACUACAGACCCCGCGGUAUGGAUAGAAGAUUUCUUUCUCCACAUUCACAUGGCCCGCGGGGACGACCUACACGCCAUCAAAUACCUCCCAUUAAAACUCAAGGGACCGACUCGGCAUUGGCUGAAUAGCUUGCCGGCAAACUCCAUCAGAAGUUGGGAGAACCUGGAAGACGCAUUCCUGGAUAACUUCCAGGGCACGUAUGUGCGACCACCGGAUGCUGACGAUUUAAGUCACAUAACCCAACAACCCGGAGAGUCAGCCAGGAAAUUCUAGACUCGGUUCCUAACUAAAAAGAACCAAAUCGUCGACUGUCCGGAUGCUGAAGCCCUAGCGGCCUUUAAGCAUAAUAUCCAUGACGAGUGGCUUGCCCGACAUCUCGGCCAAGAAAAGCCGAAGUCCAUGGCAGCCCUCACGACACUCAUGACCCGCUUUUGUGAGGGCGAGUAUAGCUGGUUGGCUCCUAGCAACAACACAGCAAGCAAUCCUGGCACAUCAGAGGCCAGAGAUAGCAACGGCAAGCCCCGACGCAACAAACACAAGCGUCGCAAAAAUGGUGACAACACCGAAGACACGGCAGUCAAUGCCGGAUUCAGUGGCUCUAAGUCCGGUUAGCGAAAAAAGCCAUUCCAAAAGAACAAUUCGGGCCCGUCCAGUCUGGACCGCAUACUUGAUCGUCCAUGCCAAAUUUGUGGCACGCAGGAAUACCAACCAAUCAUACCAACAGAGAAUGUUGGGUCUUCAAACAAACCGGCAGGUCAGGUGCCGAAAACAAGGAGAAAGGGUCCCAAAGCGAUGACGACGAUGAGGAGCCCCGAUCACCAAACAAAGGAGGGCAAAAGAAAUUUCCCCCGCAAAUCAAAACGGUGAAUAUGAUAAACGCCAUCCACAUUCCCAAACUGGAAUGGACGUGCACUCUUAGGGAUGUCGACUUAACGGAGCCAGUCGCCCCACAAUAUAAACUAUGGCCAAUCACUUUUGAUCGUACGGAUCGUCCAGCCAAUAGCAAUCAGGGAAAUUCAGCCGCAUUCAUCGUUGACCCAAUAAUCCACCUCACACGAGUCCUUAUGGACGGAGGCAGCAGUCUAAACCUGCUGUAUUAGGACAAAGUGCGCAAGAUGGGUAUUGAUCAUUCGAUGAUUAAGCCCACUAAAAUCACCUUUAAAGGUGUUAUACCAGGUGUGGAGGCCCGUUGCACAGGCUCCAUCACUCUGGAGGUAGUCUUCGGAUCAUCGAACAAUUACCGUACCGAAGAGUUAGUCUUCGACAUCGUCCCUUUCCGCAGUAAUUAUCAUGCACUGCUUGGACGAACCGCAUUUGCUCGAUUCAACACGGUGCCACACUACGCCUAUCGUAAGCUCAAGAUGCCCGGUCCGCAUGGCGUCAUAACAGUUAAUGGCAAGGCCGAACUCCACCUCUGCACAGAAGAGUGUACAACCGUCUUAGAAGCAACGAAAGGCAUCUUUCAAUCGAACCUCGAGUCGAUGGCCAAUCUCCCGAACACCGUCAAGGGAGUCUGAUCUACUCUGCGGCAGGAUAGCCUGGCUCGUCCGGAGCUCAACUAAAACACUCUGUAGCACAUAAAUUUCCUUUUUGCACUAUCUUUGCAGGUCCACUUUUGCGUAGGCCAGGACUGGCGGCAUGGAAACAACUCGAAUGCAUAAGGGAAUCCUUAGAGAUGCCCCUUGAUGACCAUACGGUUACACUCUGGAUCCGCACACAGCCUCCUCCCGCUUGAUCUCAGCAGGUUCCGAAGUCAUAUCGCUUUUUAUCACAUUACCUGUACUCAUACGCAUCAACGUGUUAUUCAAUGACAACAUGUGGCUUUAUAUGAUGCUCAUCUGCUGUUGUUUCUUAUCGACACUCUUUGUCAAAUGGCAUCUCUACAUCGCGAUAUGCCUUAAUAUGCCAGGGGCUUCAUUGUACCCAUAACACGGCAAUAAAGUCCCGACCACCAUCACGGUCGUUCGGCACCCCGAACUUAUAGCAUUAUAUGCUUCAGCUCCAAAUCAUGUCUUGGGUCAAUAGUUGGGUUUGCCCGGCUCCUAUGUUUUGCUGCCUUACGUUCCGCUAUAUCGGCUAGGGCGGCACAGGGAGAACUACUGCGAUUGUGUCCCGGUUCUUCCGGACGAGCGCCUUAGUAGAGAAAGCUGAAAGCUGACUGUCAUGAUACGGCGAGAGCUGGUCAGCUGUUCGAGAGGUUGUAAAAUCUUUAAGGAUUUCUUCCGCAUAAUGCCAUAACCAAUGUAGCGUGCGAUGGAUCGGCUUUUCUUCCGAUCAGGCGCUUAUAGAGCCCCUCGUGCGGUCUUCCGAACACCAGGGGCUGCGCCUACCUUCCUUUUGUUAAACUCCUAUGGCUAAGUGAGAGCGAUAAAGCCCUAUAGUCCGAUUGCCUAGUUCGUUGUGCUGAACACCUCCUUCAAGGACCCAAAACUAGGAUAAAGAGUGCUCAGGUUUAUCUCGAACACCCCCGUACUUCCUACGUGGGGGCAGAAGCCGACGACUGGCCAACUCUCAGGAUUAAUAUAUAAAAUGGCCACGCAGGAGGGAAAACUUUCAAAUAACAGGCAAUAAACAAUAGAAAUGACCUUGUUCAACAUUACAAAGGACAACAUGACUGUAUUCAUGCAAAUAUAAUGUCCUUGGUGCAUUGCUCCGCCGCAAGGCGGGAUCCUUUUAGGAUAUUAUCAUAAUAUAAUUCGGGCUUGCGGUGCUCCUUCCCCUCGGGCGGUCCCUCGGUCAUCAUCUUUUUAGCAUCCAUCUUCCCCCAGUGCACCUUUGCGCGGGCGAAGGCCAUUCACACACCCUCAAUACAGACCGACUGCUUGAUGACAUCAAGUCGAGGGCAGGCACUCACAAGCCGCUUCACGAGCCCGAAGUAGCUGCUUGGAAUCGGCUCGGCGAGCCAUAGCCGGAUAAUUAAAUCCUUCAUGGCUAGUUCGGCCGCCUUAUGCAGUUCGAUCAACUGCUUCAGCUGAUCGGCAAGUGGCACCGGAUACACCGGCACCAGAUACUACGACCAGAAGAGCUUCUCCGCAGUGCUCCUUUCUUCAGCUCAAUAGAAUUGUGCGGCAUCAGAUAUGCUGUGUGGCAGCUCCGCAAAUACCCCUGGAGAAAUCAGAAUUCAAAUUAUCAACUUGAUUUUCUCCUUUUAAAUACCCGCUUUGUAUAGAAAAAGCCUUACCAGCCGCAAUCUUCCUCGCCUCCUGGAUUUCCUUCAGGGCACCUUGGGCUUCCCCCCGGGCAUCACUUGCGGCUUGGCGAGCUUGGGAGAGUUCGGAUUCUUUCCCUGAUAAACUCUGCUCCAAGGUCUCGCAUUUAUCCACGGCCUCUUGAAGUUGUCGCUCAACUUCAAUAACCCUGGCCUCGUGCUUUUCACGACGAGCCUACUCUGUGGUUGCCCUCUUCUCGGCUUCGGCCACAACCUUCUUAAGAGCCUCAAUUUCGGCCGUCGCCCCUAGAGCACAUCAUAAAAAUAUUUUCAUCAUGCAAACUUAUUUAUUUGUGUUGAAUAGGAACAAGGUUUCUGCAUACCUUGGUUAUCCUCCAACUUCUUCUUCUCUCGGCCGAGUUCCCCUUCGGCCCGCUCAGACUCUGCCUCAGUCCGGAGACUUCCGCAGUUUGAGAGGAGGCCAUUGCUACAGACGCCUGCUUUUAAAUAAAAGAGAGAUGACAUAAAGUGAGUCUCCUGCGAACACUUAUUUGAUCCUCUGUUUGGUUCCUUUUUUCACCAAAUAGUGCAUCAGGGGCUACUAUCGAUACUAUGACACUCUUCAAAAUCUCACAAAACAUACCUCUAGGCCCGUUAUAAGGCUAAUGCAGGCUUCAUUCAGUCCACUCUCAGCGGACUGAAUCUUCUCAAUCACCGCACCCAUAAGGGCACGGUGUUCAUCGACGAGGGAGGUGCUUUUAAGCAUCGCCUAUAAAGUAUCCGACACCUCUGGUUGGACAGAGGUUGCCGGUGGAAUAGGCACAACCCCUCCAGCUGAGGGAGGUCGCCUGCCUGCUUCUGGAGCCGUAUUGGUCUCCAGAAAUGUGUCCGGCUGGGGGCCAAAUUUGAGAUAGCCCCCGCCGUCGACGUCCGUGGGAGUCUUCUCUCCCAUGUAUUCGGCCCCCGAAGUUUGACCUCCUGGCACCGCCUUUACGAUCUCCCCCCCCCCUCCUUGGCCUGGGUCCUUCUGGGAUGAAACCUCGGUGUCAUUCACAUGUUUGGGGAAGGGGGCCUUCGGGGGUGUCGCGCUCUCCAUAGCAUCCGAGCCUAGUAAAUCCUUUGACGAGGAUUGUUCGGUGCGGGACCUCGCCGGACUGCAAAAAAGUAUGGCUCAGAUUCAAAUAUUAUGCCAUGAUGAGUCUGGACGCAUAAACAUAUUCGAAUUUUAUAUACUCACGAGUUCACCAGGGACUGGGCCCUGGGAUCCCACUCCGGGCUGCUGUCGGCAGCAGCGGCGGACUCCUCUGGAAGGGGAGUUUUUCCCUUCUUAGGCGACUCGGCCUCCAAAGAUGUGGAGGCCGUCCUUUUCUUUCCUCCCCUCGCCGGGGAUGGGUCUUUCUCCUCCUCCUCGUCCUCUCUGGAGGAAGAUCGGGCAUCAGAGUCUUCGGACAUGGUGUCCGAAGUGCCACGGCGACGAAGGCCGCCCCUAGUCUUUUUGCCCCCCUUCUCGGCCUUCUUCUUCGGCGCCUUGUAAGGUGAUACGUCUCCAACGUAUCUAUAAUUUUUGAUUGCUCCAUGCUACUUUAUCUACUGUUUUAGGCAAUAUUGGGCUUUAUUAUCCACUUUUAUAUUAUUUUUGGGACUAACCUAUUAACCGGAGGCCCAGCCCAGAUUUGUUGUUUUAUGCCUAUUUCAGUGUUUCGAGGAAAAGGAAUAUCAGACGGAGUCAAAACGGAACGAAAUCAACUAGAGAAGUUAAUUUUGGAAGGAAACCCACCUGAUGGACUUGGACUCCACGUCAGAAGAUACGGGAGGUGCUCACGAGGGUGGGGGGCGCGCCCACCCCCCUAGGGCGCGCCCCCCUACCUCAUGGGGCCCCCGAAGCUCCACCGACAUACCCCUUGCACCCAUAUAUACCUACGUACCCUAAAACUUCCAGAACAGAAGAUAGAUAGGGAGUUCCGCCGCCGCAAGCCUCCAGAGCCACCAAAAGCCUCUUGGGAGCCCGUUCUGGCACCCUGCCGGAGGGGGGAUCCUUCACCGGUGGCCAUCUUCAUCAUCCCGGCGCUAUCCAUGAUGAGGAGGGAGUAGUUCACCCUCGAGGCUGAGGGUAUGUACUAGUAGCUAUGUGUUUGAUCUCUCUCUCGUGUUCUCUCUCGUGUUCCCUCUAUGGCACGAUCUUGAUGUAUCCCGAGCUUUGCUAUUGUGGUUGGAUCUUAUGAUGUUUCUCCCCCUCUACUCUCUUGUGAUGAAUUGAGUUUCCCCCUUUGAAGUUAUCUUAUCGGAUUGAGUCUUUUAUGAGAACACUUGAUGUAUGUCUUGGUGAUCAACUUGCGGGUUUCGUGACAUUGGGAACCUAUGCAUAGGGGUAGGCACACGUUCUUUACUCUCCGGUAGUACCUAUGGGGCACUCUUUGAAGUACUUUUAUGUUGGUUGGAUGAAUCUGAGAUUGUGUGAGGCAUAUCGUAUAAUCAUGCCCACGGAUACUUGAGGUGACAAUGGAGUAUCUAGGUGACAUUAGGGUUUUGGUUGAUUUGUGUCUUAAGGUGUUAUUCUAGUACGAACUCUUUUAUAGAUAGAUCCGAAAGAAUAACUUUGAGGUGGUUUCGUACCCUACCAUAAUCUCUAUGUUUGUUCUCCGCUAUUAGUGGCUUUGGAGUGACUCUUUGUUGCAUGUUGAGGGCUUGUUAUAUGAUCUAUCUAUGUUAUUAUUGUUGAGAGAACUUGCACUAGUGAAAGUAUGAACCCUAGGCCUUGUUUCCUAUCAUUGCAAUACCGUUUACGCUCACUUUUAUCGCUCGCUACCUUGCUGUUUUUAUUAUUUCAGAUUACAAAUACCUUUAUCUACCAUCUAUUUUGCACUUGUAUCUUCACCUCUUCGCCGAACUAGUGCACCUAUACAAUUUACCAUUGUAUUGGGUGUGUUGGGGACACAAGAGACUCUUUGUUAUUUGGUUGCAGGGUUGUUUGAGAGAGACCGUCUUCAUCCUACGCCUCCAAAUGUACGCCACAAAAUAGACAAAAUAGAUAUUGCAAGAGCCAUAUGUAUUUAAAAACUAAAGGUUUGCAAGAAAGUCUUGAUGAGUGUGCUAAAAGAUUCAAUAUUUUUCGCGCUCCUUGUGAACUUUGCAAUGAAUGUGGUCGUUUAAAUCUCCAAUGCAAAUUGUUUUAUGAUCAAAUCGUGUCCAAAAAUUGUGAUAGCUUGAUUACCCUUGGGCAUCAUAAAGAGCUUAGUCUUCUUUUGGGGUAUGAAGAAAUGAAAUGUAUAACCGAGGGUAUUCCAAAAUUUAAUCUUGAUAGAUUUCUUGAUUUUGAUCUAGAGGAUAUUUAUUUGUAUUGUGCGGAGAAUUGCAUUGAAAAUCCUUAUAUUGCCAAUUACCUAAAGAUGACGAGAAUGCUAAUGAAAGGGAAGAGACUUCCCAAUAUCCUCCUAUUAUUUCUUAUGAUGAAUCAGGUGACGAGGAGGAGCAUCCUAUUCAACCAAUCUCAUCAAUAAGGAGAUCGAAGAGGAAGGUUGAACCUACACAUAAUGUGAAGAAGAAAAAGAAAAGAAGGAGCAACAAAGGUAGAAAGGUAUCCCUCCGAAAUGAUGUUGCUCCUACUACUCAUUGUUAGGGUGAUAAUUGCUUUACUAUUGGUGCUAUCCAUAUUUUUAAUGAUGAGAGUGAUUAUGCUUAUGAUAUGAAAGAGCCCAAGCUUGGGGAAGCUAUGUUUGAUGAUGAUGAAAUAUUUGAGAAUAUAUUUGCUGAAAUUAAUGUUUGUCCCAAGCUUGGGGAUGCUACGUUUAGUGAGGAUGGUAUUUUUAGUCUCCCAAGUUUUGAUAUACAAAGUAGUUAUGAUGAUAGCAUGCCUCCUACUUAUGAUGAUUAUAUUGAUGAAAGUGGGUUCGGAAGAGUGUCAACUUUAGGAAAUAGUGAUUCCACUAUUUUGGAGGAUGUUGAAUUAUAUUGUGAUGAAUAUGAAAGUGGAUUUGGAAGGGUGUCAACUUUAUUUAGUGAUGAUUCCACUAUCUUGGGAGAGGUUUCAAUCGAUUAUGAUGAGAACGAAGUUGCUACUCAUGAUGAUUAUUGUGAUGAAACUUAUGCUAUAAAAAGUAGUGAUGAUUAUAUUUACAAAUCUUGUCAUGAUUAUGAUUACCCUUUUUCUGAACAUUACUAUUUUAAUGUGGAAACAAUUUUUAGUGUUCAAGUCUCUUAUGAUACUCCCACUAUUCCGAAUGAAAAGAAUUUUGCUUAUGUGGAGAGUAAGAAAUUUUCUAUGCUUGUAGAUCAUGAAAAGAAUAAUUUAGGUGCUGGUUAUAUUGUUGAAUUCAUUCAUGAUGCUACUAAAAAUUAUUAUGAGGGAGGAACUUAUGCUUGUAGGAAUUACAAUAAUGUCAAGCUUCCUCUCUAUGUGUUGAAAUUCUUGAAGUUAUGCUUGUUUUACCCUUCUAUGCUAGUUGAUUAUUGUUCCCGUAAGUUGUUUGCUCAAAAAAUCCCUAUGCAUAGGAAGUGGGUUAGGCUUAAAUGUGCUAGUAAUAUGCUUCAUGAUGCUCCCGUUAUGUCUCAAUUCUUAUCUUUUAUGUGAGCAUCAUUAUCAUCAUCAUGCCUAGCUAGAAAGGCAUUAAAGAAAAGCGCUUGUUGGGAGACAACCCAAUAUUUAUCCUUACUGUUUUUGUGUGUCCACAUGAUUAUGCUACUGUAGUAAUCAUGUUUUAUAGCUUUUGUUUCGAUAAAGUGCCAAGUAGAACCUUUGGGAAGACUUGGGUGAAGUUUAUGUGAUCUUGCUGUGAAAAACAGAAACUUUAGCGCUCACGAGAUUAUCUGCCAUUUUUUACUGGAGAGUGAUUUUAGGUUGAUUAUUUUUGCAUAUGAUUAAUAUACAAAUUACUCAGGUCCAGAAAUUUAUUUCAUAAUUUUUGGGGUUCCAUAAGUAUACGUUUGAUACAGAUUACUACAGACUGUUCUGUUUUUGACAGAUUCUGUUUUCUAUCUGUUGUUUGCUUAUUUUGAUGAAUCUAUGGCUAGUAUGUAAGGGUAUGAACCAUAGAUAAGUUGGAAUACAGUAGGUAUUACACCAAUAUGAAUUUAUAAUGAGUUCAUUACAGUACCUAAGUGGUGGUUUUACUUUCUUUUACUAACGGAGCUUACGAGUUUUGUUUUGAGUUUUGUGUGGUUGAAGUUUUCAAGUUUUGGGUAAAGAUUCGAUGGACUAUGGAAUAAGGAGUGGCAAGAGCCUAAGCUUGGGUAUUCCCAAGGCACCCCAAGGUAAUAUUCAAGGACAACCAAGAGCCUAAGCUUGGGGAUGCCCCGGAAGGCAUCCCCUCUUUCGUCUUCGUUCAUCGGUAACUUUACUUGGAGCUAAAUUUUUAUUCACCACAUGAUAUGUGUUUUGCUUGGAGCGUCAUUUUCUUUUGUUAGUAUUUGGUUGAUGCUAGUUAUAAUAAUGUUUUGCAUCUUUAGUUUCAAUAAAAAAAGUCAAGGAUAGCCUUUGCCAUGCUUAUUUUGCUUGUAUACAUGUUGCUGUUUGAAAACAAAAAGUUUACCGCUGUUGCAAAAAUUCCCUAGAAAAGCCAGAGAAUGGUAUAACGUUGAAUCUUUUUGCAUAUUAAGAUCUGAUUAAUUUAUUUAAUUGGGAAUUUUAGUUCAUAAUUUUUGGAGUCAGGGAAGUAUUGAUACUCUUGCAUUCUUUACAGACUGUACUGUUUUGGCAGAUUGCUAUUAUGUUUGCAUUGUUUGCAUAUGUUUGCUUGUUUAAUGAUUCUAUUUGAUGAUAGGAGUAUUAAACAUGAAGAGACAUUUAUUAUUCAAUGUUGAAUAAUAAUUUAAGUGAUUUGUUACAGUAGAAGAUGAUAUGGUUUUGCAUUGGUUUAUACUAACCUAUCUCACGAGUUCUUUUUGAGUUUGUUGUGAAUGAAGCUUUUGAUAAAAAGAGAAACCAUGAUAUGAGAGGAAUUAAGGAGACACAAAAGCUCAAGCUUGGGGAUGCCCAAGUUACCCCAAGAUAAUAUUUCAAUAAGUAUCAAGCAUCUAAGCUUGGGGAUGCCCCGGUAGGCAUCCCACCUUUCUUCUUCAACAACUAUCGGUUAGUAUCGGUUGAGCCUAAGUUUUUGCUUCUUCACAUGAGUUGUGCUAUCCUUGCAAUGUAGUUUUCUUUAGCUUUUCUUGCUGUUUGAAUAAAGUAUCAAGAUCUGAAAUUAUUAAAUGGGAGAGUCUUCACAUAGUUGCAUAAUUAUUCGACUACUCAUUGAUCUUCACUUAUAUCUUUCGGAGUAGUUUGUCAUUUGCUCUAGUACUUCACUUAUAUCUUUUAGAGCACAGUGGUGGUUUUGUUUUUAAGAAAUAGAUGAACUCUCAUGCUUCGCUUAUAUUAUUUUGAGAGUCUUAAAUAGCAUUCUAAUUUGCUUAAAAUCCUAAUAUGCUAAGCAUAAAAGAUUUGUAAGAAUUUUUAUGAGUGUGUUGAAUACUAAGAAAAGUUUGAUACUUGAUAAUUGUUUUGAGAUAUUGGGGUAGUGAUAUUAAAGUCAUGCUAGUUGGGUGAUUAUGAAUUUAAAGAAUGCUUGUGUUGAAGUUAGAAAGUCCCGUAGCAUGCACGUAUGGUUAAAGUUGUGUGACAAAUUUGAAACAUGAAGUGUACCUGGCUUGUGCAUCCUUAUGAGUGGCGGUCGGGGACGAGCGAUGGUCUUUUCCUACCAAUAUAUCCCCCUAGGAGCAUGCGUGUAGUACUUGGUUUUUGAUGACUUCUAAAUUUUUUCAAUAAGUAUAUGAGUUAUUUUGACUAAUGUUGAGUCCAUGGAUUAUAUGCACUUUUACCUUUCCGUCUUUGCUAGCCUCUUCGGUACCGUGCAUUGCCCUUUCUCACCUUGAGAGUCGGUGCAAACUUCGCCGGUGCAUCCAAACCCCGUGAUACGAUACGCUCUAUAACACAUAAACCUCCUUAUAUCUUCCUCAAAACAGCCACCAUACCUACCUAUCAUGGCAUUUCCAUAGCCAUUCCGAGAUAUAUUGCCAUGCAACUUCCAUCAUCAUAUUCAUGACAUACAUUACUUUUGUCAUAUUGCCAUUGCAUGAUCAUGUAGUUGACAUCGUAUUUGUGGCAAAGCCACCAUGCAUUAUUUUUCAUACAUGUCACUCUUGUUUCAUUGCACCAUCCCGGUACACCACCGGAGGCAUUCAUAUAGAGUCAUAUCUAGUUCUAAGUUUCGAGUUGCAAUCCUUAUGUUGUAAUCAAUAGAAGUGUGAUGACCAUCAUUAUUAGAGCAUUGCCCAAAAAAAGAGAAAGGCCAAAAAAAAGAAGGCCCAAAAAAAAGAGAAAAUAAAUAAAAAAGGCAAUGCUACUAUCUCUUUUUCCACCCUUGUGCUUCAAAGUAGCACCUUGUUCUUCAUGUAGUGAGUCUCGUAAGUUAUCUUUUUUUUAUACUGGUGGGAAUUUUUCAUUAUAGAACUUGGCUUGUAUAUUCCUACGAUGGGCUUCCUCAAAUGCCCUAGGUCUUCAUGAUCAAGAAAGUUGGAUGCACACCCACUAGUUUUCUUUUGUUGAGCAUUCAUAGCUCUAGUGCAUCCGUUGCAUGGCAAUCCCUACUCCUCAUGUUGACAUCAAUCGAUGGGCAUCUCCAUAGCCUGUUGAUUAUCCUCGUCAAUGUGAGACUUUCUCCUUUUUGUCUUCUCCACUCAAUCCCCAUCAUCAUAUUCUAUUCCACCCAUAGUGCUAUAUCCAUGGCUCACGCUCAUGUAUUGCGUGAAGGUUGAGAAAGUUUGAGAUUAUUUAAGUAUGAAACAAUUGCUUGGCUUGUCAUCGGGGGCAUAGAAGUUGGGAACAUCUUUGUGUGAUGAAAAUGAAGCAUAGCCUAACUAUAUGAUUUUGUAGGGAUGAACUUUCUUUUGCCAUGUUAUUUUGAGAAGACGUGAUUACUUUGAUUAGUAUGCUUGAAGUGUUACUAUUUCCUUUAUCAAUAUGAAUCAUUCGGAUCUGAAUAUUCAUAUCACAAGUAAGAAGAAUUACAUUGAAAUUAUGCCAAGUAGCACUCCGCAUCAAAAAUUCUUUUUUAUCAUUUACCUACUCAAGGACGAGCAGGAAUUAAGCUUGGGGAUGCUUGAUACGUCUCCAACGUAUCUAUAAUUUUUGAUUGCUCCAUGCUACUUUAUCUACUAUUUUAGGCAAAAUUGGUCUUUAUUAUCCACUUUUAUAUUAUUUUUGGGACUAACCUAUUAACCGGAGGCCCAGCCCAGAUUUGUUGUUUUAUGCCUAUUUCAGUGUUUCGAGGAAAAGGAAUAUCAGACGGAGUCAAAACGGAACGAAAUCAACUAGAGAAGUUAAUUUUGGAAGGAAACCCACCUGAUGGACUUGGACUCCACGUCAGAAGAUACGGGAGGUGCUCACGAGGGUGGGGGGGCGCCCCCGAAGCUCCACCGACGUACCCCUUGCACCCAUAUAUACCUACGUACCCUAAAACUUCUAGAACAGAAGAUAGAUCGGGAGUUCCGCCGCCGCAAGCCUCCAGAGCCACCAAAAACCUCUUGGGAGCCCGUUCCGGUACCCUGCCGGAGGGGGGAUCCUUCACCGGUGGCCAUCUUCAUCAUCCCGGCGCUAUCCAUGACGAGAAGGGAGUAGAUCACCCUCGAGGCUGAGGGUAUGUACUAGUAGCUAUGUGUUUGAUCUCUAUCUCUCUCGUGUUCUCCCUCGUGUUCCCUCUAUGGCACGAUCUUGAUGUAUCCCGAGCUUUGCUAUUGUAGUUGGAUCUUAUGAUGUUUCUCCCCCUCUACUCUCUUGUGAUGAAUUGAGUUUCCCCUUUGAAAUUAUCUUAUCGGAUUGAGUCUUUUAUGAGAACACUUAAUGUAUGUCUUGGUGAUCAACUUGCGGGUUUCGUGACAUUGGGAACCUAUGCAUAGGGGUUGGCACACGUUCUUGACUCUCCAGUAGUAGCUUUGGGGCACUCUUUGAAGUACUUUUAUGUUGGUUGGAUGAAUCUGAGAUUGUGUGACGCAUAUCAUAUAAUCAUGCCCACGGAUACUUGAGGUGACAAUGGAGUAUCUAGGUGACAUUAGGGUUUUGGUUGAUUUGUGUCUUAAGGUGUUAUUCUAUUACGAACUCUUUUAUAGAUCGAUCCGAAAGAAUAACUUUGAGGUGGUUUCGUACCCUACCAUAAUCUCUACGUUUGUUCUCCGCUAUUAGUGGCUUUGGAGUGACUCUUUGUUGCAUGUUGAGGUCUUGUUAUAUGAUCUAUCUAUGUUAUUAUUGUUGAGAGAACUUGCACUAGUGAAAGUAUGAACCCUAGGCCUUGUUUCCUAUCGUUGCAAUACCAUUUAUGCUCACUUUUAUCGCUCGCUCCCUUGCUGUUUUUAUUAUUUCAGAUUACAAAUACCUUUAUCUACCAUCUAUUUUUCACUUGUAUCUUCAUCUCUUCGCCGAACUAGUGCACCUAUACAAUUUACCAUUGUAUUGGGUGUGUUGGGGACACAAGAGACUCUUUGUUAUUUGGUUGCAGGGUUGUUUGAGAGAGACCAUCUUCAUCCUACGCCUCCUACGGAUUGAUAAACCUUAGGUCAUCACUUGAGGGAAAUUUGCUACUGUCCUACAAACCUGUGCACUUGCAGGCCCAACAACGUCUACAAGAAGAAGGUUGUGUAGUAGACAUCAUAAGGCGCUGGGACCAGCAUCUUCGUCAGAAGUGGGUCGGACGUAUCUUCUGGCAGAGGGGCCGGAUAGUAGAUCCGCCCCACCUUCUUUGUCCAUCCCUAGGAGAGUUGUGGAAAACACAUUAAGCAUUUUCGUCAGGAUAUGCGAAUAAAACAUAUGAAUUGCCAACAUACAAUGACUUACCAAACUUGCAGGGCGGGACAGUUGGUACCCACAGUCCUCGGCGGAGUCCGGCCACGAUUUGCUGGACUUAAAGAGCACCUUCCAAAUGUCCUUAUGCAAGGAGCCAAAGAGCUCGAGCAGGGUCUGGUGCUUGGCCGGGUCGAAUUCCCAUAAAUUGCAAGCCUUGUGUUGACAAGCAAGAAUCCGGCGAACUAACAUCACCUGGACUACAUUGACAAGUUUGAUAUUCUUGUCUUCCAUAUCCUUGACGCGCGUCCGGAGCACCGACAGUUUGUCGGACAAGACCAGUUCAGGCCCUUUUUGGGCCAGGACGUAAGCCGCAGGGGGCUCCGGAUCUGAAUUCAGGAGUAGCGGCCCAUUCCGUGCUGCGCGGCUCAGUGAUGUAAAACCACAGCUGCUGCCACUCUUUGACGGAAUCAUUGAAAGUACCUGCUGGCCAUGUGACAUUGGGCAUCUUGCUCACCAUGGCACCUCCGCACUCGGCAUGCUCGCCGCUCACUACCUUGGGCUUCACAUUAAAGAUCUUCAAUCAUAAGCCGAAGUGUGGCGAGAGGCGGAGAAAGGCCUCACACACGACGAUGAAUGUCGAGAUGUUGAGGAAGGAAUUGGGGGAUAGAUCAUGAAAAUCGAUCCCGUAAUAAUACAUGAUGCCGCGAACGAAUGGCCCACGGACAAAAUGAGGGAGGAAUAGAACCCUCUCGUGUGGUUCUAGAGUGGGGACAAUUUGUCCCGCUGUCGGAAGACGGUGGCUAAUUUUCUUGGCCAAAUACCCGGCCUCCCAAAGCUUUUUGAUAUCCUUCUCCCGGACGGUAGAGGCCAUCCACUUGCCUCCUGUUCCGGAUCCGGACAUUUUCGGAAGGCCUUUGUGGGCGGAGAAGACGAACUCUUGGGUGCUGGAGCUCGAGCAAGGGGGAAUGGAUGAGAAGAGGAAGAAGAAGGCGUGGGCGAAAGAGGGGAGUCCUUAUCUCCUUAUAAAGGCAGCAGGGGAUCCUGCGCCUCCCCACUUGCCCGGUAAACUCGCUUAUUCCCCAAGCGUCGCGUUGAUGGCGCGGUUGGGUUACCCACACCCGUAUUGAUGAGAAUCCCGUGAUAAGGAGACACGAUCUCUGCUUCGACAAGACGUGCCAAGGAAAACGCCUCACGAUAUGUGCGGUAGCAGGUUGGAAAAAAGGUUUGCAUAAUGACCGGACCACAUCGUAAUGUCACGCUGUGAAAAGUUGUCAGCAGAUUAGAUUUGUGGAAUAUUCUACUCUCUACAGUGGUAUGUGGAACUUGUUUUGCGGAGCUGGACACGAUCCUUGUGUUUAAAAUCUUCUAUGGAAUAUUCGGAGAAGGAACCCGCCUUGCAAUGCCGAAGACAAUCUGUGCGCCGGACUCAUCGUCAUUGAAGUCUGGUUCAGGGGCUACUGAGGGAGUCCUGGAAUAGGGGGUCCUCGGACAGCCGGACUAUAUACUUUGGCCGGACUAUUGGACUAUGAAGAUACAAGAUUGAAGACUUUGUCCCAUGUCCGGGUGGGACUCUCCUUUGCAUGGAAGGCAAGCUUGACAAUCCGGAUAUGUAGAUCUCCUUCUCUGUAACCGACUCUGUGUAACCCUAGCCCCCUCCGAUGUCUAUAUAAACUGGAGGGUUUAUUCCGUAGGACAAGAACAAUCAUAAUCAUAGGCUAGCUUCUAGGGUUCAGCCUCUACGAUUUUGCGGUAGAUCAACUCUUGUAAUACUCAUAUCAUCAAGAUCAAUCAAGCAGGAAGUAGGGUAUUACCUCCAUCGAGAGAUCCCGAACCUGGGUAAACAUUGUGUCCGCCGCCUCCUGUUACCAUUAGCCUUAGACGGACAGUUCGGGACCCCCUACCCAAGAUCCACCGGUUUGGACACCGACAGCCAUCUUCAUCAUCCCGGCGGCCACCAUGAUGAGGAGGGAGUAGUCCACCCUCGGGGUUGAGGGUUUGUACCAAUAGCUAUGUGUUUAAUCUCUCUCUCUCUCUCUCUCUCUCUCUCUACCGUGUUCUUGAGAUGUCACGAUCUUGAUGUAUCGCGGGCUUUGUUAAUAUAGUCGGAUCAUACUGUGUUUUCCCAUCUCUAUCUUGUUGUGAUGAAUUGAGUUUUUCCCUUUGAGAUUUCGUUGUUAUUGGAUUGAGUACUUUUAUGCAUUUGAGAACACUUGAUAUAUGUCUUGCAAUUGAAUACUCGUGGUGACAAUGGGGUAUCGUAUUGAUUUACUUGAUAUAUGUUUUGGCACUCAACUUGCGGAAUCCCGAGGUGACAUUGGGGUAAUUGAUGCAUAGGGGUUGAUGCAAGUUCUUGUCUUUGUUUCUCUGGUAGAAAUCUUGGGGCACUCUUUGAAGUUCUUUGGGUUGGAUUGAGUAUUAUGAAUAUGAAUUUGCUUUGGUGUUAUUUUACUACGAACUCUAGGAUAGAUUGGACGGAAAGAAUAGAUUUGUGUUAUUUUAGUACGAACUAUUGAAUAGAUCGAACGGAAAGAGUAGCUUUGAGGUGGUUUCGUACCCUACAAAUAAUUUAUUCUUAUGUUCUCUGCUAGAUAGGAACUUUGGAGUGAUUCUUCAUCGCACUUUGAGGGAUGGUUAUAUGAUCCAAUUAUAUUAGCAUUGUUGAGAGAUUGCACUAGCGAAGUAGGGACCCUAGGCCUCAUUUUACAUCAUUGCAAUACCAUUUGUGCUCUGUUUUAUCGUUUACUACCUUGCUGUUUUUAUUGUUCGCACUACAAAAACUCAUAUCUACUAUCCAUACUACACUUUUAUCAUCAUCUCUUCGCCGAACUAGUUCACCUAUACAAUUUGCCAUUGUAUUGGGUGUGUUGGGGGACACAAGAGAUUUCUUGUAUUUGAUUGCAUGGUUGCUUGAGAGAGACUAUCUUCAUCCUAUGCUCCCACGGAUUGAUAAACCUUAGGUCAUCCACUUGAGGGAAAAUUGCUACUGUCCUACAGACCUCUGCGCUUGGAGGCCCAACACGAGUCUACAAGAAUAAAGUUGCAUAGUAGACAUCACAUAUUGAAAGGACUCCCGAUGGACACUCUAUUGUCGUAUGGACGUGUGCACGGCGUCGGAGACGGCACCACGUGGAAGAAGUACUACCGUGAGACCACAGAGGAAAGAAAGGAAAGACGAAGGUUAAAUGAAGAAAACAUCCGCAAGAAGGUUGCUGUCGCAAAACAGGAGGUUGCAGCUUCGUAUAGUGUCUUGGUUCCGGCUAUCGACAGUUGGACCAAGAAAAAUACAAAUAAGGAUGCAGCGGACUUUCCCCUUUCCAACUUCUUGGGGAGGAGCUCCACUAGCGUUGCACCAGCACCUGCUACCGCACCUGCUUCUACAGUGGCUCCCGCACAUGCUCAUAACAGCCUGUCCUCCUUCUCGGAAGUGCUCGACGGUGCUUCGUCUUUAGCUGAGCUCGACGUCCUCACGGUACCUGUCACAACGACCCUCUUCAAUAUAUGUAUAAUCUCCCGUUUCCAUCGCCUUUUAGAUGCCUCACGUUGCAUACAUGUCUUUGCAGGCCGAUGUAACCCCGUGUACCAUACUUUACACCAUUAGCGGCCCGAAGCUGGACGUGGGGAAGGCGGCGAUAAUGCAGCCGAAGGAAGAAUUGUUCCACAACCGACCGAUCCCCCUGACGUCUUCAAGGUUUCCGUGGCCAGUGUUGAACCGGGCCACGAGAAUUUGGCUCCUCCGGUAGCACUAGGGGGAGAUGACGAUGAGACCCCGCGGCGGCUUGGCGAUUGCAAUCGUUGGGUCCUGUUGUGGCCGAAGAGUCUGCUUCGUGUAGAGGCGGCCGGGAGCACACCCACGACCAAGCAACCUCAGCAAGGUGUGAACACCAACACCCCACCUACCAAAUUAGCGUCUCCUAUUGUGCCGGGUGAGGAAGAGGCUCCAGUAAUGGCUGAUGAUGUCACCACCGUAGAAGAAGCAAUGCAUGAUGCCAUCGACGAGGAUGACGAUGACCCUCUAUAGUAUCUCCAUACCGGCACCUCUAACGAUGGAGGAUUGAUGGCUUAGCAGUAUGAGUAAUCAGGGUUUGAGAGUGAUGAGUUGGUGCCUGAAUUGCUGGAGGAUGAACGCAUUAUAGGCUCACUUCUAGUAGGAAAGAAGCAUAGGAAGAGAACGAUGAAAGCCAACAAAGCUCCUUCUAUGAUCUAGCAGGCUCGGGAUAAAGACUGUAUCCCUAUCCCCGAUGCGGCAAAAUGUCAUAUCCCCGGUGAUCCGAUUCUACCUAAGGCAGCGGUAGAGGGCAUAUACGACGAUCUAAGGAGACUUCAUGACGAUGUGCUGUAGAGAGAGAAAAGCCUUGUACAUGGUUAUCGUGCGGCAGCAAAGGUUGUACGUCAACACAUUCCCCACGGAAAAGUUCUUCCUUCGAUUCAAUUACAUCUUCGACAUGUUUCACUUGAAAAAGCUGGAUUUUACGUUUGUUCGCCUUUUUGCCUUGCACAUGAACCACUUCAUCAGGAUUGAGCAGAUACCUUAUAUCUGUGUCACUGACCCAUACUUCAUGCACGAGGGCUUCUUGGCAGUCUGUCCAGAGCACCGUGAAUAUGUGAGUAACUACAUCACCGAUUUCAUGGUCACCAAUAAGGACAAGGAGACGAUUCUCGUGCCUUAUCAUCCCAUAUAAGUCAUCCGCGGAUAUCUUUCCUUCGAUUUCAAUCAUUCAUUUGCACGCGUGGAGGCUAAUUUGAGGUGUACUUAUUUUGCGCAGCGACGGGCGCACCGUCCUCAUCAUCCUUUACCCCCGAUUCUCCCACGCUCUUUACUUGGACUCAUCGAAGAACAUGAAGAAAAAGGAUUACACCCACAUCAAGUUUGUUCUCGACAGUGCUAUCUUGAGCUAUGGCCUACGGGGUGGAGAGAUCAAGACCAGGAAGUCAAGGAACCACACGCCCGCCUUCGGCCAUAAGACCGACUUCUGCUGCAUCCAGCAACCGAGUGGUACUAUUAGUGAUGGGUUUUAUGUCCUCCACCACAUGCUGGAGUACAGAAGGGAACAACAAAACCUUCGCGUGUCACCUAGAUCCGGCGAUGCCCAUAUUCUAUAAUAGGCAAAGAACAUAGGAGAUAUCCCAGAUCAUCGACUUCGAGCUGAGUUCUAUCACGUCCAGCGUGAACUUGCCCAAAUCAUCAUGAAGGAGGUCAUCAAAAAAACAGGGAUGUUCUACGAAGAAGGGCAAAUGUCGCGGGAAGACAUCGGAACACGCGUAUCGGCUCAGUGUCUUGACCUGAAGCCUUUCACUAUGCUAAGGGACUAUCUCCCUGACUUGGAUGGAUGGCAUGACAUGUUGGAGUGAUUGACGAUAUAUGACAAAGUGUCCAUUUAGUCCUUUGUUUCUCUAGACGAAACUUUGAGUUAUGCACAACGAAACUUUAUUUGUGAUGUAAUUAAACCGUCCUCCUCAACUGGCAAAGUUCACUCUAGUUACGGCACUUUGGGUACAAUGAACUUUGUUAUUUAUGCUUAUGAUAUGUUACUUCUAUUUUUGCCAAGUCUGACUCUUUCUGUUGCUCAACUAUAUAUGUUGCAUAUCAUCGACUCAUGUGACAAUGCAGGUGCAUAGAUCAUCGAUGGCGAAGAAGUGCUACGCCAAGAGUAUACGAAGAGUGGCCGGAGUGUCAUGCCCAAGUGUACCGGUUUUUGAGCGAUAGCCAGUAGUUAGUUUAGGUUCACGCUAGUGCGAGAGAGGGAUAUGAACCGACGCCUCAAGAAGUACUACAUUAUGUAUGAUGAGACAUGUCAUGUAACUUGUAGCUACAUCAUGAUUAUGAUGUGAUGACAUGAUUUGUGUUGGAUGAUAUGAUGAGACUAUUAUGUGUAUGAUAUGAUGAGCAUAUUGCAUGUUUAUGAUAUGAUUAGAAUAUUGUAUAAAACCUGUAAAAAACAUCGCAAAUAUGCAAAAAUAUAUAUAUGAGAAAAUAUAGUAGUAGCGCUCUUUAGCGCUGGACAAGAAAACACUACUGCUAAAGCACUUAGCAGUAGCGCUGGUAUGGAAAGCGCUACUGCUAAGUAGGUAUAGCAACAGCACGUGUCAAACUGCGCUACUGCUACAUGUUAGCUGUAGCACCAUAUCAGUAGAGCGGUUCCCCGCGCUACUGAUAGCCCUUAGACCCGCGCUACUACUAGGCUUUUCCCUUUGUUUUCGUGGAUAGAUAAGUAUGUAAGUGUUGUUUUUAACUUUUUCCUUGGUUUCUCUUGUAAAUAUUUUUGCUUCCUUUUGUUUUCAUGGAAUCAAGGACUAUAGAGCUGUUGCUCCAUAGUAGUUACAAAAACCCUAGGUUUUUCUUUAUUUUCACUAGUACCAUUACAAUCCUUCACAAAUAGCUCAGGCAAAAGUUCCAUAAUAAGUAUUGAAUGCUGUCGCUAUAUCGAGUUCAGUUAGAUUCUUAUUAUACUGACCAACAAAACUUCUUUAGCAAGGGUCUAUGAGAAGAAUAUGUUUCAUGAGACUGGCUUUUCUACUCCCGGGGGUCGGGAUACCCUACUAUCCCGUUCGUUCGUUGUACUUGUCUUGCCUCGCGAUCCGUACCCUGGUCUGCCAUCCUAUUUUGAUUUGCAGGCCUAGGUGUACAGUAAUAGGAGCAUCUCUGAUAUGACGUCGUACAUACACACUGAGCCAUCUGCACCUGUGUGCGGGAUACAUAUUGUUUAGCAUAAAAUUUUCUCUUCACAUGCAAAAAGUGUUCUGUCGUUCUGCUAGCCUGGUCGACCACUGUUGACGUUUGGGAUUCAAACCUGUGCGGAGCAUAAAUCUACUGCAAGUAACUAUUUGUCAUAAGUCUACGCCGUGUGAAGCAUCUUGCUAGUAGCAUUUUUGACUUAUUAGUUACGGUCAACUACAGGUAACACAGUAACUAGUCUAGGGAAGUGGGUCCGUCCCAUAGGGUGACGGUUGGCUCUCGUCCGGGAUUUCUGGAGGCGAUCAGGGAGGCGAUCACGUCCGUGUCUUGCCGGGCUAGGGUUCUUCGAGAUCCGUCGUGCUAGGUCUCCCUGGCGUUCUUUGCGCCGGUGUGAGCCCAUCCAAAUCCGAGUCCUGUCCACCAUACUCCUUCUCCGCGUGGCCCUAGGGCGCAGGGUCGUAAAACACUUUUCCUAGGAGGUGCUUGGAGGGAGCAGGAGGGUAGUCAUGGCGGUGGAGGGAGUAGCUGGGCUGAUGAAGGGGUUGAAGUUGACGGAGGAGGAGAAGAAGGGAGUCAAGGUUCGAAUCUCAUCCGUGGGGAAGGGCAAGGAGUCGGCUCCGCAGGCUGUUGGCAAGGUAAUGUCAGAAAAAUUGGCGCACCGAGACGCGAUCUGCCUCUCUCUUGGCAAGGUUUGGUGCCCGAUUAAAGGGAUCGACUGCAGGGAGAUUGGGGCCAACCAGUUCCUAUUCACUUUCCACCAAGAGUCGGGGAAGCAUAAGGCGAUCGAGGAUGGACCAUGGAUGUUUGCUAAGGAGCUGGUAGUGGUUGAGGAUUAUGUGCCCAAUAAAAGGCCAGAAGACUACGCUCACAACAACAUCCCCAUCUGGGUUAGGGUUUAUAACCUACCCCUCGGUAUGAUGAACGAAGAAGCUGCAAAGGACAUAGGGAACACCAUAGGCGUGUAUGUGGAGGCAGAUACUAGACCAGAUGGGAAAGCUUUUGGAAGGUUUCUUAGAGUCAAAAUCAGGAUGCAGAUCGAUAAGCCAUUGAUGAGGGGUUUUACCCUAGAUGAAGAAGCUGUAGGGGGAGAGGAAGGGGACAAUGGGAAGGCCGACAUGGUGAGUAGUGAUGGCGAGGAGGAGAAGGGCUGGUGUCGGUUGGAGUAUGAGUUCUUGCCGGAUUUUUGCUAUACUUGUGGGACUAUCGGCCAUGGAGACAAAGAUUGUACCAUCAAACUUAUGAAGGGAGAGCAAGCCCAAUUUGGUCGAUGAUUGAGAGCGGAUGUAGGCCAACGUAGAGGGGGAAUGGAGGAGAGGCUAUGGAGGGAUGGAGGGAGAGGUUUAAGCGGAACCCGUAACUUUGGCUUUAGUAGAUCGAGCGGGAGAUCUAGUGGAGGAAGUGAUAGUCUAUCUUGGAGGAAGAAUGACUCUCGGUCGGGUGGAGGGGAGGAAGAGAAGAAUGGGAAGAGUGGGAAGGAGGAUGAAGUUACUAGCCCGAUCAAAAAAUUUCUGUUACUGUUGAAAAAGGAGCCGCGAGGAAACUAGUGCUUGACCAGAGCGCAAUGGUGGUACAUGCUGGCUCGGGAAGUCAGAUAGAGAAGGCCAUAGCCAAAUCUGAUGUUCAUGGCGAGGCUUCGCAGGAGGGGGUGAAGGUACUCGGCGGCUGGUUAUGAAUAAGGAGGCGAGUGGCAGUGACAAACUUCCAGGUGGUAAGAAGUACAGGAAGAAAGGCAGGGAGGGCAGGGAGAGGGUCGUAGGUGGGGAAGGCCAGAGGGUGGUUGCGAUCUCAGGAGAGAAGAGGGACAUAACUAAUGAAGAAGAAGAAAAGCUCAGUAAGAAGGGAAGGGUUCAGGAGAUGAGUCAGGAGGGUAACCUGGCGACGGACACCGCAACGAUCGCUGCUAAUGAAAUCACAUCAGCCGAGCUGCAGGAGCAGUCCUGCCGGGAGCUAUGAAACUGAUCGGAUGGAACAGUCGGGGGCUUGGGAAUGGCCCGACAGUUCGCAGCCUCCUCGACUUGGGGAGGGCGGAGGAUCCCGACGUUCUGUUUUUGGCGGAUACGAAGCUAUCGGUGAAGGAGUUGGAGAGGUUCCGUUGGUCAUUGGGUAUGGUUAACAUGUCUGCAUGGAACCCAGUGGGGAGGAGUAGAGGGGUGGCGCUGUUUUGGAGGAGAGGGUUGGAUGUUGCCUUAAGAUCUUAUGGUCGGAGGCAUGUGGAUGUGGAUAUCACGGAAGAAGAUGGUCGGGUCUGGAGGUUAACAGGAAUAUAUGGUGAAUCUGAAUCGGAAUGCAAGGUGGAGACGUGAAGGCUCUUAAAAAUCCUUGGACAGCAACACCAGGACGGACGCCCCUGGCUUUGUUGGGGUGAUUUCAAUGAAAUCCUAACUUGUGAUGAGAAAAUUGGUGGGGCUGACCGAAGUCAAAGACUUAUGGAUAAUUUCAGAGAGGCGCUCGAGGCGUGCGACCUUAGUGACUUGGGAUAUGAGGGAGAUAGAUUUACGUGGAGGAACCACAGCAAGAGGGUGGAUACAUAUAUUUGUGAAAGGCUUGAAAGAGCGACAGCAAAUGCAUCUUGGUGCAAGUGGUUUCCGGAGUUCACAGUCAUAAACGGCUCUCCACGACACUCCGACCACCGACCGGUUAUCGUAUGUACACAAGGCGCUAUCAGGAGGCAGGGGGGAGGAGAUUGUAGUUUCCGUUUCGAAGCGUGGUGGCUCCGGGAGGAAGGGUGUAGUGCGGAGGUGCAGGGGGCAUAGGAGGAAGGUUGUAUGAUGGGCCAUGGGAAUGUGGCUUCUGCCAUGAAGAAUGUGGCUGGUAGGAUGAGGAGAUGGGGUAAGGAAGUGGCGGGAGAGCUUGAAGGAAGACUUAGGGAUACUAGGAGAGCAUUGGAGAGAUGCAUGAGGGCACCGGUCUCGGCAGAAAAAGUGAGGGAGGAAGGGAGGCUGCGAGGAUUGCUGGAGGAGCUGGAAGGCAAGAAGAACACCAAAGCUAGGCAGCAUUCACACGCCACGUGGCUGAAGGAUGGAAAUAAGAGCACAAAGUAUUUCAUGGCUGUAGCUUCUGCAAAACGGAAGGCGAAUAGAAUCAAGAAGUUGAGGAGGGAAGAUGGCAUGGAAGUGAAGGAGGGGAGGAACUAAAUGACUAUGUUUGCUCUUUUUCCAGGACCUUUUCACUACCGCCGGAGUCAACCGUUUUUCUGAACUUAUUGAUAAAGUUCAGCCCCGUCUUACGGCAGCUAUGAGGGCGAUUCUGGAGGCAGAAGUUACCAGGGAAGAAAUUAAAGAAUCCCUUGAUCACAUAGGGGACCUUAAAGCCCCUGGGCCGGACGGCAUGCCCUCGGUGGUCUAUAAGAAACAUUGGCAUUUCAUGGGGGAGAAAGUUAUAGAGGAGGUCAUGGCUGUUCUCAAUGGUGGGGCCAUGCCGGAGGGAUGGAAUGAUACAACUGUGGUCCUGAUUCCUAAAGUGAAAUGCCCAAGCAGGAUCAAGGAUCUCCGGCCGAUAAGCUUAUGCAAUGUUAUAUACAAAUUGGUCUCUAAGGUCAUCGCCAACCGUCUCAAAAUUAUUCUCCCAGACAUUAUCUCUUCCAACCAAAGCGCCUCUUUGUCCCCGGGAGAAUGAUAACGGACAAUGUUCUAGUGGAGUAUGAACGGUCACACCAUCUCCUUAAUAAGAAGAGAGGAAAAGAGGGAAUAGUUGCUGUCAAGGCGGAUAUGAGUAAAGCUUACGAUAGAGUCGAAUGGGAUUUCCUCAGAGCUAUGCUGACCAAGCUGGGUUUUGGGACUAGGUGGAUAGAUCUGGUCAUGUCAUGUGUUUCUUCUGUUCGCUACCAGAUUAAAGUGAACGGCGAAUUAACCGAACAAUUUUCACCAUCCAGGGGUUUAAGGCAAGGAGACCCUGCCUCGCCCUAUCUUUUUGUCAUAUGUGCGGAGGGCCUCUCGGCUCUCUUGCAUGAUGCGGAGGGGAGUGGGAGGAUCAGUGGUGUUAGAGUAUGCCAGGGGGAUCCAGUGGUUUCACAUUUGCUCUUCGCGGAUGACUCGCUCCUCCUUUUGAGAGCUAAGCAGGAGGAAGCCCAGGAACUGCGUAGGGUGCUUGAUCUCUAUGAGGCCUGCUCGGGGCAGUGCAUAAACCUUGAGAAAUCGGCCGUGAUGUUCAGCCCAGACACUGCAGAUGGGAUUCGUGAUGCUGUCAAAGACUCGCUGCAGAUCCAAACUGAAGAAUGGAAUGACAAAUAUCUGGGGCUGCCAGUUCAUGUGGGCAAGUCUCGGGAGAAGGCUUUUGCUUUCGUUAAGGGCGCGAUGGCUGGCCGGGUUUACGGAUGGAAGGAACGACUCAUUGCAAAGGCCGGAAAGGGCACCUUAGUAACUACAGUUGCCCAAGCUAUACCUACCUUCGCCAUGUCGUCUUUCGAUCUAACAAAAUCUUUCUGCGAAGAACUUGGCUCGUUGCUCGGAAACUAUUGGUGGAGUCAACAAGAUAAGGAGAGCACCAUCCACUGGAUCGGCUGGAAAACACUUACGCUGCCAAAGGCCCAGGGAGGUCUCGGCUUCCGGGGUAUGCAUGGGUUCAAUAUCGCCAUGCUGUCCAGACAGAUUUGGCGCCUCAUUCAGCACCCGGACUCCUUAUGUGCGCAAGUGUUACGUGCUCGAUACUACCCGAACGAUCAAAUCCUCACGGCUGUACCGGGAGUUGGCAUCUCCUACUCGUGGAGAAGUUUGCUACACGGGCUCCAGCUUUUCAAAGAAGGUUAUAUAUGGAGAUUAGGAGACGGCACCAAAGUCAACAUCUGGUCGGAUCCUUGGAUACCUAGGCCUUGGUCGCGCCAGGUUAUUACUGCUAGGGGUCCUAAUCUUCUGGAAAGAGUAUGUGAUCUUAUCGAUCCGUUAACUGGCCAGUGGGACAAGCUGCUCAUGAGGGAUACGUUCUGGCCUGAUGAUGUUAAACACAUUCUCCAGAUUCCGUUGAGAGAGGGGGCACAAGAUUUUAUUGCUUGGCACUACGACAGCAAAGGUACCCAUUCAGUCAAGUCGGCUUACAAACUGUUUGGCCACCUAGAAAAAGCGAGGAGGACAGGAGGAGUGGGUGGCAGCAACACGGAUCCGGGGAUGCUUAACAGAGUGGAGGAUGAUUCGUGGAAACGGAUAUGGAAACUACCUUGCCCAAAAACCCUACAGAUGUUCACUUGGCGCAUUAAGCAUGACUCUCUUGCACUCGGGACUAAUGUGGCCCGACGUGGUAUCCCCAUUGCUGACACGAAGUGCCUGUUUUGCGGUAAGGCAGAUGAAGACGGGGCUCACCUAUUUAUCAAGUGCAAGAUGGUCAAGGCUGGAUGAAGGGAGCUAGCCAUGGAGAGCGAGCGGGUUGCUCUUGAACGUAUCACGUCCGUGCAUGCAACCAUGGAGUUCUUAUGGGGGCUGGACCUAAAACAUCGUCUUCUAGUUCUCACCUUCUGGUGGUUAUGGUGGACCAACAGGAAUAAACUUCGAGAAGGGAACAUGCCUACAGCGGCCGACGAGCUGCUAGGAGGGCGAGAAGCAAUGUAAGCGACUACAUGCAGAUCUUUGUGGCUAAUGCACCCAAGAUCCCUCCUGACAAGUGGCGACCCCCAACCAACGGUGAAUAUAAGAUCAACGUCGACGGCUCCUUCAUCCCGGGUCAGAACCAUGCUGGGUGAGGGGUCGCAGUGCGAUCAUCUGAGGGUCUUCUGCUUUGUGCACGGGCAGGAUGCCAGGAGAAUGUACUCGAUGUUUUCGCUGCUGAAUCACAAGCCAUGUCUCAAGCAAUAAACUUGGCAGCAGAGCUAGGCAUGGUCAGGCUGCAGUUUGAGACCGACUCACAACUACUAGCUGAAGCCCUGGAACUGGGGAACGUGGACUCUUCGGCUUAUGCAGCGGUGAUCGAAGACAUGAAAUACCACCUAAAACUUUGGUUCUCUAAGGUCUCGAUUUCGGUUUGUAGGAGUGCCAACUCCGUAGCUCAUGAGUUAGCUAAUCUUGAACGUGUGUCCCUAACCACUAUAUUCAGUGGGAGUCCGAUGUACCUGCCCAUGUGGGCGCUUGUGUCUUGGGUGAUAUGCCCAGCCACCGUUGAGUAAUAAAGCUUUGGUGCUUUCAAAAAAAAACAAAAAAAAAACUACAGGUAACACAGUCUACACGUCCUUAGAUAUCCCUGACAUCAACUAUUCACAUACACACAGUGCCCUGACAACCCCUGCUGCUACACGAGGACGAGUCCCAAGCAGGCAGUCGCUGCAUGGCGAAGAGAAAACAGUGGCCAUGUGACUACAGCGACAUGAACUACCGACUCUGUCCAUGUCUGAUAUUUCAACAGUACAGCCGCAUGUGUCCGGUCAGGCCUACUUCUAUGCCCUAGCUGUCCCUAGAGCCUAGAGGCACGGCCAUUAGCACCGACGAAUUGCCUGGAUAAGCCAGCUGCAGUUGCUAAUCCUCUGCUGUUCGGCAGAACAUGGCACGAAUCUCUAGCAGGUGAACGAUCAGAUAAUGGGGUGUCGGGACCCCCGGUGCCAUCACACCUUUCCGUUCAUUCUAUUCUACUAGCAAAAACCGAUGAAGAUUAUGGUAAUUACAUGGAAAAGAAACCAUAAUUUUUUUGUAUUUUUUUAACUCAACUUUUUGUAUUGCUAUAAGUAAAGAAACUAAAAUUUGUAAUUGCCAAUCAGGAAAUCUUAAUGUCAAAUGCUGAAUUCUUCCACCAACUAGCUGUGAGACAUAUCCAUUGCAGUGCCAAAUAAAGAAGGUUUGCUGACAAUCAACAGCAGGACAAUGGUCCGCUUGUUGUAUAUAAUAAAUGUCACAGUGGUGUUGUAUAUGUGUAGCCGGUGCUAGAAUUUACAUUUUUUUGAAAAGGAGGUUAAACCCCCGGCCUGCAUCAAUCGAUGCAUACAGCUAUGUUUAUUAGACAAGAAAAUACAUCAAGCCACCCGAAACCACCACUCACACCUACAAAUUCGAUAAUGUGGAGUGCUUUCACCUCCAUAUCUAAAACCGGUGUUGUCGCCGAACCAUCCACAUAAUGUAUCGGGACCAACAACCGGUGUAACAGACCUAAAGCAUGCACCACAUGCACAUGUUUUAGAAGUCAAACGCCACCAUCAUCCUUGGACCGCUGACCCAUCUUCAAGAUAGAGAUCAGCAUCAUCCUUGUUAGUCCAGACAUCGCCGACGCCGCCACCGCCCCCGCGCGCAUUCAUCAAGACGCGAAGACUGUGAAAGAUCUAUCGUGCGUAGCACCUGCCGACCAAGCAUGACACAACGUAGCACUUGUCAGCCAGGCAUGACUUGACAUCUCCGCUGAAGCUCCGUGCAAGACUUUGCCGCUCCACCUCAUGCCUCUAUCUUCCUGCGCUGCUCCACAAACGAUGCGCCCAAGAGAGUAACGACACCACAGUACCGCCAUCGUCCGAUCUGGAUGACCAAAUCUUAGUCUUUCCCCCGAAGCAGCACGACUGGGUUGACAGAAGUUACACCACGAUGCCUUCAUCAAGGUAAUGACGCAAGAAGCCGCCAUCGCCCGCCACCGGCUCUGUUUUCACCGGCAACUCUGUCUCCCCAACUCGCAGCUGGGAUUAGAUGACGGAUCUAGAGAUCCAACCACCCAGCCUCAGGCUGACCAUCUCCGGCGAAGGAGACGACCACCACCGCCACGCCCAGGCCGGGCCGGAGCCCCCGACGUCCUCGUGAUGCGGGUCGAUCCCAGGGGUAGCCUGCCGUUGACAGGAUGUUAUACGACAUCAGCAAGUGUGACCCGCCCGAAGCCCAUCUGGACCCAGAUCGGGUGCCCAAGCCGCUGCUGUUGGACUAGUCGUCGAAUGCCGCCUGCCUGGCCGCCACCGCCCCGCACCACUGCUGUAGAUCCGACCAUCACGGACCGCCGCCGUCCUGACCGAGUCUUUGGCGAGGAGAAACGCCGCCACCACCAAUGCGGCACACAGGCUUUGCCUGCGACGCCCCUGGCGGCGGCGGCAGGGAGAGGGUGUGCGCUGGAGUGAACGGGAGACGGACGGCGGGGGCGCUCUGGUGCAGCGCGGCGGCGGCACAAGGGAGCGGGUAGGGUUAGCAGCGGAGCCCCGAGCCCCUCUCGACUUCAGUAUAGAUUUUUCGCUAGAAUUUACAUAUGCAUGCUCCACAACCUAUGUUCGUACAAACACAGAUCAUAUGGAACGAGAAAUAUGCUCUGGUCGGAAAGCAGAGUCGUGGACAAAAGUGAAGUUCACAAAUGACCAUCAUACAUAGGCCAUUGUUUCAACUUGUAGUUUAGGCCUUGCCGGACUCCUCGCAACCUGGUGGCCUGAAGGCGAUGAAGCUGACGCACUGCACCUGGCGCAGGUUGUCGAAGCCGAUGACACGGACAUAGGCAUCAGGGUACUCCUUCUUGACCUCCUCCACCUCGUUGAGCACCUGCGUGGCGUCGGUGCACCCGAACAUAGGCAGCUUCCACAUUGUCCAGUAUCGACCGUCGUAGUACCCGGGAGAGCUGUUGUGCUCACGGAAGACGAAGCCAACCUUGCUGAACUCGAGGCAGGGCACCCACUUGGAGCGGAUCAGGUAGUCUACCUGCUUUAGGAGGGCCUCUGUGGAGAGGGGUGGCAAGUAAGACAGGGUCUCGAACUUCUUGAUACCCUCAAUCGGCCACACCUGAAUGGAUGGAAAUUAUGGAAUGCACACAACUGCUUAACACUUGGUGCUAGUAAAUUGUACGUACUGAGGAAGAAACUCAUAUCAGUUUUGUGCCUCUGACAUACCUGCAUGCACCUGAUCCUUCCGCCAUUGCUGACGCGGCCGAGGCUGCCGCUGGAGCGGCGGCUGACGGGCAGACCGGCUGUGGACUUGAGCCCCUGGAAGGGUGCGACGGUGGUAGCCGACGAAGCCAUCACGGCGGGGGCCAUGGUAUUGUAUUAUCGGAGGAGAGGAGGAUGCCGGCUACAGGUGAGGCCCCCAUUGCCGGGUCACUACGGUAUAUAUAGCCAGACACUUAGCGCCGUUUCUUUGGUACAGAUGUGGUUGGGGUGGCUGACGUUCUCUGGUUGCCUCGUUUCCUUAUCUUCUCCGGAUCAGUGGAAGAAGCAUGGCCGUCGGAUGCAUUGUGUGUGCUGGAAAUUUCAGUCCUUCAUGUCAUUGGGUGGCUGCCACACAACCUUUUUCCAGCUUUUCUUGUUUUUGGUUUCAUUUGAAGCCAAAAGUUUCUUGAGUACAAAUUUUCUGAGAUGCGACUUGAGUGGUGGUGUGGGCAAAAUAUUUUACAUUUUAUCAUAAGAUCUGAUGGCUCACUCCCUUGAAAGUAUGCCUAUAGGCAUAGAGUGUGCGUGUGUGCAUUUAUAGGGGGUGUUAUACAUGCGCGUAUGCGAAUGUCUACUUUUGUACACCGUUUCUCAAAAUAAAAUAUAUGUUUUGUUGGUACAAUUAAUUGACCUAGCAUAGUAACCUCCACACGUAGAACAAGUUCUUUCCCCUCUCGCAAGGUAACUAUUGAAAGCUUUCCACCCCUCUAUAUCCGCCAGUGAGCCUGUGGAUCCGCCUCCCCUCUGCGGGAAGGGGGAUUCCUGGUGCCUCGGCUCUGGCUAAUAAACAAGUAGAAUUUUAGUCCUCAUGGGUGAGGUGCUUGGACGGAUGGCGGUCUUUCUUCUUCGAGCCAAUCUUUCGGGAUCCUAUCCUCUUCAAGUUCCUCUGUCGGGGGAGCUCCGACGUAGACUCCUGCCAGUUCCUCAGGCGGUGAGGUUAGGAUUUCUCAUCAUGCGUACGCACAAUGAGAUUUGGUGUCAGGUUCUUUAAAUCGAUUCAGGGAUUCAACAGCGAUGGCUGCGGCUCCGGAGCACUGGUCCUUAGGGGCAUGUGCAUGGAGACUUCCUGACUGUCAUCGACAAAGUCAAGGUAGCUCUAGAGUGGGAGCAACGACAACGGUGCAUUAGUGGCUUGUCUCUGUGCGUAGGAACGAAAAGAAAGCCCUAUAUCUCAAAUUUUUGACAACUCUCCGUGACAAUGGGCAUAACUUAUUUUAAACAUCAGUGGGUAGGAACAAAAAGCUCUAUAUGUCAACUAUUAACAUGUAUGGCUAAAUAUGUACCUUGCAUUAUAGGAUAUGGCAAUCGAUCAAAAAGGUGGGCAGUCUCUCACGUAACAUUGUCUCUCAAGUAGGGCUGCAAAUGAGUCGAGUUCGAGCGAGUUGGACUUGCCUCAGCUCAACUCAUAUUAAAAUUCGAGCGAGCUCAAACUGAGUGAAGCUCAAGGUCAAGUUGUAGAACGUGACUCAUGCUUAACUUGUAAGAUCUUGAGUCGAUCUCGAGCUAGUUUCGAGUUAAAUGAGAUGAUAAAAUCUAUUAAAUUUAUGACUAUUAUUCCAACUAGAUAAGCACAACACGACAUAAAAAGGCACAAAAAAUAUUUUUUCAAUCAGAACAAUGAUAAUACAAUUUUCUUUUGAAAUGAUACAAAUUUUGUUAGAAGUAGUUUAACUUAUUCUAUCACAACCGAAAGUCUAGUAUCAACUAAGAUAACGAUUCACGAAGGUGCAUAUGCUAGGAACUUUUAGCAGAAACAACAGAAUAUUUAACACAUGACCGACCAUGUACCAUAAAAAAGCCUAAAUUUUCUCUACAACUAAUUAAGCUUCGAUGUCUGUUUGUAAACAAAAUGGUGAAAAAUCCAGGAUGACACAUAUGGUAUUAAAUUAUCGUAUUUUCAUUUAUUAUAUGGAAUGAUCAUUUAACAUAAUGAUAUUAGGCCGAGCUAUCGAGCUAAAAUCGAGCGAGCCAGUAUUGGCUCAAGAUCGGCCCAUUUCUUGAAUGAGCUAUAGAAAGUGUUCGUACUCAACUCGUUUCUUUUCAAGUUGAGUCAAAAAACGAGUUGAUCUCGAGCCGCUAUCGAGCCUCAAGCUUUUCUUACAACCUUACUUUCAAGCAGUGUCAUGUUGACACAACUCAAUCAUCCUACUUCUCAUCCCAUAUCAGCGGCGGAUAACGAAAAGACAUUAAUAUCAAAAGGCCUGGACCGAAGGUAAUAAGUUCUAUGGACAACCGCGAUCCCUAGAAUAAUUAUGUUCCUCUCAUGAUAUUGAUGCCCUGUCACCUGGAGGUCUCUCGAUUUGCACGCCUCUCUCCCAUAGCCAACGAUUACUCAAAUAACAUCACAUAUAAAAGAGUUUAAGAGUUGUUACAACCCAUUAGGGAGACCGUGAUGGGGGGACGAGAAGGGGUAUGGGUGAGGACGGAGUGGCGACGGCAGCGCUUCUCCGGCAUUGCCUCCUUCAAGGUUGCAAUGAUAGAGAUGGAGGCUUGGCACAACCCUCAAGUGUUUUUUGAUAUCGAUGGAGCUGGACGUAUGGAUUGUGUCCCCGAGUGGCUAGGGUUGGAGGUGUAUUUAUAAGAACUCUCCAAAGCCUCCUUCGUUGAUGUAGCAUCUCUACUUUGCUCCAAGUGCUCUAGGUGAGCCCAAUCUUUUCCAAAACAUCCCUUGAUGGCAAAGAAAGUAGUAGGAACAUACCGGGACAAAAUCCUUGAGGAAUCCCCGUCUGAAAGGGCAGCUUCUCAUUUUUUUAUGCAUCAAAGGUUGUCAAACGCUUUAGACUCUUUGGUAAAAUCGCCGCAACUUUUACAUCCGAACUCUGUUUUUGACGUUCAUGUGCUCGUUGGAAUGACGAUUACGGCGCCGAUGCACUUGUGGUAUUAGAUAUUGAUUUUGAGCACUUUGGAAAACAACUUUUUUCACUCUCUGAAAUGCCCAAGUCUGGUGUCUCGAUGUCCUUCGUUUGGAUCCUUUUCAUCGUGUUAAGUGAGUGAGAGUUCCACAUUACGUACAAACACACAAAGAAAGAUAAUACUGAUAUGAACAAAUAAAGAAUAAAUAUUAUGCAAUGCUCGCGUUGAAAAUGUUAAAUACUGGAGAUCAUGCAUAUGGGCAUGUAAUUGGCUCAAUGGCACAUGAUAUAUGGAGAUAAUAGGUGACAAAUGAGCUCUAAACGUGCGUAAAAGUAGGAGCUAUCACUUGGAUCAAUUAGAUACUAUCUUGUGGAACACCUUACAUCCUUUUGAAUGGUGUACCUAGUAGGCAAUUCCAAUGAAAACAUGGGAUUCACCAGGGUGACACACCGUUACCACUUCUAUUUUUCUUGGCAGUGGAUUUACUUCAAUCUAUCCUUAGUGACAUGUAUCAUCGCGGGAGCUCUUUUUUCCAAUCCCAUCUCAUGAUCUAAACUCUCCAAUUGUGUAGUAUGUUAAUGAUAUGUUGUUGAUUAUGCCGGAUAUUGAUUCUCAGCUUCUUGACCUAAAAGAAAUGCUACAACUUUUGUCUAAAUCCACUUGCUUGAAAGUGAAUUUUGGUAAAUCCUCCAUGGUUCUUAUAAAUGUGAUUGACGAUGAAGCUUCUCAUUGGCCAGUUUGUUUGAGUGUCAACAGGGUAAGAUGCCUUUCACUUACCUGGUUUACCUAUGGGUAUCACUAGGCUCAAGAUCUAGGACUUAAUGCCUUUGGUUGAUAUAAUGAAAAGGAAAUUGGCAGCUAGCUCUUCUCUGCUCUCACAAGGUGCUAAAUUAAAACUUUUGAGGUCUACCAUUUCAUCUAUACCGACAUACUAUCUUUGUAGUCUCUAGAGUCUAGACCCCCCUUGGUAUAAUUAAACAACUGGAGAGAAUUGAGCAGAAUAUCUCUGGCGUGGCAAUGCUGAUAGCUCAAAUCAACCAUUCGUGAUAUGUCAUCUGGUAUGUAAAUCAAAGGAGAAUGGUGGUAUUGGUAUCAUUAACCGUCAUAUUCAAGACCAACCUUUGCUUACAAAACACUUGCACAAAUUUUAUAAUAAAGUUCAUAUUCCAUGGGUAACUUUGAUAUAUAUUUCUUACUAUCAUGGAGUCAUACCUGAUGUAACAGUCCUUCGUGGUUUUUUUCCGGUGGAGGGAUAUUUUGGAACUUAACGAUCAGUACAUGACAAUCUCUUCAAUCAAAGUUAAUAUUGGCAACUUUGCCCUGUUCUUGUCUGAUGCCUGGUUGAUUGAGGGGUCUUCUCUACCUCUUCGACAUCGUUUGGAAAGGCUCUUUUCAUUGCCUUCUAUGACAAUAAUUCUGUAAGAUUUUACAGAAACCCCUCAUUAGGCCACUCUUUUGCACCUGCCAAUUUCUGCUGAGGCGAUGGAUGAAUUGUAACCUCCGGAUGGUUGGUUACAUAGCCUUAAGGGAAACCCAACCCUGUCUGAUGUUUGUUCUUGGUAAGGAGAAUCAUUUUCCGCCAAAAGCUUCUACUGCAUGAUGCACAAGCACAUGCCCACCGAUGAACCUUGCAAAUGGAUAUGACAGAGCACCAUGAAGAUCAAGAUCUUUGCUUAGAUCCUAUUAUUUUAUCGGUUGAACGCUCGGAAAUUGCUUCUUAGAAGGCACUGACAUUCUGCUCGGAUUGAAACCCAUUGUGCUCACAUGAGCGAAGAGACCACUUGUUUUUCUCCUAUAAUUUUAGUCAAAGAAUUUGGACUUAUUUACAGAUUGAUUGGAGCCCCAGAUGAAACACUAGAUAAUGUAUUGAUGUUGCAUGUAGAUGACGUUUUUUCGUGAAUACACUAAGCAACGUAUCAUUUCAUUGAUAGGUGGAAAGAAAGAGUAUAGGGUGCAGCUCUCACGGGCAUACAUGCAAUGGCGUCCGUGAGAGUGCAGAGCGAGCAGCGGAGGAGGAUGAUCAGCCUCGAUGCCGCAUGGUCAGGUUACAGGGAUGAUUCUAUGUAAUCCUCGAUCGUCGUCCUUGGCCCACCGACGCGCGUCGUCCUUGAUUAGCUGCCCAAGGUCAUCUGUGGAGGGUCCGGCACCGUUGACAAUGGCCGCAUUUCGAUGUUUCCAGAUAGCCCAAGUGGUGAGAGCGAUAAUGAAGUUUAGGCCUCGUCUGAGGCUAUCCGGGGAUGCUGCCGUGGCCUGGAGCCAACAGUCGAAGAAGAUGGUCGAGCCUAGUAUGGGUGGUGUAACCAGCCAACACCAAGAAAGAAUCUCAUGCCAAGUGAACCACGAGAUGACACAACUAGUGAGGAGAUGGUCGAUAGUCUCUAGCUCCUGGGAACAGGAGAUGCACUCUGGAUCGUGCGGGAGGCCGUGCCUUGCACGACGCUUCGCAGUCUAGCACCGAUCGAGGAAUACGAGCCAAAGGAAGAAUUUGUUGGUAAGAGGGGCCCAGCCCUUCCAGAUCAAACGCCAAGCGGGCGGGGAGGUUGAUCCAAAGAAGAGCGCCUUGUAGCAGGAUUUGACGGAGUAGAUACCACUAGCAUUCCAUUUCCAACUGAUUUGGUCCGGGGCAUGACUGAGUUGGAUGCCCUGAAGAUGACGCCAGAGAUCGAUGUAUUGGACCACUUUGAUGGGACCUAGAUUGCAGUGGAUAUCGUGAAUCCACGCUUGCUGGUGAAGGCCAUCAGAAACCAGGGUGCGGCGGUGCCGAUGUCGCGGCACAAGAGCAAGCAGUGCCAGAGCGAGCUUAGAGAUGGUGUCGGUUCUAUAUCCGGCAUAUCUCGUAGUAGGGGUCCUAAGCUAGGCGUCUUGGAGCGAUGGUAACACGGACACAUGGUUUUACCCAGGUUCAGGCUCUCUCGAAGAGAUAAUACCCUACGUCUUGCUUUUGAUUGUAUUCAUAUGGGGGAUAGUACAUAGUACAUGUGUCUACCACGAGAUUGUUCUAAUGAACAUAAGUUGAUCUAAUGACUAGCCUGGCCUCGGUUUAUACAACACACCGGAGGCCUAGGGUUUAGAGGAGUCCUCGUCUUGUGCACCAAAUCUUGUGUAAACCUCCUUGUAUGCGGCAUGGGCUGCCCGAAGUGGCCCAUUAGUACACCGCCAUGGGGGCCCUCGGCACGAUCCAGCUGGUCGAGAGACGACGUGGUGAGUCCCCCCCCCCCGAGUCCAGGACACUGUCAAAUGGCCCUCCCGUCGAGCCAAUGGUUGCACCAGAAACGACAAGUUUUGUCGUCGCCGAGGGUCCAAGUGGUCGACGCACGGAAGAACUGCCUGGUCUCAUCAUCACAAGGCACCUCAAGAUGGUGCCAAGGGAGGGAGGGGUCAGUGGUCUGCAGCCACAGCCAUCGGGCAUGCAAGGAGAUACUGGUGAGGUGGAGAUCGCGCACGCCAAGCCCACCAUACUCCAGCGGGCGACAUACGCGCCUCCAAUUAACAAGGCAACAGCCGGACUUGGCAUCCUUCCUAGCAUGCAAUAGGAAGUCACGAAUGAUCUGGGUGAUUUUCUUGAGGAUCAUUGGGUUGAUGACCAUGAAGAGGAGAAUUUGGACAGGUAUAGCAGACAGGACAUGCCGCACGAGGGCGAGUCGCUCGGUGCGUGAGAGAAGCGAGGCUUUCCAGGUGGCGAGUUUCUUGGUAAGUUUUUCCAACAGUGGGAGGAGCGCCGAUGUGGGAGUCUUGCGGACCGAGAGGGGAAUUGAUGUGGACCAGAUCAUGACCAAGGCAUCCAAGAGUAAGGUUAAUGCUAGCACAAAUGCUGAACCAUUCGAGCAUCUAAAUGAAGACAAGGUCAAAACCAUUAUCUUUGUUGGGAAGCUUCCGGUGCCUAUUUUGGGAGAAAUGACACAUCAGAUUUCCAGCAGCAACUUCCCACCUAAACCUAAUUAAUUCUGGAAGUCUCUAGCACUUUAUAGAGGCUGGAAGAUAUGGUCUUAGAAGUCAGCUUUCAUUUAAAAAAAAUUGUGCAUCAUUUGAGGUCUUGAGUCAAAAGUUGUGCAAGUUUCCAUGCAAGCUGUCCAGGAAUUUAUUACAGCGCGAGGCUCAACAAGUUUGCUCCUGCUACAGCUUCGGGCUCACGAAUUUACCCUUCUUUUUGAGUUGUUUUCACACCUAACUAGUGGGUGCUUCUAGUAUAAAUACUCCCUAGCUGUUCCAUGUGAGGGGGGAUGAGAUUUCUGAGUUUAUGUUUGUAGACAGCCGGUGAGGUUGUGUUGUGCUGUGAGCACUAGUAUCGUCGAGUGUUAGCUCGUGUGUGUGGAUUGGAGGGCCUGUCCUCAAUUCAUAUAGGAUCCUUGUGGUUCCCUCUUGUGAUUCUUCAUAGGUUCACAAGCUUCAUGGUUUGGGUUGCAUCCUUGUAAACCCAGCUAGUUGUCCGCUGCAAUUUAUCUGAGAGUGUUUCCUCUUGUUCUUCCCCCUUGAGAGAAAUAAAGUUUGUUGAAACAAGUAUCGAGUGAGUUUGUUGCUGCUCCUUGUGAGUUCUUUGGCACCGUGAAAGAUCGUUUCUGAGGCAUCCCACAUCAUCUUGGCAUCAGAGCUUUAGGUUGUUCGCGGUGCAAUUUUUUAUCUUGCUGAUUUUGUUCUUGAGAAGCUUCCAUGGGUUCAAGGAGAUCCAGCAGUGUUGAUGGUGUGCAUGGAGGUGCCGGCACCUCGUGGAGGAGGAGCUGCCACUCCCCGUAUAUGAUCCAAGCUUGCAGCCCGCCUAUGUGUUGGCAUUGGAGAAUACACGAGAGUAUGUGUUGAACAAGGUGGAGAGGCGCAUAUCGGCCGUGGAGACCAACCUUGGCCAGAUAAUCGACUCCCUCACCGAGGAACUCCGUCGAGAUAGGCUUGCUGUACGGGGUCGACAUUGACAAAUCCCCAAACAGCAGGGCCAACGCCACCUUGAGGAGGAGCAUGGAGAGCACAACCACGUCUACUCGGGUGAUGCUCAUAGCUACUACGCUGCACCACCUCGGCGUGCUUGCUAUGACCAGCGAGGUGCUACUUGGGCACCACUGUCACCACCAUGAGAUGGGCUUGUGGAACGGGUUCGACAUCGACAACUCCCCAUACAGCAGGACCACCAUGGAGAGCAUUGGAGCGACCACUCCGAUGAUGCUCGAAACUACUACGAGCCUCAACCAUGACGUGUUCAUCAUGAUCAUCGCGGAGAAGGCCAAGAAGGCUUUGCCAUGGGAGGAAGAGGUCAUGGGCGUGCUCAUCGUGACCAUGAAGAUGAUGGGAUUGGUAAAUUCAAACUUACCAUACCAUCGUUCAAUGGGAAAACCGAGACCGAUGAUUAUUUGGAGUGGGAGAUGCGUGUGGAUUAGAUUUUUGACAACCACCGCUAUACGGAGGAGAAGAAGGUACGAUAUGCAUCCAUUGAGUUUACUGGAUAUGCUUUGAUUUGGUGGAACCAAUUGUGUCGUGCUGGAGGUCGUCCAGAGACAUGGGUGCAAAUGAAAGAUCUGUUGCGGAGACGGUUUGUUCCUGAAUAUUUCACAAGAACCUUGUACAAUCGACUCCAACGGUUGUGCCAAGGUAAUUCUAGUGUUGAUGAGUACUAUAAAGAGAUGGAGAUUUUGAUGAUUAGGACAACGGUGAAUGAGCCCGAGGAGGCCACAAUGUCAAGAUUCUUUCAUGGACUGAAUGAAGAUGUGCAAGAAAGGAUAGAGAUGAUUACAUAUCAAGAUUUGCAAGAACUUGUGCAUCAAGCUAUUCGUGUAGAGCAGCAGCUGAAGCGUCGCCAAAAUCGCAGCCAAACCUAUACAUCAAGCACUUGAAGAAGUUCAGCUCAACGAGAAGUAGACGGAAGUGUCGCUGCAGAUUUUCGCUCACACAACAAGAUGACUACAAAGGAAGCUAAUGCAUCAAAGGUUGAAUCUUCCAAUACUUCUGCCACUCGCGUUAGUAAUAUUCAGUGCCAUACAUGCAAGGGUAGAGGUCACUUCAAGAAGGAUUGUCCUAAUCUGAAGAAGGUUUUACUCACAAAUGAUGGAUAUGUCACCGAUGACUCAAGUGACAAAUCUGAAUCUGAGAAGAAAGAUGCAAAUUAUUGUACUUUUGAGACUGGAGCACCUCUGAGUUCAGAUGGAGGAGAUGGUGUUAAUCUCAUGGUUCGCAAAGUGGCUCAUGAUGAUGCUCCUAUUAUUGAGAAGGGCCAGCGACAAAAUGUGUUCCAAUCCAUUUGCAAGAUCAAGAACAAAAAUUGCAAGGUGGUCAUCGAUGGAGGCAGCUACAACAACAUCAUUAGUAGUGAUCUUGUGCAUGCUCUUGGGAUGUCAACAUGGAGGCAGCCCCAGCCAUAUUAUGUGAAGUGGCUGAAUGGUGUUGGUAAGUUGAAGAUUACGCAUCAUGCGAGGGUGCAAUUUUCAGUGGGAAGUUAUGUGGACAAAGUGGUAUGUGAUGUGGUGCCAAUGCGAGCUUGUCAUCUUCUUUUGGGAAGACCGUGGCAGUUUGAUCAUGAUGCUACUCACCAUGGGAGGUCUAACAAGUAUUCUUUCAUGCAUCAAGGAGUGAACCAUGUCUUGGAACCUAGGGUGGAUCAAGUACUCAAGGUUGAGCAAUUCCCACAAGUGAAGAAGCCCAAAAAGAAUACCUCAAAACCGAGGAUGGUUUUGUUUGAAGGAAGGGAGGAUGAUGUGGACCAGAUCAUGACCAAGGUAUCCAAGAAUGAGGUUAGCACAAAUGCAGAACCAUUAGAGCAUCCAAAGGAAGACAAGGGAAAAAACAUUAUCUUUGUUGGGAAGCUUCCGGUGCCUAUUUUGGGGGAAAUGACACAUCAAAUUUCCAGCAGCAACUUCCCACCUAAACCUAAUUAAUUGUGGAAGUCUCUAGCACUUUAUAGAGGCUACAAGAGAUGGUCUUGGAAGUCAGCUUUCAUUUAAAAAAAACUAUGCAUCAUUUGAGGUCUUGAGUCAAAAGUUGUGCAAGUUUCCAUGCAAGCUGUCCAGGAAUUUAUUACAGCGCGAGGCUCAACAAGUUUGCUCCUGCUACAGCUUGGGGCUCACGAAUUUACCCUUCUUUUUGAGUUGUUUUCACACCUAACUAGUGGGUGCUUCUUGUAUAAAUACUCCCCGGCUGUUCCAUGUGAGGGGGGAUGAGAUUUCUGAGUUUAUGUUUGUAGACAGCCGAUGAUGUUGUGUUGUGCUGCGAGCACUAGUAUCGUCGAGUGUUAGCUCGUGUGUGUGGAUUGGAGGGCCUAUCCUCAAUUCAUAUAGGAUCCUUGUGGUUCCCUCUUGUGAUUCUUCAUAGGUUCACAAGCUUCAUGGUUUGGGUUGCAUCCUUGUAAACCAGCUAGUUAUCCGCUGUAAUUUACCUGAGAGUGUUUCCUCUUGUUCUUCCCCCUUGAGAGAAACAAAGUUUGUUGAAACAAGUAUCGAGUGAGUUUGUUGCUGCUCCUUGUGAGUUCUUUGGCACCGUGAAAGAUCAUUUCCGAGGCGUCCCGCAUCAGGAAUCCCAAGGUAGACGAUCGGGAAGGUGGUGACCGCGCACGUCAGCGUCGAACCAACAACAUCAGCCACGGUAUCAUCACAUUGAAUAGGGGUGGCAGAGCACUUGAGAAAAUUGGUGCGUAAGCCCGAAGCUUCAUAGGGAAGAGGCCAACCUUUCCUGCUUGGUGUUGUAAAUUUGUACAUGACAUCUCUUCUUGUAGAUAGAGUUAAUGCUUACCAAAGCUCCUGGAUUGGAUUUGUAAUCUCCAUUAGAUAAAUAGGUAGGUAGGAAAGUGUGGUUUUUCCUUUUUCUUGGUUCCCUUUGUAAACAUUUUUUGCUAGCUUUUGUUUUGAUGGAAUAAAGGACUGGAGCUGUUGCUCCAUAGUAGUUACAAAAAUUCAAGAUUUUUAUUGAUUUUUCACUAGUAUGAUUACACUCCUUCACAAAGGAGCUCUUUUUUUUUGAAAAGGAGGAUGUACCCCCGGCCGCAUCUGGGCUAUGCAUGUAGCCAUAAAGGAGCUCAUGCAAUGCAUGUUGGAGAUUUAUUUCAAUAGUUCCAUAACAUGUUUUGAAUGCUGUUGCUAUCUAGUUCAGUUAGAUGCUUAUUAUCCAGACCAACAAAAGUUCUUUAGUAAGGGUCUCUACAAGAAUAUCUUUCAUCCUAUUCUACUAGCAAAACCGAUGUAGAUGCUGGUAGUGACAUGGAAAAGAAACCAUAAUCUUUUUGUAUUGAUAUAUAAGUAAAGAAACUGAAAUUUGCAACUGCAAAUCAGGGGAUCUUAAUGUCAAAUACUGAAUGCUUCCACAACUAGUUGUGUGACAUAUUCAUUGCAGUGCCAAAUAAAGAAACUUUUCCAUGAAUUAAUAACAUCAAGACAAUGGUCCGCAUGUUUUAUAUAAUAAAUAUCACACAGGUUUUGUAUAUGUGUAGCCGGCUCUAGAAUUUACAUAUGCAUGCUCGAGAAUCUAUGUUCGUACAUACAUACACAGACCAUAUAGAAUGAAAAAUAUGCUCUGGUCGUCCAGCAGAGUCGUGGACAAAAGUGAAGUUCACAAAAGACCUUCAUACAUAGGCCAUUGUUUCAACUCGUAGUUUAGGCCUUGCCAGACUCCUCGCAACCCGGUGGCCUGAAGGCAAUGAAGCUGACGCACUGCACCUGGCGUAGGUUGUCGAAGCCGAUGACGCGGACAUAGGCGUCAGGGUACUCCUUCUUGACCUCCUCCACCUCGUUGAGCACCUGUGUAGCGUCGGUGCACCCGAACAUAGGCAGCUUCCACAUUGUCCAGUAUCGACCAUCGUAGUACCCGGGGGAGCUGUUGUGCUCACGGAAAACGAAGCCAACCUUGCUGAACUCGAGGCAGGGCACCCACUUGGAGCGGAUCAAGUAGUCGACCUGCUUCAGGAGGGCCUCCGUGGAGAGGGGUGGCAAGUAAGACAGAGUCUCGAACUUCUUGAUGCCCUCAAUCGGCCACACCUGAAUGAAUAGAAUGCGCAGAUGCUCAAUACUUGGUGCUAAGUCAAUUGUACCAACAAUGCUAGAAAAAUCUGUUGAUAAGCCAAAAAUUGCUCCUGAUGGGCAGGUCUCAUAUGUAUUGUUCGUUUGUCCACAAUGAAGAAAGCUUAAGGGUAGCCCUUAAACUGAUGGGCACUCUGGAGGUACUAAGAUAAUUUUAUCUAGUCCAUGCUGCAAUAAAGAGUAUUUCCAUUCACUAAGUUAUGAGUUGAUGGCUUUUACAUACGGAUCCCAGCUUAUGGACAAGGCUGAAUGAGCAUCCAAAGCCAAAUGGUUUCCAUAGGCAACAAACCAAACAGAUAAUAAGGUUUCGGAAUAAUCUAUUGACCAAAUUAUGUUAUACAUUGGGGAUGUUCUGUAAGUGAAUUACUUGUACUGACAAAGAAACUCAUAUCAGUUUAAUUAGUGACCGACAUACCUGCAUGCACCUGAUCCUUCCGCCGUUGCUGACGCUGCUGAGGCCGGCGCUGCUGGAGCGGCGGCUGACGGGCAGGCCGGCGGUCGACUUGAGACCCUGGAAGGGUGCGACGGAGGUGGCCGAGGAAGCCAUCACAGUGGGGGCCAUGGUGUUGGAGGAGAGAAGGUGGCAGGCUAAGCUUGGCCCCCAUUGCUGGGUCACCACGGUAUAUAUAGCCAUAUAUGGCCAGCUCCUAUCUUUAAUCAAGAUGUGGAAGGGGUGGCUGGCGUUCGUUGGUUGCUUGGUUUCCUUAUCUCUCCGGAUUAGUGUAAGAGGCAUGGCCGUUGGAUGAGUUGUGUGUGCCCAAAAUUUCAGUCGUCCAUGUCAUUGUGUGAUUGCCACAAUCCUUUUUCCAGCCUUGCAUUACUGUAUUAUUCUUUUCGUUUCAUCUUGCUAAAGGUAACGCUUGAAAGGUGCACGAAGAACUCCCUUUGUUGAUUUGCGAUUUAAGUUCAGUGGCACAGGCAUAACGAAUGUUAUAGUACAUCCUUUAUCCACUUUUAUAAUACAAAACUUGUCAACCAGUUAUGCUUGCUUCUAAUCUUUGGUACUUCAUUUUAUAACAUUUUAUACAGGUAACUAACGUAUACUUGCUGCAUGUAUGAUGUGUGUCAUCAUGACCUUUAUGUACUUUAUUCACAAUUAUUCAUUGGAACACAAAAGUGUUGUACUAUUUUCUACACCUAAUCAUUUACAUGCCUUGGAGGAUUUUUAGUAUAGGAAAUGCUAUUUAACUGGCUGUCCAGGCAAGGUAUAACUUUGUUUUAAUCUAUGAGCUAAAGUUUUAGAUCCCUCUGUUAUCCAUUUGCUCAGUUCAUGCCGUCCCCAGUGAACUCAUAAAUUACAUAUGGUGAGUGAAUAUAGACCACAAAAAAUGGUAGAUGUAUGUUCAUUCAUUUCAUGAUGAUGAAGCAACCUGCAAAAUGAUGGAAUCGACCAUGACUACUCAGUGAUAUGGCAAUCAUGUAGGACGAUCAUCGUGAUCAUCCUCCCGAGUCGUCCCCGUGCGGCGGCUGGGAGUACCCCAGAUCCCGUCGCCCCCGACUCCCCCUCUCGUCCCCUCCUCCCUCACCGCCGCCCGAGGGCGCCGCCGGGCAAAGCCUUGCCGUCGCCGGCGGCGGCAGGGACUAGGUGCCCUCCCGCUCGUGAGGAGCUGGCGCGGACCAGCGCCCCCGGGCUGGAGCGUGGCGUGCAUCUGGAUGUCAUGACGGGGGCUGGCGGCGCUCCUGCGAUCCCAUACCUCAUGGCAGGCGGCUUCAAGAUCUGGGGCGACACGGUUGCCAGGGUCGGCGGCGGUGGCGUGGCCGGAUCUAGGACCAGGUGUGAGCUUGGUCUCCGGGUCACGAUCGGCGCGAUGGCAAGUGCGACAUGUCGGCAGCUGGACGGAUCUGCGGGAUUCCAUCCUUGUCUAGUCCUUGACAACUCGAGCAACUCCGAGGGAAACCCUAGAUCCAUGGGAUCAAGCGAUGGCAGUGCUUUUGCGUCGUAGUCCCUCUUCGGGACAUCAUUUUAGAGUUUGCUAUGGUUGAAGGGACCAGCGAGGCAUGCGGCGUACGCCCGGUGUCGCAACUACCGAUGAAAAUUACGCCAACUACGGUCAUGGCGGACGAUGGCGGCGUCUUUGAUGUCGUUUCCUUGUCGAGACAUCGUCAUUGCAGUUGGCAUCAUCAUGCUCGGGAUGCUCCGGGGGAAACCCUAGAUCUGGGUCUCCCGGAUCGGACGAUAAUAGCGUUCUUAGUAUCGCUUUCCCUCAUCGGGGCAUCGUUUUGGAGCAAGUGAUGGCUGGAGGUGAUAAGAGGAGGAGCGGUGCUUCAUCAUACACAUUGGUGGUGUCGGAUCUCGAUGGCAUGGCACCCUGGAAAUUAGGCGUUUGAUGUGCGAUGAUGGACUCGCGUAGGAGGUCGACGCUCUCUGGCGUCGUGGUGGCAUCGGCGGCAGCUAGACCGGGCAAGGUACAUGCAGUAGUACAACUCUGAAGAUGGAUUGGUGGCAGGUGGCUGCGGCGGCCUCAUACCCGGCAGGCGUCCUGGUUGAGGAGCACGCUGGACUGGUGGGUGCCCAUGCCCGGCAGGAGUCCUGGUUGGGACCUCAGGUCUUAGAUGUUAGGUUUGGCUGCGAUGUCUCUUUGGUAUUAGGCCCAGACUAUCAGCGCCCCUUCAUCAACUGGAUUGGAUUAGCGACAGAUGUUGCUUAGACGGUGGCUUUAGUCUUAUUGUUGUAUGGUUUUGUAAGGUCUUGUGCUAAUAAUUAAUAAAAUGAUUGUAUGCAUCGCCCAGAUGCAGAGGCCGGGGGUCCUUCUCCUUUUCUAAAAAUCUAGUCAUUUAAGGUAGAUGUCGUGAUCUUCUUGUGUGACUGUCUCAUAGAUUUGAGCUGCAAAUCGAAUCUUAUAUUCUUCCAUUUUUUUUGAAUUUCCUGCAUGUAGUUAAUUAUUUUUUAUGAAUCCUUAAUGAUAAUUAACAUGGCCCAGAUAUUCACAAAAUAUCCAUAACUAUCAUGAACGAAUCAAUAAAUUACUAUUGCAGAAUGAAGAAUGAACCUUCCAUAGACCCCUCCACUUGGGCCCGUCGGUAGAGAGAUUCAUCACUCAUGGGCCACAAAAUGCGAGCCAAGUAGGACGACCUUCACUAAUGGGCCCUUAAGUUGGGCAUCAAUGGAGGGGCACCCAUGGGGCCCAAAGAUCCAACUGAAUGGACAGUCCAUCUCUACUGACGGUCAUACCGGAAUUUCCUAACGGACGCACAUUGUGUCAAGUUGCCACUGUUUCGCACAGAUGCCAGCGACUGGCGACCGAGAUGGGCCGGCCCAAUUACGAGCCCACAGAUGCGCUACAGUGUCCGGUUUUGGGAAACUUCUAGGAGGUUCCUGAGCGGUUUUGGGAACCUUCUAGAAGGUUCCUGAACCAGUUUUCCCUGGUUUAUUCUGUUUCUUUUUAUUUUUCUUUCAAUAUUGUUUAUUCUUUUUCAUUCUUUAUUUUUAUUUUUUCGUUUUGCCGUUUCUAUAUUCCAUUUUUUAUUUCUUUAAUUCCUUUUCCUUCUCUUUUUUCCUUCAGAAUUAAAAAAUAAUAAAAAUGUUCAGAAGUUAAGAAAAUUUUAUUGUUUAAAAAUUUUGUUCAUAAAUUGAAAAAUGUUCUUCUUUUCAAAAAACCUUCGCAUUUUUAAAAAAUGUUUGGCAUUUAAAAAAUGUUCCGCUUUCAAAAUAUUGUUCACAAAUUACAAAUAAUGUUCACUCUUUCCAAAUUUUGUUCAGAGUUUGGACAUGUUUGCAGACGUAAAAAUGUCCACCUUUUCCAGAAAUGUUCAUAUCUUUUUUUUCAAAAUUUGUUCACAAAUUCAAAAAUUCCUGUUUUUAUAAUUUGUUCACACAUCCAAAAAUUGUUCACACCUUUUAAAAAUUCUCAAAAUUUGUUCACAAAUUCAAAAAGCUUUCCAUUUUUAUAAUUGUUCACAGAUUAAAAAAUUGUUCAAAUCUUUAAAACUUGUUCGUGAUUCUAAAAAAAUGUUCAUAUCUUAAAAGAAAUCACAAAUUCGAACAAAUUCCUGUUCUCAAAAUUAGUUCACAAAUUAAAAAUGUUAUUUUUUGAAAAUUAUUCACAAAUUCAAAAAAAGUUCGCAUUUUGUCCAAACUUGUUCGUGAUUUGUCAAAAAAUGUUCGGAAUUUAAAAAAAUGUACCCGUUCUUUCAAGAUUUGUUCACAAAUUAAAAAAUUAUUUCCCUGUUUAAAUUUGGUUCACAAUUCAAAAAAUCAUGUUUUUUAAACUUCAAUUUUUUGCACGUGUCUAACAAAAUAGGUCAGAGUUUUGAAAAUUGUUCCUUUUUAAAAAAUUGUCCAGAACUGCAAAAUUGUUCCUGUUUUUAAAAUUCGAAUAAUUGCGACCAUUUGUUGAAACUCGUGUGCAUUUUUGCCAAAAACAUUUGGACUUUUAAAAAUAUAUUCAGAAUUAACAAGAAAAGAUUUAAAAAGGAAAAAUAAUGUGACCUGCCGUUGUGACCAGUACUAGUCGUGGUGGCUAGCUAGCUUCGUAUAAAAAAGCACGAUCGCGAGCUCGAGUCCUAGCUCUCGCUUCGAGUUUUUCGUUGCCUUUUUAACACUGCACGCUGCCUGCGUGGGCCGGCCCAGUCGGGCGCCUAACCUGUGCGAUCGCUCGACAUUCUGCCGCAGAAUGCGGCAGAUAGGAAGUCCCGGUCAUACCACACCACCCGUCAAUGUUGGGCGCCCCGUUAGUGCUGAAUUAAGGUAUUUCUAUCUGCUAGAGACGAAGUGGCCUUAUAUGGGCUUUCUCUUUUCUCCUAAACAAAACCAAGCCACCUCCCCCAAUCCAUUCCUCCCCAACGUCAUCACCACCCAAUGUUUUUGUCUCCUUACAUGUGUGCCCCCUCCUUCUUCCACAUUGAUCUGGUCCAACGCUACCGUCUCAUCCCCGCGAUCAUCGUCACUACUCUUCGAUUACUCGUGAUGGCGCGGGUUGUGGCUUCCCACUUGCUCUCUCGUAAGAGUGGUUGGGUAAACCCCAAGUGUAAGGAUGAAGUAACCUAGUAAUAAGCAUUUUCCCCGAUAGGUUUAUCAAACCAGUAGGAAUUUCUUCUACAACCCAAAUCCUCGGUACCUGCACACCAAACACAAAAUAAUCUUGCCCCAAACGUUUCAAGAAGGUUGUCAAGCUUCUUGUCCUGCUAGUUACAAGGAUUAGUUGUUAGUUGAAAGCAAAUAUCAGUUGCUAAGUAGCCUUAGUGUGGUUUGUACCUUCAGAUCUGCCAUGACACUGUCAACACUAUACUCGCCAUGCUUAGGGUUCAUCCUUUUUAUAUACACCAAGAUCAACCUAGGUGCUUCGCGUCGUACUAGCACUAAUCCAACCAUCAAUAUAAAUGAAAUGCCACCAUAAUUUCAAAGCUUAGUUGUUCAAAUACGAAUAUGAUGUGGUACUAAUAUUAGUUUAAAAUAGACACAUGUAGUUGGUCAGCCAAUGUUCCUUGUUGAGUUUCAAAAUACAUGUACACCACUUAUAGAGAGGCAUGAGUGAAUACUAUUUAUUUCUGCGAUCUCGUCCAUCAUGGAUGGGCAACGAACAUUGCAUUGUAUAGAAAGAAGGGUUAUAUAUAACCACCUUUUACAUAGAUGACGCUUUGCCUACGUGCUUUGUGUUGAAGUAGCAACACUCCACCUUUCAAGCUAAACAACAUGACACUCAUAAUUUCAAAGCUUAUUUUGUCAAAUACGAAUUUGAUAUGAUACUGAUAUUAGUUAAAAUGACACACAUUAAUUGUCAGCUAAUGUUCCUACUUCAGUUUUGAAAUGCAUAUCUGCCCCUUAUAGAGAGACAAGAGAGGUUUCUAUCUCUCUAUCCGCUCUUGUCAUCAUGGUUGGGGGGUGAACUUUGUAUAUCGUAUAGUUUGAAGCUGUCAUCUACCAACAAUCAUCACUUCUGGAGAUCUCAACUAGGAGCCUUUUUUGAGUAGUAGGGCCAUAUUAUAUUAAUACACACACCAAAUUACAACUCACAUAGCAUCUCUCGGCAGACUUCCAGAGAUAGUACGCAGGGGUUUAUAAGGAGUCACUAUUGGGGUAGAAUCGGCAAUGCAUUUGUUACACCCCGAUUCAGAGAACCGGAGGUCCCCGUGUUCCAGCCCAGAUAUCCAUUCGUCUGGAACACGACUAUAGCUUGGUACAGAUAGACCAAAAUAAAUAAGUACUUAUGUACAUUAAGGAGACAUGUCUAAGUGUGAGAAGCUCGAGGGCUUUAUUCUACGAGUGGCUUAAGGAAGUACUAAAGACGAAAAUAAUACUAAUGACACAACAGAAGACGGGGUACCAGUGGGGCUCCAAUCUAAAGAGACACUGCUGGUACACGAACUCUUAGGGGAACUCUUCUAUCGGCUCUCUAGUAUCUAGCAUGAUAAGUCAGGUGAGUACUUAAUUUGAAUGUACUCGCAAGCUCACAAACAAUCCAAAGCAAGCAAGAACGGAGCAAAUAAACAUAGCAACGAAGUAAGGACUAGUAAAGCUACUACUAUCAAGACUACUCCAUAGACUUCUUGUCUGCUCGUUUAACAUCUACUGGACUUCUUCUUGAAAUGAGUCCUGCUCAAACGACUCAACAAUAUAAGUUACCUGUUACCACAGUUACUAGAGUUGAAAGUAAAGGAAUAUGGGUACUUGGUCAAAUAGUGUGACCUAACACAAAUGGUGUCCCAUUGUCGGGGACUCGGCUAUUUGAAUAGUUUCAACACACACUCUGUAGAGGUCACACACUUUAAUUUACCCACACCAUAGAUUCUUUGUCUAAUGAAUCUCAUUCAUAGCAUGGCACUCUAACUAUUCCUCCGACCUCCCGCAGGCUAGCCCUGGGAGAGAGGAUCUGGGUCCUUGCCACUCUGUGUGGCACCACUUGUAUUCGCUUAGGAAUAUUUUCUAUUGAGCUCAUCCACAGACCCAGGCUCUCUUGACUGAAUGGCAACUUCCAAGCCAGAGGAAGUCUACACAUUCCAGCUUCCCUCUUCAGAGACACACAAAAGAUACAUACCUAGAAACGGAAUAAGGCCCUCCCAUUCGGCUAGAUGUGGCUAUACUGAGGUUGUUCCGCUUUGUGGCAUUUGGAUUGGCUAGCUAUUUAAAGUUGGGUUAAGAAGGAAAGUAAAACCGUAACUUUGUACUAGCUAUUCAAAUCCACAACUUGUUAUCCUACUAGGGUGAAGUAUUCACGAGGAUUCAUCAUCCUAAGUAGAGGCUUUCCCCGAGAUCCUUUGUGAACAUUGAUACCUAUUUUGCUUAUGAUUCAUGUUGGCAAAAUAAUUACCGGUUACGAGUCAUAGUUAAACUUCUAUUCCACUAGGACCAAAUAAAGGUAUCCUUGCUAGUGACUCACUAUGCUAUUUCAACCACAACAAACUUGACAUAAGCAAAGGGAAGCAAUAAAGAACACUGAAAGAAAAGUAAUGCGGGAAAAGAAAUGCAAGUUGAAUCCAUGGCCUUGCAAUGCAAGUUGAACCUAUAGUGUUAUAGCCAUGGCUCACGCUCAUGUAUUGCAUGGGGCUGAAAAUCUUGAAGCGCGUUAGAAGUGUUAAGCUUCAUGCACUAGCCAACGCAGCCAAAAGUCUGAACUGAUGGAAAGGGCUAGUACAAUCCACAUAUACUAUAACACCCUCUCUCACGUGGGACGGGGAAGACAAGUCAACACAUGCAACCGGAAGAGAGCGACGGCACGCGAAACUCAGGUAUGACUCAAGAGGCCUAUACGUGGACACAAAGGAGGGCUGUCAGCAAUUUUUAAAUAAGUUGCACAAACCAGGACUUGAACUCAAGACCUUAACUCCAAUACCAUGUUAAGCUUCAUUGACUCACUGAAAAACCAGCGGCAGUCACCACAGAGGCAAAACGCUCAAACAAGGCGCGGGGGGCUUGCUUAAGGCCAUAGAGAGAGCGACGAAGACGAGAUACCAUGCCAUCAGGAACAGAAUACCCAGGUGGUGGCUGCAUGUAUACCUCCAUUUGCCUGGUUUGACACCGGGGUGCUCAUGAUUUAUAUAUAUGCAAUGAAGGCGGAGUCAUGCCAUGCUAACAUGAUAAAAUGAGUGGGGAUAACAUUCGUUAAUGAUCGUAUAUUUUGAAAAAGUAAUGAUUAUGUUUCUUAUAUUCAUGGAAAUUAUUAUGUUGAUAUUGUUACUUCAUUGUUUCUCAAUAACUAUAUCAUAAAGAUAUUACAUGAUACAUAUGUUUGUUGGGGAACGUAGUAAUUUCAAAAAAAUUCCUACGCACACGCAAGAUCAUAGUGAUGCAUAGCAACAAAAGGGGAGAGUGUUGUCUAUGUACCCUCGUAGACCGAAAGCGGAAACGUUAGAACAACGCGGUUGAUGUAGUCGUACGUCUUCACGGCCCGACCAAUCAAGCACCGAAACUACGACACCUCCGAGUUCUAGCACACGUUCAGCUCGAUGACGUCCUUCGAACUCCGAUCCAGCCGAGUGUCGAGGGAGAGUUCCGUCAGCACUACGGCAUGGUGACGAUCUUGAUUUUCUACCGUUGCAAGGCUUCUCCUAAGCACCGCUACAAUAUUAUCAAGGAGGACUAUGGUGGAGGGGGGCACCGCACACGGCUAAGAGAUCAAGAGAUCAAUUGUUGUGUCUAGAGGUGCCCCCCUGCACCCGUAUAUAAAGGAUCAAGGGGAAGGGGGCGGCCGGCCAGGAGGAGGUGCGCCAAGGGGGGAGUCCUACUCCCACCGGGAGUAGGACUCCUCCUUCCCUUGUUGGAGUAGGAGAGAAGGAAAGAGGGGGAGAGGAGGAAGGAAAAGAGGGCUGCACCCCUUGUCCAAUUCGGACCAGAGUGGGGCUGUGCGCCUCCUUCCUUUCGGCCUCUCUCCUCUAUUCCCGUAUGGCCCAAUAAGGCCCAUAUACUCCCCGGCGAAUUCCCGUAACUCUCCGGUACUGUGAAAAAUACCCGAAUCACUCGGAACCUUUCCGAAGUCCGAAUAUGGUCGUACAAUAUAUCGAUCUUUACGUCUCAACCAUUUCGAGACUCCUCGUCAUGUCCCCGAUCUCAUCCGGGACUCCGAACUCCUUUGGUACAUCAAAACUCAUAAACUCAUUAUAUAACUGUCAUCGAAACUUUAAGCGUGCGGACCCUAUGGGUUCGAGAACUAUGUAGACAUGACCGAGACACGUUUCCGGUCAAUAAACAAUAGCGGAACCUAGAUGCUCAUAUUGGCUCCUACAUAUUCUACGAAGAUCUUUUAUUGGUCAAACCACAUAACAACAUACGUUGUUCCCUUUAUCAUCGGUAUGUUACUUUCCCGAGAUUUGAUCGUCGGUAUCCAAUACCUAGUUCAAUCUCGUUACCGGCAAGUCUCUUUACUCGUUCCGUAAUGCAUCAUUCCGUAACUAACUCAUUAGCUACAUUGCUUGCAAGGCUUAUAGUAAUGUGCAUUACUAAGAGGGCCCAGAGAUACCUCUUCGACAAUCGGAGUGACAAAACCUAAUCUCGAAAUACGCCAACUCAACAUGUACCUUUGGAGAUAGCUGUAGAGCUCCUUUAUAAUCACCCAGUUACGUUGUGACGUUUGGUAGCACACAAAGUGUUCCUCCGAUAAACGGGAGUUGCAUAAUCUCAUAGUUAUAGGAACAUGUAUAAGUCAUGAAGAAAGCAGUAGCAACAUACUAAAUGAUCAAGUGCUAAGCUAACGGAAUGGGUCAUGUUAAUCACAUCAUUAUCCUAAUUAUGUGAUCCCGUUAAUCAAAUGACAACUCAUGUCUAUGGUUAGGAAACAUAACCAUCUUUGAUUAAUGAGCUAGUCAAGUAGAGGCAUACUAGUGACAUUAAGUUUUGUCUAUGUACUCACACAUGUAUCAUGUUUCCGGCUAAUACAAUUCUAGCAUGAAUAAUAAAAAUUCAUCAUGAUAUAAGGAAAUAAAUAAUAACUUUAUUAUUGCCUCUAGGGCAUAUUUCCUUCAGUCUCCCACUUGCACUAGAAUCAAUAAUCUAGUUCACAUCGCCAUGUGAUUUAACACCAAUAUUCACAUCUGUAUGUGAUUAAUACCCAAUAGUUCACAUUGUCAUGUGAUCAACACCCAAAGGGUUUACUAGAGUCAAUAAUCUAGUUCACAAAUCUAUGUGAUUAACACCCAAAGAGUACUAAGGUAUGAUCAUGUUUUGCUUGUGAGAGAAGUUUAGUCAAUGGGUCUGUCACAUUCAGAGCCGUAUGCAUUUUGCAAAAAUUCUAUGUCUACAAUGCUCUGCACGGAGCUACUUUAGAUAAUUGCUCCCACUUUUAAUAUGUAUCCAGAUUAAGACUUAGAGUCAUCUGGAUCAAUGCCAAAACUUGUAUUGACGUAACCCUUUACGACGAACCUUUUUUCACCUCCACAAUCGAGAAACAUAUCCUUAUUCCACUAAGGAUAAAUUUGACCAAUGUCCAGUGAUCUACUCCUAGAUCACUAUUGUACUCCCUUGCCAAACCAGGACAGAGUAUACAAUAGGUCUGGUCCAUAGCAUGACAUACUUUUAUAGAACCUAUGACUGAUGCAUAGGGAAUGACUUUCAUUCACUUUCUAUUUUCUGCCGUGGUCCGGAUUUGAGUCUUACUCAAUUUCUUACCUUUGCAACAUAGGCUAGAACUCUUUCUUUGACUGUUCCACUUUGAACUAUUUCAAAAUCUUGUCAAGGUAUGUACUCAUUGAAAAUAUUAUCAAGCGUCUUGAUCUAUCUCAAUAGAUCUUGAUGCUCAAUAUGUAAGUAGCUUUACUGAGGUCUUUCUUUUAAAGAACUCCUUUCAAACACUUCUUUAUGCUUUCCAGAAUUUUUUUAUAUCAUUUCUGAUCAACAAUAUGUCACUCACAUAUACUUAUCAGAAAGGCUGUAGUGCUCCCACUCAUUUUAUUGUAAAUGCAUGCUUCACUGCAAGUCCAUAUAAAACUAUAUGCUUUGAUCAAAGCGUAUAUUCCAACUCCGAGAUGCUUGCACCAGUCCAUAGUUGGAUCGCUAGAGCUUGCACAAUUUGUUAGCACCUUUAGGAUUGACAAAACCUUCUGAUUGCAUCAUAUACAACUCUUCUUUAAUAAAUCCAUUAAAGAAUGCAGUUUUGACAUCCAUUUGCCAGAUUUCAUAAAAUGUGGCAAUUGCUAAUAUGAUUCGGACAGACUUAAGCAUCGAUACGAGUGAGAAAAUCUCAUCGUAUUCAACACCUUAAACUUGUCAAAAAACUUUUGCGACAAGUCGAGCUUUGUAGAUAGUAACACUACUAUCAGCGUCUGUCUUCCUCUUGAAGAUCCAUUUAUCUUCCAUGGCUUGCCGAUCAUCGGGCAAGUCCACCAAAGUCCACACUUUGUUCUCAUACAUGGAUCUCAUCUCAGAUUUUAUGGUCUCAACCCAUUUUGCGGAAUCUGGGAUCAUCAUCGCUUCCUCAUAGUUUGUAGGUUCAUCAUGGUAUAGUAACAUGACCUCCAUAAUAGGAUUACCGUACCACUCCGGUGCGGAUCUUACUCUGGAAGACCUACGAGGUUCUGUAGUAACUUAAUCUGAAGUUUCAUGAUCAUCAUCAUUAGCUUCCUCACUAACUGGUGUAGGAAUCACUGGAACUGAUUUCUGUGAUGAACUACUUUCCAAUUCGGGAGAAGGUACAAUUACCUUAUCAAGCUCUACUUUCCUCCCACUCACUUCUUUCGAGAGAAACCCCUUCUCUAGAAAGGAUCCAUCUUAGCAACGAAUAUUUUGCCUUCGGAUCUGUGAUAGAAGGUGUACCCAACAAUUUCCUUUGGGUAUUCUAUGAAGACGCACUUCUCUGAUUUGGGUUCGAGCUUAUCAGGUUGAAAUUUUUUCUCAUAAGCAUCGCAGCCCCAAACUUUAAGAAACGACAGCUUAGGUUUAUUGCUAAACCAUAGUUCAUACGGUGUCGUCUCAACGGAUUUAGAUGGUGCCCUAUUUUAACGUGAAUGCAGCUGUCUCUAAUGCAUAGCCCCAAAACAAUAUUGGUAAAUCGGUAAGAGACAUCAUAGAUCGCACCAUAUCCAAUAAAGUGCGGUUACGACGUUCGAACGCACCACUACGAUGUGGUGUUCCAGGUGGCAUGAAUUGUGAGACUAUUCCACAUUGUUUUUAUACGAAAGCCAAACUCGUAACUCAAAUAUUCUCCUCCACGAUCAGAUCGUAGAAACUUUAUUUUCUUGUUACGAUGAUUCUCCACAUCACUCUGAAAUUCUUUGAACUUUUCAAAUGUUUCAGACUUGUGUUUUAUUAAGUAGAUAUACUCAUAUCUUGCUCAAAUCAUCUUGUGAAGGUCUGAAAAUAACGAUACCCGCCACGAGCAUCAAUACUCAUUGGACCGCAUACAUCAGCAUGUAUUAUUUCCAAUAAGUCACUAGCUCGUUCCAUUGUUCCGGAGAACGGAGUUUUAGUCAUCUUGCCCAAAAGGCACGGUUCGCAAGCAUCAAAUGAUUCAUAACCAAGUGAUUCCAAAAAUCCAUCUUUAUGGAGUUUCUUCAUGCGCUUUACACCGAUAUGACCCAAACGGUAGUGCCACCAAUAAGUUGCACUAUCACUAUAAACUUUGCAUCUUUUUGGCAUCAAUAUUAUGAAUAUGUGUAUCACUACGAUCGAGAUCCAAUAAACUAUUUUCAUUGGGUGUAUGACCAUCGAAGGUUUUAUUCAUGUAAAUAGAACAACAAUUAUUCUCUGACUUUAAAUGAAUAACCAUAUUGCAAUAAACAUGAUCAAAUCAUAUUUAUGCUCAACGCAAAAGCCAAAUAACAUUUAUUUAGGUUUAACACUAAUCCCAAAAGUAUAGGGAGUGUGCGAUGAUGAUCAUAUCAAUCUUGGAACUACUUCCAACACUGAUCGUCACUUCACCCUCAACUAGUCUCUGUUUAUUCUGUAACUCUUGUUUCGAGUUACUAAUUUUUUAGCAACCGAACAAGUAUCAAAUACUCAGGGGCUACUAUAAACACUAGUAAGGUACACAUCAAUAACCCGUAUAUCAAAUAUACCCUUGUUCACUUUGCCAUCCUUCUUAUCCACCAAAUAUUCAGGGCAUUUGCGAUUCCAGUGACCAUUUCCUUUGCAGUGUAAGAACUCAGUUUCAGGCUUUGGUCCAGCCUUGGGCUUCUUCACGGGAGUGACAACUUGCUUGUCAUUCUACUUGAAGUUCCCUUUCUUUCCCUUUGCCCUUUCUUUGAAACUAGUGGUCUUGUUAAUCAUCAACACUUGAUGCUCUUUCUUGAUUUCUACCUUCGUCGAUUUCAGCAUCACGAAGAACUCGGGAAUCGUUUUCAUCAUCCCUUGCAUUAUAGUUCAUCACGAAGUUCCAGUAACUUGGUGAUGGUGACUAGAGAACUCUGCCAAUCACUAUCUUAUCUGGAAGAUUAACUCCCACUUGAUUCAAGCGAUUGUAGUACUCAGACAAUCUCAGUACUUGCUCACUAUUUGAGUAAUUCUCCUCCAUCUUUUAGGCGAAGUAUUUGUCAAAGGUCUCAUACCUCUUGACACGGGCAUGAGUCUGAAAUACCAAUUUCAUCUCUUGAAACAUAUUAUAUGUUCCAUGAUGUUUCAAAAACGUUUUUGUAGUCCCGGUUCUAAGACAUAAAGCAUGGUGCACAAAACUAUCAAGUAGUCAUCAUAUUGAGCUAGGCAAACGUUCAUAACGUCUGAAUCUGCUCCUGCAAUAGGUCUGUCACCUAGCGGUGCAUAAAGGACAUAAUUCUUCUGUGCAGCAAUGAGGAUAAACCUCAGAUCACGGACCAAGUCCGCAUCAUUGCUACUAACAUCUUUCAACUUAGUUUUCUCCAGGAACACAUAUAAAACAUAGGGAAGCAACAACGCGAGCUAUUGAUCUACAACAUAAUUUGCAAAAUACUACCAGGACUAAGUUCAUGAUAAAUUAAAGUUCAAUUAAUCAUAUUACUUAAGAACUCCCACUUAGACAGACAUCUCUCUAGUCAUCUACGUGAUCACGUAAUCCAAAUCAACUAAACCAUGUCCGAUCAUCACGUGAGAUGGAGUAGUUUUCAAUGGUGAACAUCACUAUGUUGAUCAUAUCUACUAUAUGAUUCACGUUCGACCUUUCGGUCUCCAUGUUCCGAGGCCAUAUCUGUAUAUGCUAGGCUCGUCAAGUUUAACCUGAGUAUUCCACAUGUGCAACUGUUUUGCACCCGUUGUAUUUGAACGUAGAGCCUAUCACACCCGAUCAUCACGUGGUGUCUCAGCACGAAGAACUUUCACAAUGGUGCAUACUCAGGGAGAACACUUCUUGAUAAUUAGUGAGAGAUCAUCUUAAAAUGCUACCGUCAAUCAAAGCAAGAUAAGAUGCAUAAAGGAUACACAUCACAUGAAUCAACAUAAGUGAUAUGAUAUGGCCAUCAUCAUCUUGUGUUUGUGGUCUCCAUCUCCGAAGCACCGUCGUGGUCACCAUUGUCACCGGAGCGACACCUUGAUCUCCAUCGUAGCAUCGUUGUUGUUUCGCCAUCUAUUGCUUCUACGACUAUCGCUACCGCUUAGUGAUAAAGUAAAGCAAUUACAGGGUGCUUGCAUUUCAUACAAUAAAGCGACAACCAUAUGGCUCCUGCCAGUUGCCGAUAACUCAGUUACAAAACAUGAUCAUUUCAUACAAUAAAAUAUAACAUCACGUCUUGACCAUAUCACAUCACAACAUGCCCUGCAAAAACAAGUUAGACGUCCUCUACUUUGUAGUUGCAAAUUUUACGUGGCUGCUACAGGCUAAGCAAGAACCGUUCUUACCUACGCAUAAAAACCACAACGAUAGUUCGUCAAGUUAGUGCUGUUUUAACCUUCACAAGGACCGGGCGUAGCCACACUCGGUUCAACUAAAGUUGGAGAAACUGACACCCGCCAGCCACCUGUAUGCAAAGCACGUCGGUAAAACCAGUCUCGCGUAAGUGUACGUGUAAUUUCGGUCCAGGCCGCUUCAUCCAACAAUAUCGCCGAACCAAAGUAUGACUUGCUGGUAAGCAGUAUGACUUGUAUCGCCCACAACUCACUUGUGUUCUACUCGCGCAUAUAACAUUUACGCAUAAAACCUGGCUCGGAUGCCACUAUUGGGGAACGUAGUAAUUUCAAAAAAUUUCCUACGCAUACGCAAGAUCAUGGUGAUGCGUAUCAACAAGAGGGGAGAGUGUUGUCUACGUACCCUCAUAGACCGAAAGCGGAAGCGUUAGAACAAUUUGGUUGAUGUAGUCGUACGUCUUCACGGCCCGAUCAAUCAAGCACCAAAACUACGGCACCUCCGAGUUCUAGCAUACGUUCAGCUCGAUGACAUCCUUCAAACUUCGAUCCAGCCAAGUGUCGAGGGAGAAUUCCGUUAGCACGACGGCGUGGUGACGAUCUUGAUGUUCUACCGUCGCAGGGCUUCUCCUAAGCACCGCUACAAUAUUAUCGAGGAGGACUAUGAUGGAGGGGGGGGGCACCGCACACGACUAAGAGAUCAAGAGAUCAAUUGUUGUGUCUAGAGGUGCCCCCUGCCCCCGUAUAUAAAGGAUCAAGGGGGAGGAGGCGGCCGGCCAGGAGGAGGCGCGCCAAGGGGGGAGUCCUACUCCCACCGGGAGUAGGACUCCUCCUUCCCUUGUUGGCGUAGGAGAGAAGGGAAGAGGGGGAGAGGAGGAAGGAAAAGGGGGCUGCACCCCUUGUCCAAUUCGGACCAGAGGGGGGCUGCGCGCCUCCUUCCUUUCGGCCUCUCUCCUCUAUUCCCGUAUGGCCCAGUAAGGCCCAUAUACUCCCACACGAAUUCACGUAACUCUCCGGUACUCCGAAAAAUACCCGAAUCACUCGGAACCUUUCUGAAGUCCGAAUAUAGUCAUCCAAUAUAUCGAUCUUUACGUGUCGACCAUUUCGAGACUCCUCGUCAUGUCCCCGAUCUCAUCUGGGACUCCGAACUCCUUCGGUACAUCAAAACUCAUAAACUCAUAAUAUAACUGUCAUUGAAACCUUAAGCGUGUGGACCCUACGGGUUCGAGAACUAUGUAGACAUGACCGAGACACGUUUCCGGUCAAUAACCAAUAGCGAAACCUGGAUGCUCAUAUUGGCUCCUACAUAUUCUACGAAGAUCUUUUAUCGGUCAAACCGCAUAACAAUAUACGUUGUUCCCUUUGUCAUCGGUAUGUUACUUGCCCGAGAUUUGAUCGUCGGUAUCCAAUACCUAUUUCAAUCUCGUUACUGGCAAGUCUCUUUACUCGUUCCGUAAUGCAUCAUUUCGUAACUAACUCAUUAGUUACAUUGCUUGCAAGGCUUAUAGUGAUGUGCAUUACCGAGAUGGCCCAGAGAUACCACUCCGACAAUCGAAGUGACAAAACCUAAUCUCGAAAUAUGCCAACUCAACAUGUAUCUUUGGAGACACCUGUAGAUCUCCUUUAUAAUCACCCAGUUAUGUUGUGAUGUUUGGUAGCACACAAAGUGUUCCUCUGGUAAACGGGAGUUGCAUAAUCUCAUAGUUGUAGGCACAUGUAUAAGUCAUGAAGAAAGUAUACGCCAACUCAACAUGUACCUUUGGAGACACCUGUAGAGCUCCUUUAUAAUCACCCAGUUACGUUGUGACGUUUGGUAGCACACAAAGUGUUCCUCCGGUAAACGGGAGUUGCAUAAUCUCAUAGUUGUAGGAACAUGUAUAAGUCAUGAAGAAAGCAGUAGCAACAUACUAAACGAUCAAGUGCUAAGCUAACGGAAUGGGUCAUGUCAAUCACAUCAUUCUCCUAAUGAUGUGAUCCCGUUAAUCAAAUGACAACUCAUGUCUAUCGUUAGGAAACAUAACCAUCUUUGAUUAAUGAGCUAGUCAAGUAGAGGCAUACUAGUGACAUUAAAUUUUGUCUAUGUAUUCACACAUGUAUCAUGUUUCCGGCUAAUACAAUUCUAGCAUGAAUAAUAAACAUUCAUCAUGAUAUAAGGAAAUAAAUAAUACCUUUAUUAUUGCCUCUAGGGCAUAUUUCCUUCAAUGUUAGCUAGCAUUACACAUCAAAAUUUUUGUUUUUAUCAUUUACCUAUUCGAGGAUGAGCAGGAAUUAAGCUUGAGGAUGUUGACAUGUCCAACAUAUCUAUAAUUUUUUAUUGUUUCAUGCUAUCAUAUGAUCAAUCUUGGAUGCUUUAUAUGUAUUUUAUACUAUUUUAUAUCUUUUUGGACUAACCUAUUAUUUUGAAAAAAAAUUGAAUUGUUUGGAUUGCUUACCACAUGUGUCACGUGGUUUGGGACUAACUUUUUAACCCAAUGCCUAGUGCUAGUUAAUGUUUUUUUUGCUUGUUUUUGGCUCUUCAGAAAAACAAUACCAAAUGAACUUCAAACAUGAUGAAACUUUACGGUAAUUUUUUCUGGACUAGAAGAGGCCCUAGAAGGUUCGGGAGGAGGCUAGAAGAUCUACGGAAGAGCCACGAGCUCACAGGGCACGCCCCCGAGCUCAUGGGCCCCACGCAGCUCCGUUUGACCUAAUUUCAACUCCAUAACUUCACAUAUAUUUCCAAACCAAUAGAGAGCCACCCGAAACACUUUUUUUCCACCGCAAGCUUCUGUUCUUCCGUGAUCCCAUCUGGAGGCCUUUUCCGGUACUCUGCCGGAGGAGGAAUCGAUCAUGGAGGGCUUCUAUAUCAUCCUUGCUGCCUUUCGAUGAUGCAUGCAUAGUUCAUGACAGACCUACGGGUCCAUAUCUAGUAGGUAGAUGGCUUCAUCUCUCUCUUUGAUCUUCAAUACAAUGUUCUCCUCGAUUUUCUUAGAGCUUUUUUAUCCUAUGUAAUCUUUUUUUGCGGUGCGUUUAUUGGGAUGCAGUGAAUUAUGGGUUUAUGAUCAAAUUAUUAACUGAAAGUAAUUGUGUCUUUUCUGAGCUUUAUUAUGCAUGAUUGUUAUAGCUUCGUAUUAUCCUCCGAUCAAUUCGUUUGGUUUCGCCAACUAGAUUGAUUUAUCUUCAGUGGGAGAGGUGCUUUGUAAUGGGUUCAAUCUUGCGGUGUCCUCAUAUAGUGACAGAAGGGGAAGCAAGGCACAUAUAGUAUCGUUGCCAUUAAGGAUAAAACGACGUGGUUUAAUCAUAUUUCUUGAGUUUACUUUGUCUAGAUCAUGUCAUCUUGCUUAAGGUGUUACUCUGUUUGCCAUGAACUUAAUACGAUAGAUGCAUGCUAAAUAGCGGUCGAUUGGUGGAGUAAUACUAGUAGAUGUAGGCAGGAGUCGAUCUACUUGUCACAGACAUGACUAUAUACAUGAUCAUUGCCAUGAAUAUGUCAUAACUAUGUGUUUUUCUAUCGGUUGUCUAACAGUAAUUUGUUUACCCACAAUAUGCUACGUGUUCGAGAGAGAAGCCUCUAAUGAAAACUAUGGCGCUAGGUCUACUUUUAUCAUAUUAUUAAAACUAAAAAUACCUUCAUGCAAUUUUAUACUUUUUUUACUUUUCUUUUUAUCUAUCUAUCACUAUCAGAAUUAAUCCUUGCAAAUAAUGAGUUCAAGGGGAAUGACAAGACUCUUGCCGCGUUGGGUGCAAGUAUUUGCUUUUGUGUGUGUAGGUGCUGAAAAAGGGAAUUUGCGUGGUUCUCCUAUUGGUUUGAUAACCUUGGUUCUCACUGACGGGAAUACUUAUCUCUAUUGUAUUGCUCCACCCAUCCUCUUGGGGGAAAUCCCAACGCAGUUUAGAAGUAGCACUACUCCUCCUUCCUCCUCCAUAGACGCUUGGCGAAGCCCUGCCACAGCUCCACCAUAAAAUCCACCACCACGCCAUCGUGUUGGCCUAGAUCUCAUCUACCUAUCCCUGUCGCUUGCUGGAUGAAGGAGACAUCACCGAGCCAUACGUGUGCAUAUCCCUGAGGUGUCAUUCGUGCGGUGCUGGAUCGGAUUGGAUCACGAAGAGUGUACGACUACGCCAAGCACAUUCAUUAGAACGUUUCUGUUUUAGGUCUAGAAGGGUUUGUAGACUUUUCCCCCUCGUUGCUAGCAUCUAGUUGAUUAGAUCUCGGAUGUUUUCAUUGUCUCGUAGGAAAAAAAUUGUUUUUCAUGCAUUGAUUCUCAUCACCGACCUGCUUCAAAAGAAGCAGGUAGGAGCCCAGGCGGCCCGAGCUCAGCAGGUUGCCGGGUGGGAGGUCCCUAACAGGUGCAUCCAAGAAUGCAACAACCUCCAAGUAGAGAAGGCGUCCCUAACCGAGAGGACGAGACAACAAGAGCUGGAGCUGGAAGAAGUUAAGUCUCGCCUGGUCGAUGCCGGGAGCGUCGCGGCGGGCCCUUGAGAUCAUAGCCAGUGAGUCUGUCCAUGCUUCAACUCAUAAACUAGGUGGAAAUUUUAUUUGCCGAUCUGACAUACAAAUUCAUUAUUUCCAGCAUCUUUUCCCGACCUGCCAGCCAAUGCUGUUGGAGCGUCCCUUAGGGAGAAACUGCAGCAGUUUGGAGAGUUAAACAAGAUUGCGAGGCCGGUAAUGGAGGGUAUUUUCUUGGCCCUAUGGCCUGGAAGAAAGGUUGUCGGAAAACCAGUUUGACCUCUGCCGCCGCCUCCAGGAGGGGCAUGCUCGGAUUGCCCUGUGAAAGGCGUUAGUGGCCUGAGAAGAUGCUCGUCAAGCGUGGGCCAUGCUCCAGACCCACUAUCCGGGCUUGAACAUCUGCCCUAUUGCCGUAGUUGGUCCAAAAGGACCUGACGGUAAGGAGAUUAUGCCCUAUGCUAGGAUGUCCGAGCAGGAUUGUCGUUUGAAAAGAUUAUUGAAUAGGCUAGGAGUGUUACCCUGGAUUGUCAAGGACGAAACGUUGAAUAAAAACUUCUCGAAUUUCGCUACCACCAUGUUUAUUUUUUUCUAUACCAACAACAUGAUAGGUUUGCUCCGACCUGUUAGCAUACGCUUGCAUUAACCGGCCUUUGGCUUCAACCUCAACAACCAAAUGUGGAGGCCUUAUAAUUGAUGUUAACGCAAUGAGUAGGGAUCACCAUGCAACUAGGAUGCAAACAUAUCUAUGAAUAUAUGAAAUAUCUCGCAAGGAUUAAGUGGGGGUGUGUCCAACUUGUUUGCUCAUGAAGACCUCAAGCAUUUGAUAAAGCUCAUCAUCGGGAUAUACAAGGAAAAUUAUACAAUAUAAAUUCCCCAAGCUAGUAUAAAACAUGAAGCUCAUGAAACUUUAAUUAGAUGUAAAUUGUCCAGACCAACAAAAGUUCUUUAGUAAGGGUCUCUGACGAGAAUUUAUUUCAUCGAAAGUGUCCUACUCAGCUUGAGCUCAUAUGAAUUUUUUUAUUGCCGUGAAAAAGAUGAAUGCCAUUCUAUGAUGAAACCUUGCAAGGAUUUAUAACAUUUGUCAAAUUAAGCCACACACAAAAAAUCAGAAAUUUUUGAAUUCUCUCUAAAUAUUUUCAGAUUUUAUUGCUCACCCGAGCUCAUAUGAGCUCGAGCUCAGUUAAUCCGUGUCCAUGUUUCAUCCUACUCUACUAGCAAAAACCAAUGGAGCAGACGGUAGUGACGUGGAAAAGAAACCAUAACAAAUUUUUAGUGAUAUAUAAUUAAAGAAACAGAAAUUUACAAUUGCAAAUUAGGGAAUCUUAAUGUCAAAUACUGAAUUCUUCCACCCACUAGCUGUGAGACAUAUCCAUUGCAGUGCCAAAUAAAGAAGCUUUUCCAUGAAUUAAUAACAACAAGACAAUGGUCCGCGUGUUGUAUAUAAUAAAUAGAGUCCUGCUUCGGUACAACCCCCCUCGCAAUAUGUAUAAAGGGUAAUAUGGACUUUUCACAAUCUGUAUCUACUUCUGUACGUAACAUAUACGCCAGGCAGCUUACUUGGGCCGGCCCAUUUGCGGUGGCAUGCGAUGAAAAAUAGCGAAAAAGGAUCACACAAACUGGGAAUCGAAACCGACGACCACUUCAAAAUUUAACUGCGUCCACAACCACUGCGAUAGCAUGCCUUUGUUGAAUGAUCUAAAGUUGGAAACAAUAAAUAAUUGACAGGCUGGGAAUUUUAAAAAGAUUUCAGUAACACUUUCUGAACUGGCGUUUUUUCCAUAAUUUCUUUCUAUUUAUUUUCCUUUUCCUGCUAUUCUUCUUUCUUUUUCAAAAAUGUUCGCGCUUUCAAAAUGUUGUUCCAAAUUUCAAACGGUUCAUUAUUUCCAAGUUUUGUUCAUAAACUAAAAAUAUUUGCAUUUUUGAAAAUUGUAUUGUAAUUUGAAAAAAUGUUUGUGACUUUGAAAAAAUGUUCAGAAUGUAAAAUGUGAAUAAUGUUUUGAAAACCACAAAUAAAAUUGUGAAAAUGAACAUUUUCUGAGAGCACGGACAAAAAAUUAAAUUCCAAAGCAUUUUUCAGAAAUGAGACUAAAUAAAUGAUCUCAUAAAAUUAUUCUAAAUUUACACGAUUAUUUUUUAAAAUUUGUCAGAAUAUUUUUGAAAAUGAGAACAUUUUCUAAAUUCCGAACAAAUUCCAGUAGUCGCCCGACAAGAGCGAUGCCGUUGCUUAGUUGGGCAAGGCCUAAAGUUUUUUCUUUUCUAUUUUUUCGUUUUAUUCUCUUUUUUGUUAAUUUAUCUUUUCACCUUUUUGAACUUUAUGGUUCUUUUUUUUAACCUGCUCAAAAAAUUGAAAUACCAAAAUAAUAGUUUUAAGGAACUAUUUUAAAUUAUGAUUUUAAUUCUUUUUUUGUUUCAAUAUUUCUUAAAUGCUUUUUAAAAAGCAUCUGUUGUUUUCAAUUCUAUUAUUUAGUAUUUAUUGAUUAUUUUAGAAAUUUAAAAUGACAGUUUGAAGUAUCUAUAUAAAUUAUGAUUUUAAAUGACCCCAACAUUUGCCAGCUGGUGGCAUGGCCAUGGUAGGCAUCCAUGCCCCAAUAUUCUUUCAUGGCCUCGUAUGACCAAUUCAAUGCACCAUGACAAGUUGUUUUGGUUUUCGACAAAUUUUGUAUUUUUCUAGAGUUUUCUCGAUAAGAAAAUGCAAAAAAAGGCCGGACGUGUUGCAACUUUCAUACUGUGUCAGAAAUUGUUCAAACCUGGCAUGGAUGCCUAUGAGGGGCAUGCCCAUCUGGUGGCAAAAGUUGGGGCCAUUUUAAGGAUGUACUCCCUCCGUCCGAAAAUACUUGUCAUCAAAAUGGAUAAUAAGGGAUGUACGUAGAACUAAAAUACAUGUAGAUACAUCUCCUUUUAUCCAUUUUGAUGACAAGUAUUUUCGGACGGAGGAAGUAUAAAUAGACCAUGUUGAACAAACUGUGUUCUCGGGCAGAAGGAUUCGUCUGAGAGCAUGUUAGUUCUCGACAUCCUUGAAAUUAAUCCAAUUUUUUUCAAGGGCCUCGUAUGACCAAUUCAAGGCAUCAUGGAAAGUUGUUUGGGUUUUCAACAAGUUUUGCAUUUCCUGGAGUUUCUUGGUGAAAAAGUAACAAUUAAUGAUAGAACAUGUCGCAACGUGCAUACGGUGUCGGAAGUCAUUCAGACCAAGUAUGGAUGCCUAACAUGGGCAUGCCCACUUGCUUGCAAAAGUUGGGGGUAGUCCUGAUAUUUCCAAAGAAAUACCAUGUUGGAUGGAGAGUGUUCGAAUAGGCUAGAAGGAUCUGUUUGCGAGCUCCAUUUCUCAUGGCCUUGUAUAACCAAUUCAAGGCACCACACCAAAUUGUUUUGGUUUUGUCCAAUUUUGCGUUUUCUGAAGUUUUUGUGGUUAAGAAGGCCGAUAAAUGACCGGAUGUGUCAACACUUGAAUAUGGUGUAGAAAAACGUCCAAACUAGGCAUGUGCCUACCAUGGGCAUGCCUACCUUCUUGCAAAAGUGGGGUUCAUUUUAAAGAUGUUCAAAAAUAGACUAUGUUCAACGGAGAGUGUUCGAAUAGUGCAGAAGGGUCCGUUUGAAAGCUCGUUGUUUACUGACAUCUGUCAAAUAACCCCAAAUAUUUUUCAUGAGCUUCUAUGACCAAUUCAAGGCACAAUGCCAAUUUGUUUAGAUUUUUGAAAAGUUUUGUAUUUUCUAGAGUUUUCUCAUUGAAAGUAGGCCGAUAAAUGGUCGGACGUGUCACAACAUGUAAAGGGUGUCGGAAGUCAUUCAAACCUGGCGUGGAUGCCUCAUAUGUCCAAGCCAGGCUCUUGCAAGAAGGUGGGAUCAUUUAUCAAUAGCCUAAAAUAUACCAGUUAGAUGAGUUUAUUUCUAAUUCCCUUCAUUAUCACUCAACAUAAACAUUUUAUUUUUUCCUAACAAUUUCUUGAAAUUUCUCAACAAUUUUGGAACUUCAAAGUGUGUAUGAAAAAUUUACUAACUUGAACACUUUUUUCCAAAAUUGUUAACAAAUUACGAAAGAAUGAUGAAAAUUUCGAACAAAAAAGCAAACCGCGUACUUCUUAAAAAAAUUGUCAACUUUUUUGAAACACAUACAUUUCUUAAAUUUGUGAACAACAAAAUUCGAAAACUAGAACAUUUUAUGAAAUUCCAGAAUAUUUUUUAUAAUUUAAACAAUAUUUGAAAACAAAAUCAUUUUAUGUUAUGCCAAACAUUUUUUCCAAAAUUUGAACAAGUUUCACAAAGAUUAAUAAAGUUCAAAAGUAGAAAAAUGAAUUAACAAAAAGAGAAAAAAAAAGAAACUAACUGCAAUGAAAAAAAUGCUUAGGCCCUAGAAAAUAAGAAUGUUUCCGGAAAAUUUAAGUAUAUUUGGAAAAAUAUUCGUAAAUUUUAAAAAUUGUUUGUGUUUUUGAAUAAUGCUCGCCAAUUUGAAAAAGUUUUGCAUUUUAAAAAAAUGUUCAGAUAUUUCAAAAUUGUUUAUGUUUUCAAGAAAAUGGUCACAAAUGUGAUAAAUUAUUCAUCUUUUCAAAAAAAUCUGCAGUUUCAGAUAUAUGUUUACAAUACUGAAAAACUGUUCUUAAACUUUCAAAAAUAUUCACAAAAUCAAAGUAUUUUUCAUAAAAAAGGGUUCGGGAAUUUGAAAAAAAUGCGUUUCCAAAAGAAGUCCAAAUUUUGAAAAAUGUUUCGUAUUUUUAAAAAUAUUCCAAUAGAUGAAAAAACACAUUAGGUUUUUUAGCUAUAAAAAAUGCUUUAGCUAGAAUGUCCUGCCCAGUUGUGUUUUCCAAAAGAAGUCCGUGCACCAAUUUUGAUCUGCUAGAGUAUUUCUAGUAAAAAAAAAGCUCCUACAGUACGUCUGUUCUAGGUAAUAAACAACUACACUUCAAAAAUAUCAGCAAAUCCAGAUGGUUCUGGUGGCUAUUAGCAGUUUCCCAACCGCUGGAGGUCCUGUGUUCGAUGCCCAAUAGGCACACUAUGUUUUGGAUUUUUGAUCGGUGCUACCGCACAUACUCUCUCUAAUGGGCCGGCCCAAAAUAGACUCAGAACAUGACAGAUCUUCGCGACGUAUUUUCUUGAAAGACCAUCCUACUCUUUAUUAUGAAAAGGUAUAGACAGAUCUCGUCCAUUGAUGUAUUCGGGGGUUGUGCCGAAGAAGAAGAUAUAGACCUAUGAGGAAUUACGUAUGCAUGCUCAAGAACCUAUGUUCGUACAUACAUACACAAAAUCAUAUAGAACAAAAGGUAUGCUCCGGUCAGAAAGCAGAGUCGUACAGCAGAGUUUUGGACAAAAGUGAAGUUCACAAAAGACCUUCAUACGAGAUAGGCCAUUGUUUCAACUCGUAGUUUAGGCCUUGCCGGACUCCUCGCAACCCGGUGGCCUAAAGGCGAUGAAGCUGACGCACUGCACCUGGCGCAGGUUGUCGAAGCCGAUGACACGGACAUAGGCGUCAGGGUACUCCUUCUUGACCUCCUCCACCUCGUUCAGCACCUGUGUGGCGUCAGUGCACCCGAACAUAGGCAGCUUCCACAUUGUCCAGUAUCGGCCGUCGUAGUACCCGGGGGAGCUGUUGUGCUCACGGAAGACGAAGCCAACCUUGCUGAACUCGAGGCAGGGCACCCACUUUGAGCGGAUCAGGUAGUCGACCUGUUUCAGGAGGGCCUCCGUGGAUAGGGGUGGCAGGUAAGACAGGGUCUCGAACUUCUUGAUGCCCUCAAUUGGCCACACCUAAAUGAAUAGAAUGCGCACAGAUGCUCAAUACUUGGUGAUAAGUCAAUUAAUUGUACUAAACUACGCUAGAAAAAAUCAGUCGACAAGCCAAAAAUUGCUCCUUAUGGGCAGCUCUCAUAUGCAUUGCUGGGUUGUUCACAAUCAAUAAAGCUUUGGUUGUACUUAGUGCUAGUAUAUGGGUCCUAUUUCGAGGAUGGGUUUGGUUAUAUACAUUGGGGAUGUUCUGCAAGUGAAUUACUUGCACUGACAAAGAAACUCAUAUCUGUUUAAUUAGUGCCCGACAUACCUGCAUGCACCUGAUCCUUCCGCCAUUGCUGACGCUGCUGAGGCUGCCGCUGGAGCGGCGGCCGACGGGGAGACCGGCUGUGGACUUGAGCCCCUGGAAGGGUGCGACGGUGGUAGCCGAGGAAGCCAUCACGGCGGGGGCCAUGGUAAUGUAUUAUCUGGAGGAGAGGAGGAUGCCGGCUACACUUGAGACCCCAUUGCCUGGUCACCACGCUAUAUAUAGCAGCGUUUCUUUCGUACAGAUGUGGUAGGGGUGGCUCACGUUCGCUGGUUGCCUCGUUUCCUUAUCUUCUCCGGAUCAGUGGAAGAAGCAUAUCCGUCGGAUGCAUUGUGUGUGCUGGAAAUUGUGUGAGGAUGGGACUUGAGUGGUUCGGCCAAAAUAUUUUUCAUUUUAUUAUAAGAUCUGCUGGCUCACUCUCUCGAAAGUGCUCAUAGGCGAAGAAUAUGCGUGUGUGCAUUCAUAAGAGAUGAUGUACAUGUGCCUAUGUGAACAUCCACGUUUGUACAAUGUUUCUCAAAAUAAAAUAUAUGUUUUCUUGGUACAAUUAACUGAACAAGCAUAGUAACCGUCCACAGGUAGAACAAGUUCUUUCCCUCUCGCAUGGCGAUUAGGGAAAGCUUUCCUCCCCUCGAUAUCCGCCGGCGAGCCUGUGGAUUUGCCUCCCCUCUGCGGGAAGGGGAUUCCUAGUGUCUCGUCUCCGGCUAGUAGAUGGGUAGGGUUUUUGUCCUCAGAGGGGUGACACUUGGACGGAUAGCGGCGCUUUUUCUUCAAGUUAGUCUUUCAGGAUCCGAUCCUAUUGAAGUUCCUCUAUUUGGGGAGCUCCGACGUAGAUUUGGCGAGCUCCUCGGGUGGCAAGGUUAGAAUUUCUCGUUAUGUGUGCGAACAAUGAAAUUUUGUGUCAGGGUCUUCAGAUCGAUUCAGGGAUUCAACGGCGACGACUGCCGCAAGAGCACUGAUCCUUAGAGGCAUGUGCAUGAAGACUCACUGGCUAUCAUCGACAAGGUCAUGCUAGCUCCAGUGUGGGAGCAAGAACAAUGGUGUGUUAGCGGCUCGUCUUCGCAGAGGCAAUGGCCAUUCGAUGGUCCAUGGACCUAGAUAAAUUUUUUAAUGUUUGAGGUGAUUUCUGCUUCCGGUGAAUCUUUAUAAUAGAUCUUGUCCUUUAGGCCAAAAAAAAAGAAACUAAACUAGGGUAGUGGCGCUUUCAUCCUAAUAUUACAUUCUUUAACAAAAAUAUUUUAAUAUAUACUAGCAAAAUGGCCCGUGUGUUGGAAUGGGAGAAAAGAAUACCACACGCUUUUAAUUUAUAAAAAAUGGUCUAGAUAAUCUGAAUAUUGGUAGCUACGGCCCAAACAAAGAUGGUCUUUGCCUACAAAAACGCAAGUUCAAGAUUCCACAUGCAUGUCUUCUAUUUAAACACGACUUGCAUGUAGAUUUAAUACAUACAAAGAAAUGGGCAAGUGAUCUUCAAUUUCGUUUCCAAUCCUGAUUUUGCUGAGAUGUGCAUCCACAAUCCGGAUCAGUACUGAUAUGAAAGAAAGAUGGAUAAUGCAUUAUAUUAACAGAUAAAAUAACAUCAUGUUCAGAUUUUAUAUUUUUUCUAAUCAAAUUCCAUAUAUAACAUGUUAAAUUUGAAGUUACGGUAUAGAAGAUAUGAGUAUUUUAAAAAACAUUUAAUAUGUAUUGUGGGUUUAAUGUCAGAAACAUUAGGGGGUUUUCUAUAAAAUAGCAUGACAGACUAAGAAUACCUAUUUCUUUUAUUAGUAGGUAUAGAUAGCAUGUUAUAUAUAGUCAAGGUUUCAAGGGUAUAAAAGUUCUCGCCUAUAAUAUAACAUGAUCCAACGGAGUGAUUUAAAAAAUAUAACUGUAUGUGUCCUGAAAAAAAAACAAUGUUCAGUAUAUAUUUAUGUAACAAUGAGCUAAGAUUUUUAUUUUGCUGAGGGAACAUAAAUGCAUAUAUAGUAUCCCUUCAAAUUUUCUCCCCUAACUUCUUUCUCCACAAUGCACCAACAGGAUAACAAUCCCUCUAGCGGGAUAUACAAGUCAUACUUAAUUAGAUAGACAAAUUCAAUCUUUGGCCAAUAACUAAUCCUUUUUUUAUUGUCAAAUUGAGCAACAAUUAAAUCCCAUAAAUGUUAUCGUUCAAAGAUUGGACGUGGAUGGUCAAAAUACACCAUAAAUAUAUCCUGGUGGAGGGAGUAAUAUUCUUUCGCCAUGCAUGAACUUGCAUCAUCAUAUGUUCCACAUCAUCCAACAUUUUUCUCUUGUGAAUCAAAAAAGAAAUAAAAAAAUUGGAAAUCAAAAAUCAUGAAAUGGAUUUAACUCAGCAUAUAAUACAUACUAAAUUGAGUUGGCUUUAAAUAUCAUUGGUUGUGUUGGGUGCAUAAGCAUUGGGUUCUCAAAGAGAAUUCAGUAAUAUAAAUAAGUUUUAUGGCGUCAAUUUAAUUUUUUUGAUAAUAAUUGUUUUAGGUCAUCAAACAUAACUGAAUAAUCUGAAGAAAGUGUUAUGGAAACCCUUCGAACUAUGUAACUAUUACAUGUGUGUAAUAUGCAAGAAAAAGAUAUAAGCAAACAAUAUAUAUUUUUUGAAUAAUUUGGAAGCAAACAAUAUAUGUAGGAGAUAUAUUGAUAAAUCAAAGCUAGAGUUGCACCAUCUUAAUGUUUGUACAACUGUGCUUCUAAACAACAUUGUAGAAGCAAGUGUUUGCAAGAACCAUACACUAGUAGAAAAAGGGGCAAAUCUGAGACACCUUAGUGCCGGUUCGAUUUUGAGCCGACACUAAUGUGUCCAUUAGUGCCGGUUCGAUUUUGAGCCGACACUAAUGUGUCCAUUAGUGCCGGUUCAAACGGCUAGCCGGCCGCUCUCAUUAGUACCGGUUCAUGGUGAACCUUUAGCACCGGUUCGUGCCACGAACCGGUACUAAAGAGAGUGGUGGCAGGAUGUUGUCAGUCUGGGGCCCGUCCAGCACCUUUAGUACCGGUUCGUGGCACGAACCGGUACUAAAGGUCGACGUACAUAAACCCUUCGUCCACCCGAGCCACUCUGUUCUUCCCCUCACUUCCUCUGUUCUUCCCCUCUCUUCCUCGAGCUCCUCACAAAUUUUGCCCAAAAUUUGUCAAGAUUUGAAGGCCCACAUCCAUUCAAAUGAUCACAAAGGUUAGCAACUUUGUCCUUUCAACUCUCAUUGCUAGAUUAGCUCUUGCAAUGCUUUGUAUAGUGAUUAAUUUGGGAGGAAAUAUAUUUGCUAGUAUUUGAUUUAUAUGCAAUUUCAGGUCAAAAAUAACACUUAGUUUGCAUAUGUAGGUGUGGUUUACUUAGUGCCUUCUAAAUCUCCGUCGUAACCACCGUCGAUCGCCCGCACCAUCCCGUCGCCGGCACCACCUUGUGGUGAGGCUCUUGUUCAUGAAUGUUUUACAUUACCAAAUUGAUGUUUGUGUGAUUUGGAUAUAUAGUUACUCGUAUAAUUGUCUUACCCGUACGUUGUUUGUUAUACAUAGUGCCAUGGUUUUGAUAUCCGUCCCCGUCGGCCCUCGUCCUUGUUAUGAUUCGGAUGUGGUAUAUUCUCUUUUAAAACUAGUUGUUGCAUUUCGUGUUUAUGACAAAUUAUGCCCAUCAAGUUGACAUAGAUAUUUUUAUCUAGGAGGUAUGUGAACCGGAAAUUCCAACCGACCCUAUUGUCGAGAGGUUAAAUUUAGUUGAAAGAGAAAAUGAGUAUUUGAAAGAAAAAUUGAAAAGAAUUGAGGGGGAGAAGAUGGAAUUGGAGUUGCAUGUUGCCGAUGUCGUCGAUGAUCACAAGAUCAAGAUGGAGAAAAUGAGGUUAAAGAUUAGAAAGAUUAGAAAAUAUGCCAUUGAUAGUGUGGCUUGGUAUCAUUAUGUUGUUGGAUCAAUUGUUGCCUUAGUUGCGGUCUUGAUCGCAUUUGUUGUUGCAUUUAAAUUCUUUAGCUAGAGAGUUAUUUGUAUGUUGCAUUUAAUUAAGUGUUGUAUAUGAACUUUAUGUAUGAACUUUAUGUAUGAACUUGUAUUAAUUUGGUUUAUUCGGUGUUAUGUAUAAUGAAGAUAUGAGCCGACAAUGGAUAUAUGAUGACCGAUGCUCUCCCGGGUUCAUUAAUGGCGUGCAUAAUUUUCUGCUUGCCGCUGAGGCAAACAAGCGGGCGGAUGGUUUUAUGCCUUGUCCAUGUGCUGGCUGUAAGAAUUGUCACAAUUACUCUACGUCAAGAACCAUUCACGUCCACCUAUUUGAGUCCGGUUUCAUGCCCCACUAUAAUGUUUGGACCAAGCACGGAGAAAGAGGGGUUAUGAUGGAAGACAAUGAAAGAAGACGACGACAUCUAUCCUGGCCAUGGGUUCCCUGAAUACGAUGAUACAACAAUGGAGGAAGAAGCUGAGCCGGCAAUGCGGGAACAAGCUGAAGAAGAGGCAUCAGAUGAGCCCGCUGAUGAUCUAGUGAAAGGAUCAAUAUGGUUGACUAGAGGGGGUGAAUAGGCAACUAACAAUUUUUAAGCUUUUCUUUAACAAUUUAAACCUUGCGACAAAAUAGGUUGUCUAGAUAUGCAACUACGUGCACAACCUAUAUGAUGCAAUGACAACUAGCACACAAGCAAGCAAUAGAUACAACACAAGUAAGCUUGCAAAAGUAAAGGCAUGAAAUAACCAAGAGUGGAGCCGGUGAAGACGAGGAUGUGUUACCGAAGUUCCUUCCUUUUAAGGGAAGUACGUCUCCGUUAGAGCGGUGUGGAGGCACAAUGCUCCCCAAGAAGCCACUAGGGCCACCGUAAUCUCCUCACGCCCUCACACAAUGCGAGAUGCCGUGAUUCCACUAUUGGUGCCCUUGAAGGUGGCGACCGAACCUUUACAAACAAGGAUGGGGCAAUCUCCACAACACUUGGAGGCUCCCAACAACACCAUGAAGCUUCACCACAAUGGAGUAUGGCUUCGAGGUGACCUCAACCGUCUAGGGUGCUCAAACGCCCAAGAGUAACAAGAUCCGCUAGGGAUUAGUGGGGGGAUCAAAAAUCUCUUGGUGGAAGUGUAGAUCGGGCCCUUGUCACCCAAUCCCGAGCAAAUCAACAAGUUUGAUUGGCUAGGGAGAGAAAUCGGGCCAAAAUGGAGCUUGGAGCAAUAAUGGAGCUUGGAGGUGGAAGAGGUGGUCAACUAGAGGUAGGAGACGCCCCUUUUAUAGUUAUGGAAAAGAUCCAACCGUUAUCCACAUGUUUAGCCUGCGAAAUGCGGUACUACCGCUCCAGGGGCACGGUACUACCGCAAGGCCAUGCGGUACUACCGUGGAGGACCACGGUACUUCCGCGGCAGCAGCAGAGGCCGGGACUUGCCUGACUGGGUGCAGUACUACCGCUUGCGCGGUACUACCGCUCCCCCUUGCGGUACUACCGCAAGGCAGGAAAGUCAAUGCCUACAAAGAGCGCGGAUGAAAUAAAUUAUAUCCAUGCCUACUUCCGCUGAAAACGAAACAGUGCAAAAAUCCGACGCGGUACUACCACGCAUGAGGCGCGGUACUACCGUGGAGGCGCGGAUGUAAAAAAUUACAUCCGCUCCUACUACCGUGACGCAGCGGUACUAGGUAUAAGGGCCACGGUAUUACGACUCCGGGGGAGCGGUACUACCGUGGCCUCCCACGAUACUACCGCGCAGGAUGUGCGGUACUAUCGUGGGGGCGCGGAUGUAAAAAAUUACAUCUGCCCCUACUACCGUACCGGAGCGGCACUAGGCCUGGGAGCCACGGUACUAAGGCUCUAGAGGAGCGGUACUACCGUGACCCCUAGCGGUACUACCGCAGGUGCUUGCGGUAGUACCGCUCCAUAGAGCAGUACUACCGCAAGUACAACAGUAGCCGUCAGAUGAAGCACAACUAGGAUAACAGAGAGAUGCUCCAAAGUGCAAGGGAAAGGAAGGACAUGUGUACGUGUUGAUUCCACCCGAACCUUUCUGACACGAACCCCCUCUUAAUAGUACAGCUCUCCUACGACUCAAAUCCACCAAAGAGAAACGUAGAACAACGCCGUCUUCAACAGUCUUCGAGGGGCACCGAAUCGUCUCGUGCCUAGAGAUGAAGCGUCUAAGAAACUAAAGGCACACGAUUAGUCCGCAAAAGCAUUGUCAUCAAUCACCAAAACACUUAAGGGAUAAAUAUGCUCUUACAAUCUCCCCCUUUUUGGUGGAUUGAUGACAAUACGGGAUUUGCACAUAGAUGAGAUAAUAUAGGGCACAGGAAAACCCCUCCUCUCUAGAAUAUAGACGGGCUCCCCCUAGAUGUGUGCAAUCUAGAUAGAUGCUUUGGACUGCAUCGCACACAACCUAGGAUCAACACUCCCCCUAUAUUAUAGAGACAAAGGCAUGAUAACUAACAUCUAAGCAGAGCAUAUCACAAAGGUAGCACAAUAUAUCACAAGCUUGCUAAGAUAGAUAGAGUGCAUAUGUCUUACACCAUAUGAAGUAAAGCAACCCAAAGCAACUGAAACGAGGUUCAAAGAGAAAGCAGCAAACACGAACGAUGACACAAGACGUGCAAAUCCCUACACUCUCUCCCCCUUUGGCAUCGAGACGCCAAAAAGGCAGAGAGGACACCUACACACACGGGGUGGCUCAAGCAGGGAACUCAUCCCAACCCUCUCCGUCGGACUCCUCGGCAGCAGGGAUGGUCGCCUCGACGUCCUCCUCAGAAUUAGUCCACCUAUAGCCUUGCUUCUCCAUCCACUCGGCCUCUGGAGUGAUGCGAUCCUCAGAACCGCCAGACACAUCCUCACCAUAGAGCUGCAAGAUCUUCUUGUCCCGGCGAUGACUCUCCUUGGAUGCCAUGUGAGUUCUGUACUGGCCCUUGGCUUGCAUGCAGAAAAGAGUCUUCAUCUUGUCCUUCAGCUUCUUGGCCCACGAGGGCAUAGAGGAACUAUGGGAAGUCCUGGCAGCACGGUCCUUAGCAACAUCCUCUACGCCAACAUCCUCCUCAUCAACAGCAGCCCUAGCAGCAGACGCCUCAGCGCGAGUAGUAGUGUUAGCCCAGUUGGACUUGACACAGAGACAGAUGGGAUCAUGGCGAAUCCAGUCUGGCUCAAGGAACUCCUCACCAGGGAACAUCUUCUCCCAAGUCUUCGAUAUCAGCAGAAAAAGAUAAGGACCAUAGAUAGGCACUUUGCGGUUGAACACCGCAAACCGAAGCUCACACCACAUGAUGUGUGAGACAUCAAGUGGCUGAGUCUGAGACAACCGAGCCUUGUCCUUGUCACCAAUGCGAGGGAACAAGGAGUUGCGAAAGAUGCGAUACAUGAUAUCCAGAAAAGAGUUGAGCACAAACCCCGUCUUGCCAUUGGCAAGUGCCUUCUCAACAUAGUAUGGUUGAAGCUUGUCCUUGUUAGCAGACUCAGGAUUAGCAUGGGGGCGAACACCCACGGGAGUGUUGAGCCCGUCAUCAGGAACGUGGAGCAGGUCCAUGAACUCCUUCCAAGUAGCAGUCAUCAUACGGCCAUUGGUCAUCCAGGUCAUCCUCCGCUCCUCAUCAUGGUGAAAGUAUACUGAGGCAAAGAACUGACAGAUGAGCUCAAGGUCAUAGUCAAGGUGAAAAGAGAUCACAUGCUCAAUACCAAACUGCUCCACCAGGUCCAGAGCUUCUCCAAAGUACGCACGAUACUGGUCCUUCCUCAUGUGAUGCAUUUCUAUCCAUUUGACAUCCACAUAGGUAUUAUGCUUAUUCUUGAUGACAUCCAGAUAAAUGAGAGUCUGUUGCUUGUUCCAAAACAGCUCACAACCUUUGACAGUAGCACGAGGGUUCACAUACGGGUUGAGCUUCCUGAGACGGACAAACUCAGAUUGGGGUAUCUCGUCCAUGCCCUUAGCGGGUUCCUUGUGCUUGCUAGCUGAUGACUUGACAUGGCGCUUGGGAGCAGAGGAGCCCUCUGGUGCUUCACCUGGAUUGCGUAGACGCUUGGAGCCCGUGUCACGACUAGGGUUGGAACGGCGAGAGCCACCACCUGAGACACACACGCAAAACACGCACGAAAUGCAAAAAGGAUCAAUGCAAAGACCACGGUAAAGCACAAGAAACACAUAGAAAGUAUACAUGAAAGUUGCCAUGAGAUAGAUGUGAGCCACGGUAGUACUGCCUGAGCCUGCGGUACUAAAAUUUUAGUACCGCUCCAGGGUGCGGUAGUACCAUGCGAGGCACGGUAGUACCAUGGUUGGAGCGGUAGUAAAGUUUUAGUGCUGCAGUGAGUGCGGUAGUACCGCGCCAGAGGGCGGUAGUACCAAACAAGCGGUAGUACCGCGCCAGAUGGGCGGUAGUACCGCACCGCGUCAGAUCCAAGCGAUGGUUUGAAUCUGAAAAGAACCGCGAAACCCCGGUAGUGCUACGGUGAUCAAGUCUAGCACAGUACAAAGUACAAGUAUAAUUCCUACGCAAUACUAUGCUCCUUCAUCCUACUCUUGCAAAGAUUAAGCCUAAGAAUCUCAAGAACACACAAGUCUCCCCCAAAACCUAGAGACAACAAACACAACAAAAACGAGAAGGAGUUGGGGAAAGACCUUGGUCCAUAGCAAGAGCACGUGGUGGGGAGCGAUCCCACCGGUCGGAAUCACGGGAGGGCAGCCGGAGGCGGAGAUCCGAUGACGGAUGCCGGCUCCGUUCUUGAGCGAGGGAGAGAGAGAGACAAGAUGGGGAACGGGCGAAUGGGUAUGGGGGAGUUAGAACUCCCCCUGGCCGUCCUUAUCCCCACUCGUCCGAGCCGUCACGGUAGUACCGCAUAUCAUUGCGGUAGUACCACUUGGGCGGAAGUACUGCACCGAAGCGGUAGUACCGCUCUCCCAGGUGGCAGUAAAAAAUUACUGCCGUAUGGGGGCGGUAGUACCGUGCUCCCCUCAUGCGGUAGUACCGUAGUAGGCUGCGGUAGUACCGUGAGCUCAAGAAAAAGCUGGUUUCGACACACGAAAAGAGGUCUUUGCAAAGAAACUUCUAGCACAAAAAGACACCACAAGAACAUGAACAACCCAAAGGCAGAAAGACAACAAGAAGCAACCGCGCAACCCAACCUCUCAAAAGGAGAGGGGGUGCCGGAGCCACCUAUGUUUGAGUUAGUUGGUAUGGCACCGCGAAGAAUUAUCCUUGGGCCCAUGACCAAAACUCAUCUUUGAAGCACAAGUACCAUAAAAAAUGGCUAAUGUGAAAGAGUUGAUCGAUUUAUGCAUAAUGGGGGGAGGGAGAGUUCAUUGACAGAACAACACUCCCCCUAUGUCCAUGCCUACAUCUAAACUAGACAACAAGUUGAGUGUGGUGGGGGUGCAAGGGUUCAAGUCACGUUGCUCGAAUCAAUGAUAUUUAGCUCAUGCCUUAACUCGCGAAAUCUUGCUUCAUCCAAGGGCUUCGUGAAAAUAUCUGCAAGGUUAUCAUGAGUGUUGACAUACUUGAGCUCGAUCUCCCCUCGCCUAAUGUGAUCCCGGAUGAAGUGAUACCGAAUCUCAAUAUGCUUCGUCUUGAAGUGUUUCACCGGGUUGAGAGAAAUCUUGAUGGCACUUUCAUUAUCACACCAAAGAGGCACUUUGUCACAAAUGACACCGUACUCCUUUAAAGUUUGCCUCAUCCAUAAGAGUUGUGCACAACAACUACCGGCCGCCACAUAUUCCGCUUCGGUGGACGAGAGAGACACACAACUUUGCUUCUUGGAAGACCAACUUACCAAAGAGCAACCAAGAAAUUGGCACCCUCCGAAAGUGGACUUCCUAUCCACCUUAUCUCCCGCCCAAUCAGAAUCUGUGAAUCCUUCAAGCUUGAAGUUAGCUCCUCUUGGGUACCAUAGGCCAAAGUUUGGGGUAUGAGCCAAAUAUCGAAAGAUUCGCUUGACCGCCACAAAGUGGCUUUCCUUUGGUGCGGCUUGGAACCAUGCACACAUUCCCACACUCAACAUGAUAUCCGGUCUAGAUGCACAAAGGUAAAGCAAGGAACCAAUCAUAGAGUGAUAUACCUUUUGAUCCACCGCUUUACCAUUGGGAUCAAUGUCAAGUUGGCACUUGGUGGGCAUCGGAGUAGAGGCCGGCUUGACAUCACUUAGCUUGAAUCUCUUAAGCAUGUCUUGAGUGUAUUUGGCUUGGUUGAUGAAGGUACCUUCUCUUCUUUGUUUGAUAUCAAAACCAAGGAAGAACUUCAACUCUCCCAUCGAAGACAUCUUGAACUUAGAGGUCAUGAGAGUGGCAAAUUCUUCAUUGAAAGCAUUGUUAGGGGAACCAAAGAUAAUGUCAUCAACAUAUAGUUGGCACACAAACAACUCCCCUUUGACCUUCUUAGUAAAAAGAGUGGGAUCAAUUUGCCCUACUUCAAAUCCACGAUCUUGUAACAACUCGGUAAGGUGGUCAUACCACGCAUGUGGGGCUUGUUUAAGGCCAUAGAGUGCCUUAUCAAGUUGAUACACAUGAUCCGGGAAGUAAUGAUCCUCGAACCCGGGGGGUUGCUUGACAUAAACCAACUCAUUAAUAGGACCAUUAAGAAAAGCACUUUUCACAUCCAUUUGUUGUAGCUUAAAGUUGUGAUGGGAAGCAUAAGCAAUCAACAAACGAAUGGAUUCAAGGCGAGCAACGGGAGCAAAGGUUUCACCAUAGUCGAUACCCUCAACUUGGGAGUAGCCUUGUGCUACCAAUCUUGCCUUGUUGCGAAUGAUGUUCCCAUGAGCAUCUUGCUUGUUCUUGAAGAUCCACUUGGUUCCAAUGACGUUAUGGUUCCCCGAAGGCCUUGGCACCAACCUCCACGCCUUGGUGUACUUGAAGUUGUUGAGUUCUUCAUGCAUGGCAUUGAGCCAAUCCGAGUCUUCGAGCGCCUCAUAGACCUUUUGGGGUUCAACACAAGAGACAAACGCGUGAUGCUCACAAUAGUUUGCUAAUUUUCUACGAGUGCUUACCCCCUUUCUUAGGCUUCCAACCACAUUCUCCAUGAGAUGGCCUUUGGUGGUGAGUUUGGAAGCAAUCUUCGCGGCACGACGCUCUAAUUCCUCCUCGGAUGUGGAAGGAGGAGGGUUAACUUGAUCAUCUUGAGCGCCGUCUUGAGCUUGUUCUUGAUCUUGAGCUUGCUCAUGAUCUUGAACUUGCUCGAGGGGGAGAACUUGACCUUGGGCAUCAUUUGGAGGUUCACCAUCAUCUUGAGAUUGAUCUUGCCCUUGGUCUUGUUCCCGAGGUUGAGGGCCUACACUUUGUUCUUCGAAGCGUGUGGGUCUUGAGUAGGUGAAGGCUCCACUUGAGUGGAGCAUUUCCCUUCUCCUUCGGCCACAAGGGGUUCCUCAAUGGGUAGAAUAUGACCAAUACCCAUUCUUCUUAUGGCUUGGGGAGGAAUUUCAUCACCUACAUCACAAGUACCACUUUGCUCCACUUGGGAGCCGUUAUUUUCGUCAAACUCCACGUUACACGUCUCCUCAAUGAGUCUGGUGGACUUGUUGAGAACACGGUAAGCAUGAGAGUUUGUAGCAUAACCAACAAAUAUGCCCUCAUAAGCUCUAGCCUCAAAUUUAGACAAACGAACACCUUUCUUGAGAAUGAAACACUUACACCCGAACGCUCGGAAGUACUUGAGAUUGGGCUUGUUUCCGGUGAGUAUCUCAUAAGGAGUCUUGUUCAAGCCUUUGCGGAGAUAGAGCCGAUUGGAUGCAUGACAUGCGGUGUUGAUGGCUUCGGCCCAAAAGUUGUAUGGAGACUUGAACUCCGCCAUCAUGGUCCUUGUCGCAUUCGUCAACGUUCGGUUUUUCCUCUCCGCAACACCAUUUUGUUGAGGGGUAUAUGGUGCAGAAUAUUGAUGCUUGAUCCCCUCAUCACUAAGAAACUCAUCCAAGGUGUAGUUCUUGAACUCGGUGCCGUUGUCACUUCUUAUUGUCAAGAUCUUUGCAUUAUGUUGACGUUGAGCUUCAUUUAAAAAGUCGAUGACGGUUUGUUGAGUCUCACUCUUCCUCUUGAAGAAGUAUACCCAAGUGUAUCUUGAAUAAUCAUCCACAAUCACCAAGCAAUACUUUCUACCCCCAAGACUAUCAAAGGAUGGAGGACCAAAGAGGUCCAUGUGCAGGAGCUCCAAGGGUCUCUUCGAGUAGAUGAUAGUCGUGGGAGGGUGAGCCGUCUCAUGAAGCUUUCCUUCGAUACAAGCACUGCAAGCACGAUCUUUGGCAAAACUAACAUUUGUUAGUCCACGGACAUGUUCCCCCUUGAGAAGACUUUGCAAAGAUCUCAUAUUGACAUGGGCUAAACGGCGAUGCCAAAGCCAUCCCACAUCAACUUUAGCCAUUAGGCAUGUCGCGGUCUUAGUGGGUUGCUCCUAAAAGUUAAUCACAUAGAGACUGUUCUCGACAUGCCCAACAAAGGCUACUUUAAGAGUCUUGCUCCACAAGAGGGCCACGGUAUCAAUAUCAAAGAAGGUGGCAAAGCCCAUGAGUGCGAGUUGACGAACGGAAAGUAAAUUGAACGCAAGGGACUCAACAAGCAUGACUUUCUCGAUUGUUAGAUCAUGAGAAAUGACAACCUUGCCAAGACCCAAUACCUUAGAAUGCGAGGCAUCACCCCACUCGACAUUGGUGGGCAUAGAUGGGAUCUUUUGGACGUCCACCACCAAGUCCUUGCUCCCGGUCAUAUGAUUUGUUGCUCCACUAUCAAGCAACCAUGAUCCCCCACCGGAAGCAAACACAUACAAGAGAUCAAUGCUUGGUUUUAGGUACCCAUUUAGUAAUGGGUCCUUUGAUGUUAGUAACAUGGGUCUUAGGAACCCAAAUAGACCAUUCAAUGUACUCAUAAGAAGAACCAACAAAUUUAGCAUAAACAUGCCCAUCACUAGCACGGCACAACACAUAAGAGGGGUUAAAGUCGCCGGCUUUGUUGGGAGAGAUGGCUUUGCGCUCUUUGGCAUCACCACUCUUCGCAUUCUUCUUCUUCUCCUUAGGAGCACCCUCUCCCUCCUUCACAAAAGUUUGCUUGAGCGGGGGAGGUCAUUUGGUCUUGUUAUUCUUCUCCUUGUUCUUCUUCUUGUUCUUGGACUUGGGUGAAAACCCAACUCCCUCCUUGCCCACAACUUCCUUUUGAUUGCUCAAAAGGUCAUUUAGGUUCUUCUCACCUUGUAUGCAUGACACAAGUCCUUUCUCGAGUUGUUCCUUCAACUUGACAUUCUUCUCCACAAGAUGCACAUGCUCACAACACGGGUUAGUAGCAUUUGCAUUAUCAAUUAAGACCAUGUGAGGAAAUGUGGCCUUUUCCUUGGUUAGCUUAACUUGGAGUUGAGCAUGAGACUCCUUGAGGUUUGCAUGAGCACUUUUCAAGACCUUAUGGGCCUUGUCAAGUACAUCAAACUCCUCCUUGAGUCUAGCAUGAUCAACCCCAAGCUUAGCCUUCUCGGAAGUUAGAACACGAGACACAACAAGAGCAUGAUCAAGAUCUUUCUUUAAUUUGGCAUGGUCAUCAUUGUGUGACUCCUCAAGAGCCAAACGAUGCCCACGCUCUUCCUCAAGAGCAUUAGAGAGAUCCGAUAUCUCAUCGGCAUAGUCAUGACUAUGACCUUCCAUCUUAGAGAUGGUUUCUUCGUGAGCCUCAAUCAUGUCAUUGGCUUCACCAAGUUGUUCCAAGAGAGCAACGAAGUGCUUCUUGGAUUUGCCAUUGAGCUUACUCAUGAAGGACUCAAAUUCAUUUACCUCCUCAUUAUACCCCUUACCAUCAUCAAAGCCAACCGUUGAAGAAGGAUUAGGAAUAAUGGUGGUUUUGAUGUUGGGGGUUACCUUGUUGGUGGACUUAGCCAUGAGGCACUUGGCGGUGAUGUUCUCGUUGGGUGAAUCGAAAAGAGACACCCGGGGAGUUGUGGCAAUGGCAACGGAUGCCAUGGCCAUUGCUUCACUAUCUUCAUGAUCAUCAUCAUCCUCACGGUAUUCUUCUUGAACCACCAACCCGCGAGUAGGAGUCUUCUUGGUGAAGUUGUUCUUGUUGGGGAAGGACUUGGCCUUGUCUUUUCGGAUGAACUUGCCACGAUUGUCUUCCCACUUCUCGUAAGGACAAUCCGCAACGAAAUGGCUCACAUUGCCACAGUUGAAACAAGUUCUAACUCGUUGCUUUCCAUUGAUGCCACUUGAGUUGUUCUUGUUGAAGUUGGGUCUUGUAUUCUUCUUGCUCCAGAAUUGUCUUAAGGCAAGAGCCAUGUGCUCAUGAUAAUCAUAUUUUGUGUCUUCGGGGUUGCUCUCCUCAUCUUAUUCUUCUUCCUCUUCUUCCACAUUGACCUUGGCCUUCAAGGCAAGGUUGGGCUUCUUUGCCCUUUGAUAACGGAGCACCGCAUUAUCAGCGGUCUUGUCCAAGAUGCUCAUUGCAACGAACUCAUCCAACACUUCACUUGAGGUCAUGGAGUGGAAGUCCGGUCUUUGAUGAAUGACGGAGGACAUGGCCUUUUUGUAGGGCAUCAUGGCCUUGAGGAACUUGCGCUUGAUCCAAUUGUCAUCCGUGUCCUUGCUCCCAUGAUCUCGGAGUGCGACCACGAGUUUGGUCACUCUUCGAAAGAGCUCACGAGGUUCUUCAUCUUCUUUCAUUGCAAACUCAUCAGCUUCAUCUUGCACCACUUCAUAUUUGGAGCGUUGAAUGCUAGAACUUCCUCGAUAGAGAGACAAAACACAUUUCCAUGCGUCUUUAGCCAUGGCAUGAGGUCGAAGAUGAGGGAGAUCUUCGGGAAGGAUUGCAUCUUGGAUGAUGAAGAGAUCACUCUCAUUGAAUUGAUUAUCCACGGCUUCUCGAGGGGUGAAGUUGCUUGGGUCAUGUGGAUAGAAACAUUCUUCUAUAAUUCUCCAAAGAUUAGUGUUUUAAAUGACGCUUGAAACGAUACACCCAAGCAUCAAAAUCCUCAUUUUUCACAAUCUUAGGAGGAGGACCGGCAUGAUUUAAAUGAGUAGUGGGAAUCGGUCCACCAUAAGUAGGAGGUUCCACAUGGGCAAAGAUGUCGGAGCCAUUUCUACCACUAGUAGAAGGACCUUUUUCACUAUUAGCUUCCCCCUUGUCAGAGGUGGCAUCCGUCACCUUGUUAGUGGGAUCACCCACUUUCAUCGGCGAGGUGGAUAGUUUAAGUCCUUCUAGGAAUUCAGAAAACAUGCUUUUAACCUCGGCCGUCAUGGAGGUUUUCAAUGUGUCUAAAGCCACAUUGAAUUCCUCACGUGAGACCGAGGUUCCCCCAUCGGCCGUAGACGAGAUAGGAUUCACAUCGGAGUGCUCCUCCACACCGUCGUUGGUGUCAACCAUACUCUUCGGACGGCAAAGUCCUUAAUAAAGAGACGAGGUUCUGAUACCAAUUCAAAGGAUCGAUAUGGUUGACUAGAGCGGGGGUGAAUAGGCAACUAACAAUUUUUAAGCUUUUCUUUAACAAUUUAAACCUUGCGAAAAAAUAGGUUGUCUAGAUAUGCAACUACAUGGACAACCUAUAUGAUGCAAUGACAACUAGCACACAAGCAAGCAAUAUAUACAACACAAGUAAGCUUGCAAAAGUAAAGGCACGAAAUAACCAAGAGUGGAGCCGGUGAAGACGAGGAUGUGUUACCGAAGUUCCUUCCUUUUAAGGGGAAGUACGUCUCUGUUAGAGCGGUGUGGAGGCACAAUGCUCCCCAAGAAGCCACUAGGGCCACCGUAAUCUCCUCACGCCCUCACACAAUGCGAGAUGCCGUGAUUCCACUAUUGGUGCCCUUGAAGGCGGCGACCGAACCUUUACAAAGGAGGAUGGGGCAAUCUCCACAACACUUGGAGGCUCCCAACAACACCACGAAGCUUCACCACAAUGGAGUAUGGCUUCGAGGUGACCUCAACCGUCUAGGGUGCUCAAACACUCAAGAGUAACAAGAUCCGCUAGGGAUUAGUGGGGGAGUCGAAAAUCUCUUGGUGGAAGUGUAGAUCGGGCCCUUGUUACCCAAUCCCGAGCAAAUCAACAAGUUUGAUUGGCUAGGGAGAGAGAUCGGGCCAAAAUGGAGCUUGGAGCAACAAUGGAGCUUGGAGGUGGAAGAGGUGGUCAGCUAGAGGUAGGAGACGCCCGUUUUAUAGUUAUGGAAAAGAUCCAACCGUUAUCCACAUGUUCAGCCUGCGAAAUGCGGUACUACCGCUCCAGGGGCGCGGUACUACUGCAAGGCCAUGCGGUACUACCGUGGAGGACCACGGUACUUCCGCGACAGCAGCAGAGGCCGGGACUUGCCUGACUGGGUGCAGUACUACCGCUUGCGCGGUACUAUCACUCCCCCUUGCGGUACUAUCGCAAGGCAGGAAAGUCAGUGCCUAUGAAGAGGGCGGAUGAAAUAAAUUACAUCCGUGCCUACUUCCGCUGAAAAUGAAACAGUGCAAAAAAUCCAACGCGGUACUACCGCGCACGAGGCGCGGUACUACCGUGGAGGCGCGGAUGUAAAAAAAUUACAUCCGCUCCUACUACCGUGACGCAGCGGUACUAGGUAUGAGGGCCACGGUACUACGACUCCGGGGGAGCGGUACUACCAUGGCCUCCCGCGGUACUACCGUGGGGGCGCGAAUGUAAAAAAUUACAUCUGCCCCUACUACCGUAGUGGAGCGGCACUAGGCCUGGGAGCGACGGUACUAAGGCUCCAAAGGAGCGGUACUACCGUGACCCCCAGCGGUACUACCGCAGGUGCUUGCGGUACUACCGCUCCAUAGAGCAGUACUACCGCAAGUACAGCAGUAGCCGUCAGAUGAAGCACAACUAGGAUAACGGAGAGAUGCUCCAAAGUGCAAGGGAAAGGAAGGACAUGUGUACGUGUUGAUUCCACACGAACCUUUCCGACGCGGACCCCCUCUUAAUAGUACGGCUCUCCUACGACUCAAAUCCAUCAAAGAGAAACAUAGAACAACGCCGUCUUCAAUAGUCUUCGAGGGGCACCGAAUCGUCUCGUGCCUAGAGAUGAAGCGUCUAAGAAACUAAAGGCACACGAUUAGUCCGCAAAAGCACUGUCAUCAAUCACCAAAACACUUAAGGGAUAAAUAUGCUCUUACAUCUAGGUCGGGCCAUUGCCGAUGCAAAGAGAAACCGCGCAAGUGAUUUGGAGAGGAAGAAGUUGCAGCGCAUGUUAGAGGAUCACAAGAAAUUGUUGUACCCAAAUUGCGAAGCUGACAAAAAAAGUUUGUUACCACACUGGAAUUGCUGCAAUGGAAGGCAGAGAAUGGUGUAUCUGACAAGGGAUUUGGAAAGUUGCUGGUAAUGAUAAAGAAUAUGCUUCCAAUGGACAACGAAUUGCCUGAGAGUACGUAUGAAGAAAAGAAGGUUGUCUGCCCUCUAGGGUUAGAGGUGCAGAAGAUACAUGCAUGCCCUAAUGACUGCAUCCUCUACCGCGGUGCGUACGAGGAUUUGAACACUUGCCCGGUAUGUGGUGCAUUGCGUUAUAAGAUCAGUCACGAUGACCCUGGUGAUGUCGAGGGCGAGCGCCCCAGGAAGAAGAUUCCUGCCAAGGUGAUGUGGUAUGCUCCUAUAAUACCACGGUUAAAACGCUUGUUCCAAAACAAAGAGCAUGCGAAGGCGAUGCGGUGGCACAGAGAAGACCGUAAGAAAGACGAAAAGUUGAGAGUACCCGCUGACGGUUCGCAGUGGAGAAAAAUCGAGAGAAAGUACAGGGAGGAGUUUGCAGGUGACCCAAGGAACGUAUGGUUUGGUCUAAGCGCAGAUGGCAUUAAUCCUUUUGGGGAGCAGAGCAGCAACCAUAGCACGUGGCCUGUGACUAUAUGUUUGUAUAACCUUCCUCCUUGGUUGUGCAUGAAGCGGAAGUUCAUUAUGAUGCCAGUGCUCAUCCAGGGUCCUAAGCAACCCGGCAACGACAUUGAUGUGUACCUAAGGCCAUUAGUUGAAGAACUAUUACAGCUGUGGAAUGGAACAGGUGUACGUGCGUGGGAUGAGCACGGACAGGAAGAAUUUGACCUAAAGGUGUUAUUGUUCGUGACCACCAAUGAUUGGCCUGCUCUCAGUAACCUUUUAGGACAGACAAACAAGGGAUACCGCGGAUGCACGCACUGUUUGGAUGAUACUGACAGUAUAUAUUGGAGUGUUGUAGGAAGAAUGUGUACCUGGGACAUCGUCGAUUUCUUCCGAGCAGGCAUCCCGUAAGAAAGAAAGGCAAGCAUUUCAAAGGUGAGGCGGAUCAUCGGACGAAGCCUCGCCACCGUCCUGGUGCUGAUGUACAUGAUAUGGUCAAGGAUUUGAAGGUAAUCUUUGGAAAGGGUCCUGGCGGACAACCUGUUCCCAAGGACGCUGACGGACGCACGCCCAUGUGGAAGAAGAAAUCUAUAUUUUGGGAUCUGCCCUAUUGGAAAGACCUAGAGGUCCGCUCCGCAAUCGAUGUGAUGCACGUGACGAAGAAUCUUUGCGUGACCCUCCUUGGCUUCUUGGGCGUGUAUGGGAAGACAAAAGAUACACCAGAGGCACGUGAGGACCAGCAACGUAUGCACGGAAAAGACGACACACAUUAGGGUCAGGCCAGCUAUGCUCUUACCAAAGAAGAGAAGGAAAGCUUCUUUGAAUGCCUGCUCAGCAUGAAGGUACCGUCUGGCUUCUCGUCGAAUAUAAAGGGAAUAAUAAAUAUGGCAGAGAAAAAGUUCCAGAACCUAAAGUCUCAUGACUGCCACGUGAUUAUGACGCAACUGCUUCCGGUUGCAUUGAGGGGGCUUCUACUGAAAAAUGUUCGAUUAGCCAUUGUAUAGCUAUGUGCAUUCCUCAAUGCCAUCUCUCAGAAGGUAAUCGAUCUAGAAAUCAUACCAAGGUUACAGAAUGAUUUGGUGCAAUGUCUUGUCAGUUUUGAGUUGGUGUUCCCACCAUCCUUGUUCAACAUCAUGACGCACGUCCUAGUUCACCUUUGCAAAGAGAUUAACGUUUUGGGUCCUGUAUUUCUACACAAUAUGUUCCCCUUUGAGAGGUUCAUGGGAGUUUUGAAGAAAUAUGUUCAUAACCGUGCUAGGCCAGAAGGAAGCAUUGCAAAGGGCCAUGAAAAUGAGGAGGUCAUUGAGUUUUGUAUUGACUUUAUUCCUGACCUUAAGCCGAUUGGUGUUCCUGAAUCGCGGCAUAAGGGCGGUGAGGGAGUCCUGGACUAGGGGGUGUCCGGAUAGCUGAACUAUCAUCAUCGGUCGGACUCCAAGACUAUGAAGAUACAAGAUUGAAGACUUUGUCCCGUGUCCGGAUGAGACUUUCCUUGGCGUGGAAGGCAAGCUUGGCGAUACGGAUAUGUAGAUCUCCUACCAUUGUAACCGACUCUGUGUAACCCUAGCCCUCUCCGGUGUCUAUAUAAACCGGAUGGCUUUAGUCCAUAGGACGAACAACAAUCAUACCAUAGGCUAGCUUCUAGGGUUUAGCCUCCUUGAUCUCAUGGUAGAUCUACUCUUGUAAUACCCACAUCAUCAAUAUCAAUCAAGCAGGACGUAGGGUUUUACCUCCAUCAAGAGGGCCCAAACCUGGGUAAAACAUCGUGUCCCUUGUCUCCUGUUACCAUCCGCCUAGACGCAUAGUUCGGGACCCCCUACCCGAGAUCCGCCGGUUUUGACACCGACAUUGGUGCUUUCAUUGAGAGUUCCUCUGUGUCGUCACCGAUAGGCUCGAUGGCUUCUUCGAUCGUCAACAACGACGCAGUCCAGGGUGAGACUUUUCUCCCCGGACAGAUCUUCGUAUUCGGCGGCUUUGCACUGCGGGCCAAUUCGCUUGGCCAUCUGGAGCAGAUCGAAAGCUACGCCCCUGGCCGUCAGGUCAGAUUUGGAAGUUUGAACUUCACGGCUGACAUCCGCGGAGACUUGAUCUUCGAUGGAUUCGAGCCACAGCUGAGCGCGCCGCACUGUCAUGAUGGGCAUGAUUUAGCUCUGCAGCCGGACAGUGCCCUGGAGGCCGCACACGAGCCCGCUGCGACCCUCGAUUCGGAGCCGGCUGCGCAGAUCGAGGACGGGUGGCUAGACACCGCCUCGGGGGCUGCAACCUCUACGGUGAUGGAGCCGAAUACUGGCAUUGUCCCUUGUGAAGCUCAUGACUCCGAGGUGCCGGACUCCUCGCCGGACUCCGAACCUCCCGCGACCCCUCCAAUCGAAUCCGAUUGGGCGCCGAUCAUGGAGUUCACCGCUGCGGACAUCUUUCAACACACACCUUUCGGCGACAUCUUGAGUUCGCUAAAGUAUCUCUUGUUAUCAGGAGAGCCCUGGCCGAACUGCGGUCAGGACGGUUGGGAUGCGGACGGCGAAGAAAUUCAAAGCCCACCCACCACCCACUUAGUAGCCACUGUCGACGAUCUAACGGACAUGCUAGACUUCGACUCCGAAGACAUCGACGGUAUGGACGACGAUGCCGGAGAUGACCAAGAACCAGCGCCUACUGGGCACUGGAAAGCCACCUCAUCAUAUGACAUAUACAUGGUAGAUAUCCCAAAGGAUGGGAAUGGCGAAGGAACAGCGGAGGAUGACCCCUCCAAGAAACAGCCCAAGCGCCGGCGUCAGCGGCGCCGCUCUAAAUCCCGCCACAGCAAGAAUGGAGAUUUCGGCACCGGAGAUAAUAAUACCCCAGACAGUGCCGAAGACAACCCCCUCCAGCAAGAUUCAGCACAGGAGGACGAAGAAGCCAGCCCUCAUGAGAGGACGGCAGACGAAGAGGUAGAGGAUGAUAAUUACAUGCCUCCCUCCGGAGACGAGGCAAGCCUCGACGACGACGAAUUUGUCGUGCCUGAGGAUCCCGUCGAACAAGAGCGUUUUAAACGCAUGCUUAUGGCCACGACAAAUAGCCUGAAGAAAAAGUAGCAACAGCUUAGUGCUGAUCAAGAUCUGCUAGCCGACAGAUGGACUGAAGUCCUUGCGGACGAAGAGCAUGAGCUCGAACGCCCCUCCAAAAGCUACCCCAAACGCAAGCUGCUCCCCCGAUUAGAGGAGGAGGCAUAUAAACCUGCAUCACCAGCACACAAUACGGCUGACCGACCACCCCGUGGCCGCGACAGAGAGGCCUCUAGGCCCUCCACUAGAACCGUACCCCGGCAUCGCUCGAAAAGCACAAGACCGCAGGGGAACGCUCUGGACUUGCGAGAUAUAUUGGAGGAUAAGGCAAGACAAUAAAGAUCGAUCUACGGAUCGCGUAGGCGCCCCAUGAUACGUGACGACAACCGUCGCGCUGAACGCAGCAAGUCCGGUCGGGCCGAACACAGUAGACAAAGCUCUUUUGAGCUUCGUCGUGAUAUAGCCCAAUACAGAGGCGUCGCACACCCACUACGCUUCACAAAUGAAGUAAUGGAUCAUCAAAUCCCCGAAGGGUUUAAACCCGUGAAUAUUGAAUCUUAUGAUGACACAACAGACCCCGCGGUUUGGAUUAAAGACUAUCUACUUCAUAUCAACAUGGCCCGCGGUGAUGAUCUUCACGCCAUAAAAUACCUCCCACUCAAGCUUAAAGGACCAGCUCGGCAUUGGCUUAACAGCUUGCCAGCAGAACCAAUUGGGUGUUGGGAGGACCUGGAAGCCGCAUUCCUUGAUAACUUCUAGGGCACGUAUGUGCGACCACCAGACGCUGAUGACCUAAGCCAUAUAAUUCAGCAGCCAGACGAAUCGGCCAGACAAUUCUGGACACGGUUCUUAACCAAGAAAAAUCAAAUCGUCGACUGUCCGGAUGCGGAGGCCCUCGCGGCCUUCAAACAUAACAUCCGCGACGAGUGGCUUACCCGCACCUGGGACAGGAAAAGCCGAAAUCAAUGGCAGCCCUCACAUCACUCCUGACCCACUUCUGCGCGGGAGAGGACAGCUGGCUAGCCCGCAGCAACAACCUCAGCAAAAAUUCUGGCAGUCCGGAUAUCAAGGACCGCAAUGGCAGGUCGCGUCGCAACAAGAACAAACGCCGCAUUAACGGCGACAAUAAUGAGGAUAUGACAGUCAAUGCCGGAUUCAAAGGCUCUAAACCCGGUCAGCGGAAAAAGCCAUUCAAAAGAACUACUCCGGGUCCGUCCAAUUUGGACCGAAUACUCGGGCGCUCGUGCCAGAUACACGGCACCCCCGAAAGGCCAGCUAACCACACCAACAGGGACUGUUGGGUAUUCAAGCAGGCAGGCAAGCUAAUUGCCGAAAACAACGACAAAGGGCUGCAUAGCGAUGACGAGGAAGAGACCCGACCACCGAACAAUAGAGGACAGAAGGGUUUCCCCCCACAAGUGUGGACGGUGAACAUGAUAUACACAACCCACAUACCCAAAAGGGAGCGGAAGCGUGCACUCAGGGAUGUAUACGUGAUGGAGCCAGUCGCCCGAAGUUCAACCCAUGGUCCUCCUGCCCGAUCACUUCUGAUCGAAGGGACCACCCCACCAGCAUCCGCCACGGCGGAUUCGCCGCAUUGGUUUUAGACCCAAUCGUCGAUGGAUUUCACCUCACCAAAGUCCUGAUGGACGGCGGCAGCAGCCUGAACCUGCUUUAUCAGGAUACAGUGCGCAAAAUGGGCAUAGACCCUUCAAGGAUUAAACCCACAAAGACGACCUUUAAAGGCGUCAUACGAGGUGUAGAGGCCAAUUGUACAGGCUUAGUUACACUGGAAGUGGUCUUCGGAUCCCCGGAUAACUUCCGAAGCGAGGAGUUAAUCUUCGACAUAGUUCUGUUCCGCAGCGGCUAUCAUGCUCUGCUCGGACGUACCGCGUUUGCAAAGUUCAACGCGGUGCCGCACUACGCAUACCUCAAGCUCAAGAUGCCAGGCCCUCGAGGAGUCAUCACGGUCAACGGAAACACUGAACGCUCUCUCCAAACGGAGGAACAUACAGCGGCUCUCGCGGCAGAAGUACAGUGCAGCCUCUUAAGGCAAUUCUCGAGUCCGGCCAUUAAGCGACCGGACACGGCUAAACGCGCCCAAAGUAACCUACAACAAGACCACCUGGCACGUUCCGAGAACGCGUAGCAAUGCGGACCCAACCCCAGCCCCUGCAAAAUUGCAAGACUGGUCCUUCGCAUACAUCAUUACGCUCUGGAGAUACCAUGGGCAUAGGGGGAGGGGCACGACCACGAUAGGCCCAGAAUGCGGCUUAACCACACCAGGGGCUCUCAAGUGUGUCGUUCUUUUUUUUCUUUUUCUCUUUUUUCUUUUUUUACCCACAGGACUCCGUUCAUCAGAGGCCCUGUCCGGCAGUAGACCUGCCGAACUCACGAUGCAACAGCCAGGGAAGGAGAAAGGCUACGACGAAUAUCCAGGUGGUAUCCAUUACGAGCAUUAAAUCUGUUUUAUACACCAUUCCGCGGCCUACCCCUGGAGGGGGACAUGUUUAAUAGUCCCAUCCCUUGCUUACCGCACUAUUUGUAUCGCUCUGCAUUCACGGCAGUAUUUCUUGAAUAAACAAUGCAGCACCUUUUUGCUUAUAAUUGCAUUUCUUUCUUAUACAUAUGUUCAUUUAUGACAUGUUGCAUCCGUACACUUUGGUACGGCUAAAUACACCAGGGGCUUAUGUUUCCCGCAUCAUGGUGUGAUAAGUCCGAACACUUUCACAAGUGCGGCACCCCGAACUUAUAGCAUUAUAUGCAUCGGCUCCGAAUCAUGUCUUGGGUCAAUAGUUGGGUUUGCCCGGCUCCCAUGUUUUGGUACCUUACGUUCCGUUUUAUCGGCUAAGGUAGCACUGGGAGAACCACUGCGAUUGCACCCCAGUUGAGCUGGGCGAGCGCCUCAAUGGAGAAAGCUAAAACUGACCGUCAUGAUGAGGCGAGAGCCGGUCGCUGUUCGAGAGGUUUUUCUCGAGUCCCUAAAGACUUAUGCCGCUUAGAGCGAGGAACCGGCUUUGUCCGGCCCAGGCGUGGAUAGCGCCCCAAAUUCGGCCUUCUGAACACUAGGAGCUUCGCUGAAAUUUAAAAUUAUAGAAUUCUAUGGCUAGGUGAGAGUGUUCAAGCAUUAUAAGUCCGGUUGCCUCGUUCAUUGUGUUGAGCGUCUCCCUAGAUGGACCCAAAAAUGGGAACAAGAAUGCUCAAAUUUAUCCCGAACACCCCAGCACUCAUGGCAUGGGGGCUGAAGCCGAUGACUUGCCAUCUCUCAGAUUUGAUAAACGGCCGCACAUAAGGUAAUAUUUUAAAUUAACAAGCAUUGCUUAGCGCAUAUGAACAAAGUUUUCAGCGCACAGGAUAAAAAAAUGCGAGUCUACUCAAAUAUUACAUCUUUGGAGCACUCACCCGCAAUAAUGCGGGCACCCUUCAGGACACUCUUAUAAUACAUCUCGGGCGUGCGAUACUCCUUGCCCGGUGGCGGCACGUCCGUCACAAGCUUCUCAGCAUCCAUCUUGCCCCAUUGCACCUUUGCGCGGGCAAGAGCCCGACGGGCACCUUCAAUACAGGCGGAGUGCUUGAUGACUUCAACCCAUGGACACGCAUCCACCAGCCGCCGCACCAGGCCGAAGUAGCUCCCAGGCAUGGCCUCCCUGGGCCACAGCCGAACUAUGAGGCCCUUCAUGGCCUGUUCGGUCACCUUGUGGAGCUCGACCAGCUGCUUCAGCUGGUCGCUAAGGGGCACCGGAUCUCCGGUCUCAGCAUACUGAGACCAGAAGACCUUCUCCGUCGAGCUCCCCUCCUCGGCCCUAUAGAAAGCGGCAGCAUCGUCACGCUGCAGGGCAGAUCUGCGAAUGCUCCUGGAGAGCUCCGAAUUCGGGUAAGUGAUAGGUAAUUCACACUCACAUGCUUGCUUUGCAUGAAAAAUGCCUUACCCGCCGCUAUUUUCUUCAACGCCUCGAUUUCCUAGAGGGCCUUGUAGGCUUCGGCCUUAGCGGCUUUGGCACUCUCAAGAGCCGAUGCAAGCUCGGACUUUCGAGUCUUCGAGUUGCGCUCCAAACUCUCAUGUUUUUCCACGAGAGCCUGGAGCUCUUGCUGUACCUCCGCCACCCGCGCCUCCUGCUUCUCUCGCUCGGUGCGCUCCGCGGCCGCAUUACGUUCGGCUGCGGACACCGCCUCCUUCAGGGUCGCCACCUCGUUCGUGGCCCCUGCAAUACCCACGUUAUCCUUGUCAUUCUUCUUGCAACCAAAUCCUUUUCUGUAAGGUACAAUUUUAAUAAGGUGUUACUCACCUUCCUUGUCCUCGAGCUACUUCUUGGCACGGCCGAGCUCGUUCUCAGACCGCUCGAGGUUUUCCUUCAAAGUAUUGACCUCCACAGUCAGUGCGGCAGAGGUCAGCAGCACAGCCUGCAAUCCCAUAUUGACAUAUUUUUUAUGACUCCUGUGUAUAUCUUUUUAGAUCCUCAGUCCGGCUUUUCUUUCCGAACACCGAACUGAGCAUCAGGGGCUACUGUCUAUGCGGUACUAUUUUACAUAUAUCAAAAUUCUUACCUUAAAGCCUGUUAGAAGGCUGCUGCAGGCUUCGGUCAGCCCGCUCUUGGCGAGCUGAACCUUCUGAAUCACCGCACUCAUGACGGUGCAGUGUUCCUCUUCGAUGGAAGCGCCGUUGAGCGCCUCCAGCAAGCUAUCCGGCGCCUCCGGUUGGACGGAGGCCGCCGGCGUCACGGUCUUGCCCUUCUUACGAAGGGGCCGCCCGCCGGACUCCGGAGCCACUACAGGUUCCGGUGCGGAGUCCGGUGCAAAGUCCGGGAGGUUGUCUUGCGGCACCUCCGGGGCCUCCUCCUCCUGGCGGGUCCCUUCCCAGGAUCCCACCUCAGCAUCGUCCGCAUCACGGGGGGUGGAGGCGGUCGGAAGGGAAUCCAUAUCCGACGCACCCAAGGACCCGCUCGACGAAGCGGGAAGAUCAUCCUUGGGCGGAUUGCAGGGUUGUAUGUCGCAUUAGAAAGACACCAUGUGGCGAAAAGAAAAAUCAUGAAGUUAUUCGGGAGUCCGGAUACUUACGAUCUCGCCAGGGGCUUGGCCCUUGAAGGCCAAUCCUCGUCGUCGUCGCCGGCGUUGGCAGAGCAGUCCGGGGGAAGAGUCCUUCCCUUCUUGGACCCUCCGGCCUCCCUCGUUGGGGAGGCCCUCCUUUUCUUCCCUCCUCCCGCUGGGGGAGAGGCCUCUUUCUUCUCCUCCCCGCCUUCAUGGGAGGAGUCCGCAUUGGAGUCAUCGGGCGAUGAGUCCGAUGACACCUAAAAACGGGAACUCUUUCGAGUACCCGUGGCCUUCUUCUUGGCCUUCUUCUCCCGCACCACAUGGGGUGCUGGAACCAACAGCCCCGUUAAGCGGGCGUCCGCUGGGUCUUCUGGCAAAGGGGCCGGGCAAUUAGUCCGCUCGGCCUUCUUCAACCAGUCCUGUCAAAGGAGAGGGAGUUUAGAUCCCGCAUAGAGUCAAACUAUGGAAAACAAGUGCCCCGUAAAGGGUAAAAUCGCUUACCUCGCUAGCCGGACGCUGCGAGCUAAAUCCGCGAUCUUCGGUAGCGGAUGCGGGAGCCUCGGCGCCCUUAAACAGCACCCUCCAGGCCUCUUCGUACGUAGUGUCGAAGAGCCUACUCAAAGUCUGGUGCUGCGCCGAAUCGAACUCGCACAUAUUGAAGUCCCGUUGUUGGCACGGGAGAAUCCGGCGGAUGAGCAUGACCUGGACUACGUUGACAAGCUUGAGCUUCUUGUUCACUAGCUUUUGGACACAGGCUUGGAGUCCGGUCAGCUCCUCUGAAUCACCCCAUGUCAGGCCACUCUCUUUCCAGGAGGUGAGCCGUAUGGGGAUGCCAGAUCUGAAUUCGGGGGCCGCUGCCCAUUUAGGGUCAUGCGGCUCGGUGAUGUAGAACCACCCCGAUUGCCACCCUUAAUGGUUUCCACGAAGGUGCCCUCCAGCCAAGUAACGUUGGGCAUCUUGCCCACCAUGGCGCCUCCGCACUCCGCUUGUUUGCCCUUCACAACCUUCGACUUGACACUUAAGGUCUUGAGCCACAAGCUGAAGUGGGGCUGGAUGCAGAGGAAGGCCUCACACACGAUGAUAAACGCCGAGAUGUUGAGUAUGAAAUUCAGGGCCAGAUCAUGGAAAUCCAGGCCGUAGUAGAACAUGAGCCCCCGCACAAAGGGAUGGAGUGGGAAGCCUAGUCCGCGGAGGAAAUGGGAAAGAAAUACUACCCUCUCAUGGGGCCCGGGGGUGGGGAUGAGCUGCCCCUCGUCGGGGAGCCAGUGCACGAUGUCGCUGGACAGAUAUCCGGCGCUGCGCAGCUUCUUGAUGUGCUCCUCCGUAACGGAGGAGGCCAUCCACUUGCCUCUCGCUCCGGACAUAGUUGGAGAAGGUUGAGGUGAGAUGUGCGGACUUAGGCGCUGGAGCUCGAGUUCGCGGAGAUGGAUAAGCUACAGAGGAAGAAGGCGUAGGUAAAAGGGUGGAUCUUUAUCCCCUUAUAUGGGCGGACGAAACCAUGCGUCCCCACCGGCCUGAUAAAACUCGCUUAUCUCCCAAGCGUCGUAAUCAAUGGCGUGGUUGGGUUACCCACGUCCGUAUUGAUGAGAAUCCCGGAAUAAGGGGAACACGAUCUCUGCUUCGACAAGACGUGCCAAGGAAACUGCUUCGCUAAACGCGCGGAGGUGGUAUAAUAAAAACGAUUCGAGUAAAGGCUUGGUUGUGGUGUGAUGUCACGCCACAAAAUACGUCAACAGAUUGAACUUGUGUAAAUAUUAUUCUCUCUACGGUGGUAUGUGGAAUUUGUUUUGCAGAGCCGGACACUAUCCUGGUGUUCACGAUCUUCUAUGAAUUAUUCGGAGAGGAACCCACCUUGCAAUGCCGAAGACAAUAUGCGCGCCGGACUCGUCUUCAUUGAAGCCUGGUUCAGGUGCUACUGAGGGAGUCCUGGACUAGGGGGUGUCCGGCUAGCCGAACUAUCAUCAUCAGCCGGACUCCAAGACUAUGAAGAUACAAGAUUGAAGACUUCGUCCCAUGUCCAGAUGGGACUUUCCUUGGCGUGGAAGGCAAGCUUGGCUAUACGGAUAUGUAGAUCUCCUACCAUUGUAACCGACUCUGUGUAACCCUAGCCCUCUCCGGUGUCUAUAUAAACCGGAUGGCUUUAGUCCAUAGCAUGAACAACAAUCAUACCAUAGGCUAGCUUCUAGGGUUUAGCCUCCUUGAUCUCGUGGUAGAUCUACUCUUGUAAUACCCGCAUCAUCAAUAUCAAUCAAGCAGGACGUAGGGUUUUACCUCCAUCAAGAGGGCCCGAACCUGGGUAAAACAUCGUGUCCCUUGUCUCCUGUUACCAUCCGCCUAGACGCACAGUUCGGGACCCCCUACCCGAGAUCCGCCGGUUUUGACACCGAUAGGCGGACUGGAUGGAAAAGGCACGCUAGGAGGGGAUCAAAUAAUAUGUAUGGACGGGCAUUCUCUCACUGAAGCACACUACACAGUUCUACAGAAUUCCGCCUUGGUGACUCCGUAUAUGGAGGAACACAAGAAUUUUCUACACUCCAAACACCCGGAGAAGUCUGACGACUGGAUUACACGUGAACAAACAAGGACUUUCGCCGGUUGGUUGCAGAAACGUGCCAUGCACGAUGGCGAUAUUGAAGAUGACCUAUACUCGCUGUCCCAGUUACCAUCUCCGAAUAUAAUGACUUUCAAAGGGUACCGAAUAAAUGGGAAUACAUUUUACACGAUCGCCCAAGAUAAGACGAGCACCGGCCAGGUGGCUACGCGGUGGGAAUGCCUAGGUGGGAUAAGUCUGAGCAAGAGAUGGAGGGUGCAGGGGUCACUCCGAUUACUAGGAGCUGGCCCCCCAGGUGCAGAACUUGGUUCUAUGCGCAUGGGGGGGCGUUGGACCCGAAGACAAUCCUGGUUUCGAAGAAGGCAAGUCUAAAAGGAGACGAACAAAAGAUACUUGACGCAAUAGAAGAAGCUCGAGCGGGGGUGUUCACGCCCAACAGAGAUAACGACGAGCUUACGCGCGCCCUGGGAAAUCCUGAACACCCGGGAAGAAUACGAGGCAUGGGCGUUAUUCCCUGGUAUGAGGGCUUUUUGGACUGGAACGAUGACUAUAGGUCCCGUGCAAGAAAGAAGAUGGAGGAGGAGAAGAAGAGGAAGCUGGAGGAAGAGCAGAGGAAGCAGGACGCAGAACGCCUUCAAGGCCUAGAAGCAAGGCACGCGGACUUGGCACUCAAAUUCCAGUAGCAGCAGCAGCAGAUCGACUCGCUUAGCCAGGAAAGGGGGUCUCAGCAGCGGUAGUAGCAAGUGGAUGAUCAUCCAUCAUUGGAUAGCACUGUCCCAUCCAUGCCGAGAAGCAGCAUUGGUUCUGCCCCGGGCGACACACUGCUGGAUACAUACCAUCCUGUGGAUGACAUCAUAGAGAACACUAACUGUGAGCUACACUCCAAAAUGAAGAACAUAUCCAUGAAGGUGGCGGACGGCGUUGAUUUCACAAUUACCCCUGAAGCAACCUUCCAUUGCAUCCCGAUUCCAAAGGGCUAUGCUCGUGUCAUGGUUGAUGAAGUGGUGGAGCCAUAUUCGAUGCUAGCACUUGACAUUGCUAGAGGUGACGGCGAGCGCACACUGGGAGAGGCCGUACAUCGUAUCAUCCUAUGGAGAAAGUAUUGCAUCAUCUUUCCAAGUCCACCGACACCGCGUCGUCUGCCGACUCCUCCUCGAAGUCCGCCACCGAGUCAGCAGACUCCCGCUCCUCCAAGUCCACAAACGCGUGAGCCGACUCCUCCUUGAAGUCCGCCACCACCUCCAAGUCCCCGAACGCUUGAGAAGACUACUCCUUCAUGUCCGGCACAGCGUCAGGCCACUCCUCCUGCUUCAAGUCCGGCACAGCGUCAGCCACGUCAGUCGUCUCUGCCGUCUCAGUAAUCGCAGAAGAGACACGCCGCAGCUAUGGUGCGUAGCGGUACGAGUCGAGGUAGUGCAGGAAGUACAGGCGGAGACAAGCGAUAUAAAUAUGGCCCAAGCAUCGCUCCUCUUCCUGAAAGGCCUUACGACAUGACCGAGGAGCAAAAUGCAGCCAUAGUGCAGGCCCAAGUGGACGCCCAUUUUGGACAGAAACCGGCACCGCCGCCAAAGGAGAAAGUGCCUGAGAAAACGAUUGACCACUUCAUUCAUAUGGCUAGAGCACCAGCUCCCAAGCCCGUUGACUCAGACUAUGAGCGUCAAAUCAGGAAGCUACAUCGAGCACGUCUACAGAAGGAAGCGAGCUCGAGCUCGAGCCAACAAGCAGCUGGCAAAAAAUGCGGGAAAACCGUUCCCCAGCUGGGAGAACAGGCGGCGCAAGCGAUCCCCCCGCUUGUUGUGCCAACAACACAUGAGAGGAGUACGCGCGCCAAAUAUUAUUGUGGGCAAACCGUUAGCGUUUCCCAGCAAGGCGAUGUGGUAAUAACGAAGGAGUAUAUAAUGCAGGCUGAAAUGCUCAAGAUCUUUGUUGGACAACUCCUCAAAAUCGAGCCCAUGUCUCCGCUUAGAGAAUCGGAAAUAAAAUAGAAAUAUGUCCGGGGCCAACCUUUGGUCCAUCUAGACAAGGUCAAGGACCUCCCAACGAGAAUGUAUGAAUUGCAUCAAUGGUACAUGAACAUUACCAAGAUUUCCAAUCGAGAGUCCCUCAUGGUGAAUGUCAAGCAUAAGCAUUAUUACCAUGAGAAAGCUCUGGCCGUUGAGUAUCCAGAACUAUUUCAGUUAUACAAUCAAGACGCACUCGACAAGUCUAUCGGAAGUUGCUAUUGUCUGUAAGUGAUUUCUUUCUGUAAUUUAAGUCUCAAGCUAGUUAUGUAGUGAUAAUUUUGAUCAAUCAUUACAUGUAAUUAUUCUCACUAUAUUCUUUUCUGUGGUAUUAUAUGCAGGAUGAAGAUGUAUGAAAUAAAAAAAUCUAGACGCUAUGGCAUUGGGUUCGUUGACCCAAAUACCAUUAAUAAGGACAUAUGGAAGCUUCCAUUUUAUCAAGCAGGUGUAGAGGAAAGCAUGCUAGAGUUCUUGAAGCGCCUCAAUACCAAUGAAGAUAUACUACUUCCUUACAACUUCCCGUGAGUCAAACUGUCUUGUACUACAAAUUCUGUUUUUGCUUACUAGCUAGCUAGAUGUUAAUAAUUAAGUGUAUACGGUUUACGGUAGUUGAUUGAUUUUAUGCACAUGCCCGCUUAAUUAAGACAAGCAAACGUGUGUGCAUGUAGUUGGCACUGUGUCUUGUUAGACACAAAGUUGAGGAAAGAAGAGUUGAAUUACUGGACUCACUAACUAAAGAAGAUAAAGACUUCACCAUCGUGAAGGGGAUAGUCAACAGGUAAUUUCAAUCAUUAUUAACUAUAUCUCGGCCUAUUAUUAGUUCGUCAUUUCCUGAUAUGAACUAUUUAAUAACCCCUUUAUUAAUUUUCUUUGCCGGCGGGCAGGGCAUGGGCAAAGUUCAUCAAGGUGACUCCAGACAACUGGGCAAAAAAGUUGUUUUGGCAUCGACCAAAAGUAAGUAAUUAAGUAGUACUAGCUAGCCACCAUCUCUUUAAUUCUUGUUUCAAUAUCAUUAAUUAAUUAUCAUGCUUGAUUAAUCAUUAUCUGAUUCAAUUCCAUUCUCGUAAAGGCCCUGAAGCAGGCGUCGGGGAAUAAUCUGUGUGCAUUCUACGUUUGCGAGAACAUUCGCAUGAUGACGUCCGAAAGGAGCAGAUCUGAUAGACAGGACUGGGUACGUUUGUCAGAACACUAUUCACACCAUUAUCGAUAUCUAGUCACACAACUAACACACAUGCAUAUUGAUCUCCUUAACAGUUCAGAGAGGUGCGGGAUAAGCUCCUACCAUCGGACCGCAUACUAGCACUUCAAGAGGAAAUAGCCGGAUUUUUGCUUGACCAUGUCAUAGAUCCCAAAGAAGAAUACUAUUACCCGCUACCGCGCCCAUGAACCACUUGUCAUCGUGCACUGGAGGCACCAAGGCAACAUAUGUAGGAGAAAUUGUAUAUGUAUAUACAUGUGGAUGUGUGAAUAAUUAAUGGUGUUGGUUGUGAGACAUUUGAUGAUAUAUAUGUAUAUAUAUGCGGUUCUACGUACGAGAAAAUCUAUUUAUAUAUAUGCAUAACGUGUACAAUUUGUAGUAUCGUGAAAUACCAGCAAAAAAAAUUUGAAUAAAAAAUAAAGCCAAAACCCCCCAAACAUUUAGUACCGGUUGGUGUUACCAACCGGUACUAAUGUCCUACGCGCACACGGGUCUGGCUCGUGCCACGUGGUGUCACUUUAGCGCCGGUUCGUGACGAACCGGUACUAAAAGGGGAAGGCUUUAGUCCCCACUCUUUAGUGCCUGUUGGCAAACCGGCACUAAAGACCGUUAAGAACCGGCACUAAAGGACGGUUCUGCACUAGUGAUAUCUGAAAAGGCAUAUGUUCAAUAAAAAAAGAAAAAUAAUUGCCGACACCUAGUGCAUAGCAAUGAAUCAAAGCCUAUCUAAUUAAAACGAAAACAUAAUACACGGAACAAGCAUAAAGAACAUGUAGAAGGUACAUUUUUCCAUCAAUAGAGCUUCAGAAUUAACUUCAGUGAAACAUUCAUGUUAUCACAAGAGUGUGAUGUGCAUAUAUAUAUUCAUGAAAAACUGGAAGUUCCGUAGAAAAAUAUACCAUCUUUCAAGAAAAACACUACUUUUGAGAGAUCAUACUGGCAUGCAAAAUUGGUUUUCUUUCAAAUGAUAAUUAGGAAGUUCUAAAACUCCAGGUCAUUCUCCAGCGGCACUACUUUCAGUUUUCCACUCCAAUUGUAUCGGCCACAACAUUGAUCCAGAUUUUGCAGAAACACUUAUAUUGUUGAACUGAACUUGAUCUCAAGUCAAUGUUUAGUUUAUAAAUAAUUUCUAUAAGUGAUAUAUCUUUCAGUGUAGAUACAUUCCUUGAUGGUGUGUAUUUCUCAAGACUACUUAGUGAAAAUAUAGCAGACAUCAAAUGAAAUGUAUAAUUUUGUAAUGGAAAAUCAAAAUGAAUGCCACAGAAAGACCCCAAAACGUCAUAUAAGAUCACCAUUAACCAUCCAAAUCUAAGGUCACUGCAUUCGUUAUGAACAAAUUCUUUGCCGCGAAACUAAACCAAGCCAACACUAAUUAUGUUUCAUUAUAGGAGACGAUAGUUAUUUCUUCAUUUAAAGUGUUGAUAUGGCUCCACCAUGGUAUUAGAUGUUGCCUUUUACUAUACGUUGUGAUAUCAUCUUUUUUUCUAAUCUAGUAAAACAUCUUCAUAUAGGUCUCACAAUACGAAAACCCUCCUCCGCACGCGUGCGUUGGCUGGGUGAUGAAGCGCUCUGCACAAUAAGUGAGGUUCCCACCGCGUGUUUCCAAACUUCCGCAUGUCGCUUAAUUGAGAAUGGUGGCCCCAUAUAGCAUAGCAGCCCACAGCCAUGGAAUCAAAUGUCUUGGGCCCACCCCACCUGUUACGCGCAUUUGUGAAAGGGCUAGUUCUGCUGGCAUCACGGUUUUCACUUUCAGUCAUAUAUCUUUGAAUUUCACCAAAUUCCGGUAGACCACGAAAUAUUUACCUUUCGGUCAAAAUAUUUCAGUCAUUUCGGUUGUACACAUGAAUUCAAAUAUUUUUUUAAACAUUUUCAAAUAUUUUUUUGAAUUUCAAGUGAAUAUUUUGGUCUUUUGGUCAAGAUGCAAACCGAAAUUACUGGAACUUAGUAAUUUUGGUAGGUACUGAAAUAUUUCUGAAACAGAAAUGAAAAAAACAUGGGUGGCAUGGCAUGCAGGCCCACCCCGUGAUCAAUAUAAAAUCUCCACCUAAAUUUCUGGUGGGGUGGGGGCUAGUUUCCCUAGAAUAAUGAAUAAUCAAAGGAAACAAAAAUAUCACUGCAUAGUUUCCUAAUAGGGACGUGGACAGCCAGUCGAAAAUCGANNNNNNNNNNNNNNNNNNNNNNNNNNNNNNNNNNNNNNNNNNNNNNNNNNNNNNNNNNNNNNNNNNNNNNNNNNNNNNNNNNNNNNNNNNNNNNNNNNNNNNNNNNNNNNNNNNNNNNNNNNNNNNNNNNNNNNNNNNNNNNNNNNNNNNNNNNNNNNNNNNNNNNNNNNNNNNNNNNNNNNNNNNNNNNNNNNNNNNNNNNNNNNNNNNNNNNNNNNNNNNNNNNNNNNNNNNNNNNNNNNNNNNNNNNNNNNNNNNNNNNNNNNNNNNNNNNNNNNNNNNNNNNNNNNNNNNNNNNNNNNNNNNNNNNNNNNNNNNNNNNNNNNNNNNNNNNNNNNNNNNNNNNNNNNNNNNNNNNNNNNNNNNNNNNNNNNNNNNNNNNNNNNNNNNNNNNNNNNNNNNNAUUCACCCAAAAAAUAAUUCAAAUAUAAUUUUAGCCUGACCUGCCUGUACCUCCACAAUGUAAUGGGCUACUGUUGUUUGCAAGUAAUUGUUUCCUAAUGUUAUGACUGAAUAUGGAUUGUCUCAUGAGACGUAUAGGGGGUUUUGCCUCCUAGGCAGGUUUUAUGGCAAAAUUGAUAGUUUCGUCAUGGAAGGACCGAUGUUUAUGACACAAGCACAAAACAUCACAGAUAAUUCAUCGUAGAAGGCCAAAAUAUUACUAGUACAAGGUAUCUUGGGGAUCAUCAAUUGGAUAUGUAAUUUGCACAUACUUGUGCCCUCUACACAUUCUUUCGUUUAUUGGAAUUUCUGUAAUACUGCAAAAAAAAAUAGUACCUAAUUGCGGUGUAAAAUGGUUAGAAAAAAUGGCAUGUCUUUGAUGAAUCGAUGCAGGAAUAUGGCUCACAGGACAAGUGCAUUAUAGUAGGUUUGUCCUUGUCUUGUUUUGACACCUUUGUUUGUCCUUUUUUCUUCCUUUCUUUUUUGCUUUUUUUGUUAUUAUCUGUUUCUCGUCAAUUCCCUACUGUUUUGCCACUAGUUUUCAAGGGGGUCUCACCAUCUUUUAUGUGUUUCUCCACUCUAAAGUACUUUGCUAUUCCAUCACAAUUUUAGCAUUAGAAAAUACACAAUAUAUGAUUGAGCAAAAAAUGCAUGAGAAGAAAACAAUGCAAGACAUAGGCAUUUCCAGCUGCAAACAAAGUAACCAUUCCAUCGAUUGAUGGCAAGACACUAAUCCGUUGAUUGCAUAUAAUAUAUAUGUGUAUGUAUAGCCGGUGCUAUAAUUCUCAUAUGCAUCCUCCUCGACCUACGUUGGUAGGCGCUUACAUACAUAUGCUCAUAUAUUCACAUAUGAGUAGAACGAGAAGUAAAACUGAGAAAGCAGAGCUGCCGACAAAUGUGAACUAACAUGACAUGUAUAUCAGUUAUUUCAACUUGCACUUUAGGCCUUGCCAGAUUCCUCGCAACCUGGUGGCCUGAAGGCAAUGAAGCUGACGCAUUGCACUUGGCGCAUGUUGUCGAAGCCGAUGACGCGGACAUAGGCGUCAGGGUACUCCUUCUUAACCUCCUCCACCUCGUUGAGCACCUGUGUGGCGUCGGUGCACCCGAACAUAGGCAGCUUCCACAUUGUCCAGUAUCGACCGUCGUAGUACCCGGGGGAGCUGUUGUGCUCACGGAAGACAAAGCCAACCUUGCUGAACUCGAGGCAGGGUACCCACUUGGAGCGGAUCAAGUAGUCGACCUGCUUUAGGAGGGCCUCCGUAGAGAGGGGUGGCAAGUAAGACAGGGUCUCAAACUUCUUGAUGCCCUCAAUUGGCCACACCUGAAUAGAUGGAAUGAACACAAUUGAUCAACACUUAGUGCUUAAAGAAAGACCUAACAAUAAGGCAAAAAUUACUCCUUAUGGUCUUCCAUACAUUGUGGGGGGUCUCGACAAGCAAGAAAGCUCAAGGACAGCUCUUGCUUAUGGGUAGUGUACGGGCAUUAAAAAUGAUAUUAUCUACUCCCUCCGUUCCAAAUUAGUCGUUGCUGAAAUGGAUGUAUUUAGAACUAAAAUACAUCUAGAUACAUUCAUACGUGCGAUAAGUAAUUCGGAACGGAGGGAGUAGUACACAUUGCAAUAAAAUCGAUUUCCAUUCACCAAGUUUAUGAGUUAAAUAUUCCUACACAUGUGAACCUGCUUACGGACUACAUUGUGAUGCACUAUCUAUGUUUAGUUGGCCUGGUAUGUUGGUUACACGUCCUAAGGAUAGCUUUGCCUUUGUGCAGUGGAAAUACCCAAUAAAUUAAUCAAUUGGGCCGACAAGAAUAUUCAUGGCAGCUUAGUGUCCGUCAUCCUUCGGGAAAAAAAUUGAAAAGAAAGAUAACCUCAGCCUCUGUAUCAAGGAUGCAUACUGUCAAUUUUAUUAUGUUAUUCAAUUGUGUCUAACAAAAAAAUGCAGUUUUAAUUCAAAACCACCUUCCAGACGAACAAAAUUGCUACACCUAUAAGUAUGAUGAUGUGCCUUGACCGCACCAUCCUUCGCCAAAAUAAUAUUUAGCUUUCAUACCUGCAUGCAUCUGAUCCUUCCGCCAUUGCUGACGCUGCUGAGGCCGGCGCUGCCGGAGCGGCGGCUGACUGGGAGGCCGGCGGUCGACUUGAGCCCCUGGAAGGGUGCGACGGUGGUGGCGGACGAAGCCAUCACGGCUGGGGCCAUGGCGGAGUACGUGAAUUGCUAGGUGGGGAGGCGAUAGCUAGCUAGGCCACACUUGACUUGAGGCCUCCUCAUGCCGCUCCAGUAUAUAUCAGCAUAUGCGCAGCGCCGGUCCUUUCAAACGAGAUUUCGAAGGGGUGGUCGUCGUUUGCUUGCUGCAAGGCGCCUUAUCCCUCUAGAUCAGCGGAAGAGGGGUGGAAAAUAAAAAUGAAUGCGACGGAAAGACCCCAAAACGUCAUAUAAGAUCACCAUUGAUCAUCCAAAUCUAAGAGCAUCUCCGGCCGUGCCCCCAAUACGGACCCCUCACGCGAUUUUUUCGCCCCGGCGCCGAAAAAACGGUCCAGUCGUGCCCUCGGGAGCCCGUUUUUCGCCGGCUUGGUCCGAAAUCAGUGCCGGCGGACCCAGGCCGAACCCGGGGCGAGCGGUUUUGGCGCGAAAGAGACGUGGGUCCGUCGAGUCAGCGACGCGCGUGCCUCGUCGUCAUCGGAACGCCUCGGUUUUCCGCGUGGAAUCAAUGGCAAGGCUGACGGGCAGCCUUGCCAUUGAUUCCUCACAGGCGGCACGUCACGGGCGGCGCGGCAACGCCUUCCCUCCCGCCACGCGUAUACACGGCGCGGGCUAUAUAAACCGGUGGCCUCCCUUGCCUCUGGCCACACCAGCCCACAGCCGCGCAUCGACCGCCGCCGAGCUCUCCCUCUCUCUCCAUGUGCAGCCGCUCGCCGACGCUUCUCCCUCCCCCCCCUCUCCCAAGCCCGAUGGCCGCGCGAUUCCCCGGCGACGCGGCGGCAGCAAACGGCUUCGGCCGCCGCUCGCUCCACGAGUGGGAGGCCUGGCUACUCUUUGAGGCGAACAUCCCGGCGCCACUGGACAUGCGCGCCGGGCCGAUGGGGUGGAGGCUCAGCAACGGGGGUGUGCCCAUUCUUCCGUUGCCCGACGUCGAGGCGCGCCCCGCCUUCUUCGCCGCCGAGGUCGACCGUGUGUGAGCCUCCCUGACAAAGGAGCAGCGCGCCCUCCCCCAGUACGCCGCCGACAACCACGCGUCGUGGGCGGCGUACUUCCAGCACCGCCAGGAGCAGAGGCUGGCGUCCACAUACGGGGCGCCGGUGGUGGGUAGCGUCAAGAACAACGAGGGCCGCCGUGUAUGGUGGGGCGCCCCCGGCCGCACGCUCCAGGACGUGUUGAAGCACAUCGAGUGCGGCAACGACCCGCCGCUAGCAUACCCUGCUGCGGUGGCCGCCCCGGUCCACCGCCGGAGCGCCGGGCAAUGGAUGCCCAGGAGGUUCGGCUCCUCCUCAACUUCCUCCUCCCACUCCUCCUCCCGCUCCUCUUCCCAUUCCUCCGGCUCGCCGGCGGUGUUCGUCGUCAAGGCUGAGCCCGUAGCGGAGACGCCGCUCGGCCGGCGCACUCGCAGCGCCGGCAUCGUCAUAAAUGAGGGCGCCCGGCGCGCAUCCUCCUCGUCUCCUCCAUGCUUCGUCAAACCGAAGACAGAGCCGGGGCUCGCGGCCGUGAAAACAGAGCCGGGGCUCCCCUCCGUGAAGACGGAGCACGACACCGGGGAGCUCGAUGACGCGGUGGCCUGAAAUGGGCGCGCGAUGACUGGGUGCACAUGGAGAUGGAGCGCCAGCGCUGCGCCCUAGAGCAGUUGAAACAUCAGCGCUGGGGCCGCGACGAGGGAGGCGUCGUCGUCCUCGACGACAGCGAUGACGACGACGCGCCGCCACCGACACCGGUCUUCGAUGGCGACGCCGGGUAGGGGUCCAGCAGGGGCAACCGCUUCAAGGAGGAGAAGGCCUCCGAUGACGACGGCGAGGAUGGUGGCGACGGUGGCGACUUCGCCGCGCUCAGCGACUUCUUCGGUCCGUAGUUGUAGUUUCGGCUUUUUAAUAAUAAAUUUGCUAUGUAAAAUGUCGAACAUGUCUAAUAUAUGCCAAGUUUGCCGAAUUUUAGCCAAAUUUUAGCUGAACUUUGCCGAAUACUCUUUUCUUUUUAACAUAAACGGCGUCUGGGGCGGCCCUGGGGUCGGCGGCUAGGAACCCACUCGUCCCCAGGCCGAUUUUUUGCGCCGGCUCGCCCCCAGCGGCGAUUUUACGCGCCCCCUGGGGGGCCAACGGCUGGAGAUGCUCUAAGGUCACUGCAUUCGUUAUGAACAAAUUCUUUGGUGCGAAACUAAACCACACCAACACUAAAAUUCAUGAAGGAAAGCCAUCCAUACUCUUAUGUUUCAUUAUACGAGACAGUAAUUAUUUCUUCAUUUAAAUUGUUUAUGUGGCUCCACCAUGGUAUUAGAGGUGGCAUUUUCCUAUACGAUGUGAUAUCAUCAUUUUUUUUCUAAUUUAGUAAAACUUCUUCAUAUAGGUCUCACAAUCUGAAAAUCCUCAUUCGCGUGCAGGCGUUGGGUGGGUGAAGCGCUCCGCACAAUAAUUCAGGUUCCAACCGCACGCUACAUUCCCUUUCAAACUUUCACAUGUCGUUUAAUUGAGAAUGGUGGUCCCAUAGUAUAGCAGUCCCACUGCCAUGGAAUUUAAUGUGUUGGGCCCACCCCACCUGUUACGCGCAUUCGCAGAAGGGCUAGUUGUGUUGGCAUCAUGGUUUUCACUUUUAAUGAUAUAUCUUUGAAUUUCACCAAAUUUCAGUAGACAGCGAAAUAUUUACCUUUCGGCCAAAAUAUAUCAGUCAUUUUAGUUGUACACAUGAUUUCAAAUAUUUUCAUAUAUUUUCUUCAAUUUCGAGUGAAUAUUUUGGUCUUUUGGUCAAAAUGCAAACAGACAUUACUGGAACUUAGUAAUUUUGGUAGGUACUGAAAUGAAAAAACAUGGGUGCCAUGGCAUGCAGGCCCACCACCGUGAUCAAUAUAUAAUCUCCCACUAAAUUUCAGGGAGGGGGGGCUAGUUUCCCUACAAUAAUGAAUAAUCCAGGGGAACGGAAAUAUCACUGCACACUUUCCUAAUAGGGACGUGGACAGCCAGUCGGAAAUCGACCACGCGGACGCGCGUGCGAAUUAGCCUCCCCCCGGCAUGCGUGUACCUCCACAAUGUAAUGGGCUAUUGUUGUUUGCAACUAAUUGUUUCCUAAUGUUAUGACUGAAUAUGGAAAAAAAAUUCAUGAGACAUAUAGGGUUUGUGCCUCUUAGGCAGGUUUUAUGACAAAAUUGAUAGUUUCGUCAUGGAAGGACCGAUCUUUAUGACACCAACACCAAACAUCACAGAUAAUUCAUGGUAGAAGGCCAAAAUAUUACUAGUACAAGGUAUCUUGGGGCUCAUCAAUUGGAUAUGUGAUUUGCACAUAUUUGUGCCCUCUACACGUUCUUUGGUUUAUUGGAAUUUCUGUAAUACUGCAAAAACAAGUAUCUAAUUGUGGUGUCAAAUGGUUAGAAAAACUGACAUGUCUUUGAUGAAUCGAUGCAGGAAUAUGGCUCACAUGACAAGUGCAUUAUGAUAGGUUUGUCCUUGUCUUGUUAUGACACCUUUGUUUGUCCUUUUUUCUAGUUCUUUAAUUUGUUUUUGUUUUUUUGUUAUUAUCUGUUUCUCGUGAAUUCCGUAUUGUUUUGCCAUUAGUUUCCAAUGGGUCUCGCCAUCUUUUAUGUGUUUCUCCACAGUAUUUUUUUAAGUACUUUGGUAUUCCAUAACAAUUUCCAUAUUAGACAAUACACAACAUAUGAUUGAGCAAAAAAUGCAUGAGAAGAAAACAAUGCAAGACAUAGGCAUUUCCGGCUGCAAACAAACCAACCUUUCCAUCGAUUGAUGGCAAGACACUAAUGCGUUGAUUGCAUAUAAUAUAUAUGUAUAUGUAUAGCCGGUGCUAUAAUUCUCAUAUGCAUCCUCCUCGACCUACAUUGGUAGGUGCUUACAUACAUAUGCUCAUAUAUUCACAUAUAUAUGAGUAGAACGAGAAGUAAAACUGAGAAAGCAGAGCCGCCGACAAAUGUGACUAACAUGACAUGUAUAUCGGUUACUUCAACUUGCACUUUAGGCCUUGCCGGAUUCCUCGCAACCUGGUGGCCUGAAGGCAAUGAAGCUGACGCAUUGCACCUGGCGCAUGUUGUCGAAGCCGAUGACGCGGACAUAGGCAUCAGGGUACUCCUUCUUAACCUCCUCGACCUCGUUGAGCACCUGUGUGGCAUCGGUGCAGCCGAACAUAGGCAGCUUCCACAUUGUCCAGUAUCGACCGUCGUAGUACCCGGGGGAGCUGUUGUGCUCACGGAAGACGAAGCCAACCUUGCUGAACUCGAGGCAGGGUACCCACUUGGAGCGGAUCAAGUAGUCGACCUGCUUUAGGAGGGCCUCCGUAGAGAGGGGUGGCAAGUAAGACAGGGUCUCGAACUUCUUGAUGCCCUCAAUUGGCCACACCUGAAUAGAUGGAAUGAACACAAUUGAUCAACACUCAGUGCUUUAAGAAAGACCUAGCCAUAAGGCAAAAAUUACUCCUGAUGGUCUGUCCAUACAUUGUGGGGGUCUCCACAAGCAAGAAGGCUCAAGGGCAGCUCUUGCUUAUGGGUAGUGUACGGGCAUUAAAAAUGAUAUUAUCUAGUACACAUUGCAAUAAAAACGAUUUCCAUUCACAAAGUUUAUGAGUUAAAUAUUCCUACGCAUGUGAACCUGCUUAUGGACUACAUUGGGAGGUUUAGUUUGGCCUGGUACGUGGGUUACACGUCUAAAGGAUAGCUUUGCCUAUAUGCAGUGGAAAUACCUGAUAAAUUAAUUAAGUGUGACGACAAAAACAUUCAUGAGAGCUUAGUGUCCGUAAUCCUUUGCCAAAAAAAAAUCAAAAAGGAGGAUAUCCCAACCUCUGCAUCAAGCGAUGCAAACUGUCAUUUUGAUUAUGUUAUUCAACAUAGUCUAACAAAAUAAAUACGAUUUCAAACCAAAACCAUCUUCCAGUCGGACAAAAUCGCUACACCUACAAAUACGAUGAUGUGCCUUGACCGCACCAUCGUUGGCAAAAAUAAUAUUCAGCUUUCAUACCUGCAUGCAUCUUAUCCUUCCGCCAUUGCUGACGCUGCUGAGGCCGGCGCUGCCGGAGCGGCGGCUGACGGGGAGGCCCGCGGUCGACUUGAGCCCCUGGAAGGGCGCGACGGUGGUGGCGGAGGAAGCCAUCAUGGCGGGAGCCAUGGCGGAGUACGUGAAUUGCUAGGUGGGGAGGCGAUAGCUAGUUAGGCCACACUUGUCUUGAGCCCCCCUCAUGCCGCUCCAGUAUAUAUCACAAUAUGCGCGGCGCCGCUCCUUUCCAACAAGAUUUUGAAGGGGUGGUCGUUGUUUCCCUGUUGCAGAACGCCUUAUCCCGAGGGAUCAGCGGAAGAGGGGUGGCCCUCCGAUGCAUUGCGUCUGGCUGCUGCAUUGGCAAACGAAAUUUAUAUCAGUCCGAUUACUAAGCAUUACAAUAAUUGUGCGAUCGUUAGAUUUGGGCCUGCGCCUUUCUUAGUCUUCAUCUAUGGCUUCCAGUAAUUUUGAUUUAUUUUGUUUCCGGAAAGUUACUGCUCCCAGAAAUUACUCCUCCAAGAUUUGUGUGUAAUUGCACCGGUGGCGCUUGAACUUGCCAUCCAUGUUCACUUUAGCGUCUGAACUUAAAAAAUACGUCCAACUGGUUAUAGUACUUGGCACUCUUGUUCAAAUAUGGUAGAAGAUGCGGGGCGGAGUGACGAAUGAAUGAAGAAGAUGCACCCUAGGCCUGUAUAAGUAGUGCGCCAAGUUAGCCACAUGGAUAUUGCGCACUGUCCGAUGACGUGUAACCAUCCACGUGCCGCCUAGUACAUGGAUAGAUAGGUGGCGAAACACAGACCAACACAUAAUGAUCGCACUUUGAUAGUAUAGGGGAUCGUAGCAGUCCUCAAUCUGAUGAGACCACCUAUUAAGGGGUAGGAUCAUCAACACCCAACAAGCUACAACACAUGGGGAUCCUAAUGCAAGAUGCUCACCUACCAAACAUAGUCGACUUGACAAACCACUUGGAUGAUACCAAGUCACUCGAACGGGUCAAGUACACUAGCUCAUUUGGAUGGAGUUCAUCAAUGUUCGAAUACACCAAACACUUGGAGGCACAAAGUAGAACAUGCAGAGAAGGCACCUGGGGCGUCGUGUAAUUUUAUAGAACUAGCAUUACUAACUUUAUUACAUCAAUUACCUCUUGUAGUGUAUCUAAUAAUUAGACAUCUUUAAACCCUUGUAACGACAAAGGUCAGGGGACGUGGCUCACUGUAUGUAAGCCAUAUCUCCAUAAUAGGGGGUCUGUCAGGGUUACGAUCGUGACAAUGAGUACUGGGGGUGCGAAAAAUGGGCAGAGCCUAGCUACAGCGCAGGUGUAACACUUGGUGUUUAACGAGUUCAGACCCCUCUCAGAGGAGGUAAUAGCACUACGUAUCGUGCCUUGAGCCUUUGUUUUCUUGAGAGGUAUGAUUACUGAGAUUGCUUAGCCCUUGUACACGAGAGGGGGGGGGGACUUAUAUAGAGUGUGUCGUUGCCCCGCCAUUCCCACGUCGCAAGGGUGGAUUUAAUGUCGUAACUACUGCAGUUACAAGUAUAAAUGGCCACAACUGCAGCAGUUACAGGUAACGGUAGCCCUGACUCUACUUUAAGGAUGACUUAGGAUUCCUCGACCAUUACAGAUCCCACGUCAUCCCUUCACCUCUCUUGCCCGAGUGAUGGUGGUCAUGUCGAUUGAAGGGUGGUCAUCCGAGUGUCGUCGAGGUGUCCGAGUGGACCUCUUGAUGUUCACAUAUGAAUGCUUGUGUGGUCCUGAGACCCACCAAUGAUGGUGUGGGGCCCUAGGUGGGCCCUAUAUGACAGGUCCAUGACCCUACUUGUAGUAGGUGACCUCAUCAUUAGACAUAGAAUCAAUUGAGGUUUUGUAUGGCAAACGGACUGAGCUUUCGGUUAGGUCCCAAUGCUUCUGGAGCACUCGGAAUAUGUUUUUCGGAAUCGUGGUCCGCCGCUCCUUAGACGAAAACACAACGGAUUCUGGACCAAAGGGUUUCCCAGAUGACCGGGUGUUGUUUAUCGCUGAGAAAAACCUGGUGGUAUUUAUUUGUCUCUAAGAGGAGAUAGACUUGAGGUCCAAGUGAGGACAUGCCAUUACAAUCCGAGUGGAGACGCCAGCGUGUGGUCUGACUCUCCAGGGAGAUGCCACUCCUUAUCCUAGAGGAACUCUAUGGAAGACCUUGGUUCGUUCAUCUCGUCUUCAAACACCAUGCAGUUCUUGGACAUAAAGGAGGGAAUGAUUCUUGUAGGUAAAGUGUACAAGACUCUGCAGAUUGAAAAUCUAAUCGAUUAGUCGUGUCCCCGGUUACGGACAUCUGAGCCUAUGGAAUUGGAGUUAUUCGGAAUUCUCAACACCAAACAUAAUUAAUUAAUUGAUGGUUUAUUAAUGAUUUCGGGUAUGAGACACUGGUUGGCGGAACCAUCUCAAUAACAACAAAUAUUUUGUAGUAAUUGCAAGCAAGUCCUUUUGUUGUAGGGAAAAAAUUGCUUCUCGCAGAAACUUAAACUUAGGGCCCCACAGCCAAAAUUGCAUAUAGUGAUAGCAUUUAUUUAUUGGUCUCCCUAUAUGACUUGCCGGCAUAUUCAAAAUGCUAACCUACAUGACCACACCAUCUUAUGUUGCAUAGGAUUACUCCGACCAGGACUGAGGAUACGAUCCACAGUCGAUGAUUGCCUUAGGAGUCGGAUGGACUCGCUUAUCGUCCACACUUCCGCAGUAGUUUUCUCAUGAGUUGUCCUUUGGCUGAAUUUAUUCUGAUGUAAUAAAGACUCCAUAUGAGAUUCAUGUAAUAAAUCAAGUGUGACUGAACUUUGAUAUUUUCAUCAAUGUACUGUGUGUGCCAGCAUGAUCUUGGGAUGGUACUGAUACAUAGAGAAUUGGCCGUUUUCGGGUCGGGUUGCUACAGUGACUUGCUAAUAAUACAUAGUGAUGUAUGCGGUCCAGUCAGUGUGAAGUACACAUUGGAUAUCAUUAUUUCCUAACCUUCAUAGAUUAUUUAAGUAGAUAUGGGUAAAUUUACUUAAUGAAACACACCAUUGAAAAAGUUCAAGGAGUUUCAGAGUGAAGUAGAAAAUCAUCCUAAUAAGAAGGUAAAACUUCUAUGAUCUGAUCAUGGAGGUGAAUACCUGAGUUAUGAUUUUGAUAUGCAUUUAAAACAAUGUGGAAUUGUUUCACAACUCACUCUACCUGGAACACCACAUCGUAAUGGUGUUUUCGAAUGUUGUAAUCGUACUCUAUUAGAUAUGGUCGUUCUAUGAUGUCUCUUACCGAUUUGUCACUAUCAUUUUAGGGUUAUGCAUUAGAGAUAGCCGCAUUCACUUUAAACAGGGCACCGUCUAAAUCCUUUCAAAAGACACUCUAUGAAUUAUGGUUUGGCAAGAAACCUAAGCUAUCGUUUCUUAAAGUUUGGGGAUGCGACAAUUAUGUCAAGGGGCUACAACAUGAUAAGCUCAAACCCAAAGCGGAAAAAUGUGUCUUGAUAGGAUACCCUAAAUAGAUAAUUGGGUAUACAUGCAAUCACAGAUCCAAGGGCAAGAUCUUUGUUUCCAAAAAUGUAUCCUUAAUGGAGAAAGAGUUUCUCUCAAAAUAAGUGAGUGGGAGGAAUGUAGAGCUUGAUGAGGUUAUCAAACCUUCUCUCAAAUUAGAGAUUACCAAGUGUGAACUCUGGUGGACUUACCCGAUGACUGAAGGCCAUUGAAAACAAAUGGAUCUUUAAGAAGAAAAUAGACAUUGAUGGUAAUGUCACUACCUAUAAAGCUCGACAUGUCACAAAAGGUUAUCCACAAGUUCAAGGGGUUGACAAUGAUGAGACUUUCUCGACCGUAACGAUGCUAAACUUUUUUAGCAUUAUGUUAGCAAUUGCUGCAUUUUUGGACUAUGAAAUCUGACAGAUGGAUGUCAAAACUAUGUUCCUUAAUGGUCAUGUUAAGCAAGAGUUGUAUAUGAUGCAACAUAAUAAGGUAUGCAAGUUCCAGCGAUCCAUUUAUGGACUGGUGCCAGCAUUCUCGACUUGGAAUCUUCACUUUGAUGAGGUGAUCAAAGCUUUUGGUUUUAUCCAAGCUUAUGGAGAAGCUUAUAUUUACAAGAAAGUGAGUGGAAUCUCUGUAGCAUUUCUAAUACUAUAUGUGGAUGACAUAUUAAGUAUUGGCAAUGAUGUAGAUCUUCUGGAAAGCAUAAAUGGAUAUUUGAACAAGAGUUUUUCAAUGAAAGACCUCGGUGCAACAACUUACAUAUUGGGAAUCAAGAUCUAUAGAGAUAGAUCAAGACGCCUGAAAGGACUUUCACAAAGUACAUACCUUGACAAAGUGGAAGAAGUUCAAAAUGGGCCAGUUCAAAGAAUGGGUUCUUGCCCAUGUUGCAAGGUAUCAAGUUGAGUAAGACUAAAUGCCCAGCUAUGGCAGAAGAAAUAGUAAAGACGAGAGCCGUCCACUAUGCCUCAGCCAUAGGCUCUAUCAUGUAGGUCAUGAUGUGUAGUAGACUUGAUGUGUGCCUUCCCACUAGUAUGAAUGGUAGGUACCAGAGUGAUCCAAGAGUGGAAAACUGGACAACAGUCAAAUAUCAUUAAGUGCCUAAAGAGGACUAAGGAGAUGUUUCUCAUUUAUGCAGGUGAUGCAGAGCUUGUCAUAAAAGUUUAUGUCGAUGCUAGAUUUGACACUGAUCCGAAUGACUCAAAAUGUCAAUUCACAUAUGUAUUUAUUUUGAAUGGUGGGGAAGUCAGCCGGAGUAGCUCCAAGCAAAGCGUUGUAGCAGUAUCAACAUGUGAGGCGGAAUAUAUAGCUGCCUUGAAAGUGGUGCGGGAAGGAGUCUAGAUGAUGGUUUUCAUAUCUAAACUAGGUGUGGUUCCUAGUGCAUCGGAUCCCAUGACUAUCUAUUGUGACAACAUGGGUGCCAUUGUCAUAGCCAAGAAGCCAAGGUUUUACACAAAAACUAAGCAUAUAAAUGCCGCUUCAACUCCAUCCGUGACUAUGUCAAGGAAGGAGACAUAGAGAUUUGCGAAAUUCACACAGAUCUCAAUGUUGAAGAUGAUGACCCACAAGUAUAGGGGAUAAAUCGUAGUCCUUUCAAUAAGUAAGAGUAUCGAACCCAACGAGGAGCAAAAGGAAAUGAGGAGUUGUUUUCAGCCAGGUAAUUUCUGCAAGCACUGAAAUUGUCGGUAACAUGUAGUUUGAUAGUAAGAUAAUUUCUAACGGACAAGUAACGGUACAUAAAGUGAAGUAAGAUAGCCCAAUCCUUUUUGUAGCAAAGGAAAGUACAAAACGAUCUCUUAUAAUAAGCAAAGCAUCCUUGAGGGCACACUGGAAUUUCAUCUAGUCACUUUCAUCAUGUUGGUUUGAUUCGCGUUCGCUACUUUGAUAAUUUGAUAUGUGGGUGGACCGGUGCUUGCGUGAUGUUCUUACUUGAACAAGCCUCCCACUUAUGAUUAACCCUCUCGCAAGCAUCUGCAACUCAGAAAGAAGAAUUAAGAUAACAAUCUAACCAUAGCAUUAAACAUAUGGAUCCAAACCAGCCCCUUACGAAAUAGCGCAUAAACUAGGAUUUAAGCUUCUCUCACUCUAACAACCCAUCAUCUAAUAACUAUUCCACAAUGCAUUCCCUUAGGCCCAAAGAUGGUAAAGUGUCAUGUAACGACGUUCACAUAACACCACUCAAGGAACCAUAACAUACAUAUCAUCAAAAUAUCGAACGAAUACCAAAUUCACAUGAUUACUUGCAACAUGACUUCCCCCGUGGCAUCAAGAACAAGGACAACUACUCACAAAUAAUAUUCAUGCUCAAGAUUCGAGGGGUAUUAAAUAGCAUAAUCGAUCUGAACAUAUAAUCUUCAAAUAAACCAUAUAGCAUCAACUACAAGAUGUAAUCAACACUACUAGUCACCCACAGGUACCAAUCUGAGGUUCUGGUACAAAGAUUGAACACAAGAGAUGAACUAGGGUUCUCAGAUGAGAUGGUUAUGUUGAAGAUGUUGAUAAAGAUUGGCCUCCCAAAGAUAAGAGGAUUGUUGGUGAUGACGAAGGCUUCGAUUUCCCCAUCCGCGAGGGAUGUUCUCCCGGCGAAAUCGCUCCAUCGGAGGGCAAAAGUGCUCCUGCUCAAGUUCCGCCUUGAGACGGUGGCACUCCAUCCCGAAAGUCCUCUCUUUGUUUUUACUAGGUCAAAAGACCUUAUAUACUAGAAGAUGGGCACCGAACGUGGGGCGGGGUGCCCACCACCCACCAGGGCACACCUGGAGGGGGUGGCGUGCCCUGGUGUCUUGUGGCCACCUGGCAGUCCCCUCUGGUAGUUCUUUUCUCCAAUAUUUCUUAUUUAUUCCAAAAUAAUUCUCCGUAAAAUUUCAGCUCAUUUGGAGAUGCGCAGAAUAGGUAUCUCUGACAUAGUUUUUUCAGGUCUAGAAUUACAGCUAUCGGCAUUCUCUCUCUUUGUGUAAACGUUGCAUAUUACGAGAAAAAAUGUAUUAGAAUUACUCCAUAAAGUGUUAUAAAACAUAAAAACACUAUAAAUAUAUGAUUUUGUCAUGAAAAAUCUAAAUGAAUGCCACGGAAAGACCCCAAAAUGUCAUAUAGGAUCACCAUUGAGCAUCAAAAUAUAAGGCCACCUCAUUCGUUAUGAAGAAAUCCUUUGCCAUGAAAGUAAACCACGCUAACACUAAAAUUCAUGAAGUAAAGUCAUCCAUAGUCUUAUGAUUCAUUACAUGAAAUUAAAGAAAGUGAUGGUAUGGCUCUACCGUGUGUUAGAUGUGGCCUUUCCCACGACGAUGUGGUAUCAUCAUUUUUUUCUAAGUUAGUAAAAGGUCUUACAUAUUGGUUUCAGAAUCCAAAAAGACUCCUUCAGCUGCGCGUUGGGACAGGCGAAGCGCUCCGUAGAAGCAGUCAGGUAGUAUAGCAGCCGACUAUGUUCCUUUUCAAACUUUCGCAUGUUGUUUAACUGAAAAUGGUGGCCCCACGUAGUAUAGCAGCCCACCUACUAGACGCAUUCCCUAACCCUUCGUGACAGCCAGUUGGAAGUUGAUCGCGUGGGACAUGUGCGCGUGAAUUAGCCUCCCCUCACAGUCAUCCACCCCCAAAAAUAAUACAAAUUAAUAUAAUUUCAGCCAUGUUAGAGACAUGUGUGUACCUCCACAAUGUAAUUGGCUAUUGUUGUUUACAACUAAUUGUUUCCUAAUUUUAUGACUGGAUAUGGAUUUUGUCAUGAAACAUACAGGGUUUGUGCCUCCUAGGUAGGUUUAUGACAAAAUGAUAGUUUCGUCAUGGUAGGACCGAUGUUUAUGACACAAACACAAAACAUCACAGAUAAUUCAUCGUAUAGAAGGCCAAAAAUUACUAGUGCAAGAUAUCUUAGGACUCGUAAAUUGGAUAUGUAAUUUGCACAUAUUUGUGUCCUCUACACGUUCUAUGGUUUACUGGAAUUUCUGCAAUACUGCAAAAAAGAAGUAUCUAAUUGCGGUGCAAAAUGGUUAGAAAAGGUGACAUGUCUUUGAUGAAUCGAUGUUGGAAUGUGGCUCACAAGACCAGUACACUAUGGUAGGUUUGUCCUUGUCUUGUUUUGACACCUUUUGUUUGUCCUUUUUACUAGUUUUUAAUUUGGAUUUUGGCCUUUUAUCAUCUGGUUCUCGUCAAUUUCCUACUGUUUUGCCACUAGUUUUUUUACGGGGAGUUUUGCCACUAGUUUUCAAGUGGUUCUCGCCAUCUUUUUAUGUGUUUCUCCACAAUAUUUUUUGAUGUACUUUGGUAUUCCAUAACAAUUUUCACACUAGAUAAUACACAACAUAUGAUUGAGCAAAAAAUGCGUGAGAAGAAAACAAUGCAAGACAUAGGCAUCUCGAGCUGCAAACAAAGUAACAUUUCCAUCAACCGAUGGCAAGACAAUAAUCCGCGGAUUGCAUAUAAUAUAUGUGUGUAUGUAUAGCCGGUGCUAUAAUUCUCAUAUGCAUCCUCCUCGACCUACGUUGGUAGGUGCUUACAUACAUAUGCUCAUAUAUUCACAUACGAGUAGUACGAGAAGUAAAACCGAGAAAGCAGAGCUGCCGACAAAUGUGAACUAACAUGGCAUGUAUAUGCGUUACUUCAACUUGCACUUUAGGCCUUGCCAGAUUCCUCGCAGCCUGGUGGCCUGAAGGCAAUGAAGCUGACGCACUGCACCUGGCGCAUGUUGUCGAAGCCGAUGACGCGGACAUAGGCAUCAGGGUACUCCUUCUUGACCUCCUCCACCUCGCUGAGCACCUGCGUUGCGUCGGUGCACCCGAACAUAGGCAGCUUCCACAUUGUCCAGUAUCGACCGUCGUAGUAGCCGGGGGAGCUGUUGUGCUCACGGAAGACGAAGCCAACCUUGCUGAACUCGAGGCAGGGCACCCACUUGGAGCGGAUCAGGUAGUCGACCUGCUUUAGGAGGGCCUCCGUGGAGAGGGGUGGCAAGUAAGACAGGGUCUCGAACUUCUUGAUGCCCUCAAUCGGCCACACCUGAAUAGAUGGAAUGAACACAAUUGAUCAACACUUGGUGCUUAAAGAAAGACCUGGCCAUAAGUCAAAAAUUACUCCUUAUGGUCUGCCCAUACAUUGUGGGGGGUCUCCACAAGCAAGAAGGCUCAAGGGCAGCAGCUCUUGCUUCAGGUUCAGGGUAGUGUACGGGCAUUAAAAAUGAUAUUAUCUAGUACACAUUGCGAUAAAAUCAAUUUCCGUUCACAAAGUUUAUGAGUUAAAUAUUCCUACACAUGUGAACCUGCUUACGGACUACAUACAUUGUGAUGCACCAUCUUAGUUUACUUUGGCCUGGUGUGUGGGUUACACAUCCUAAUUAAGGAUAGCUUUGGCUAUGUACAGUGGAAAUAUCCGAUAAAUUAAUCAACUGUGCCGACAAGAAUAUUCGUGUGAGCUUAGUGUUCGUCCUACCUCGCAAAAAUAAUACUCUGUCCGAUACAAAAUAAGUGUUGCUGUUUUGUAUUAAGAUUACCGAGGAAGUAAUUAGUGUUCAUACCUGC